This 117037-nucleotide long non-coding RNA is filed under the name Triticum aestivum (bread wheat). RNAcentral's name for it is "long non-coding RNA (TAES_LNC023099)". The record is from RNAcentral. Lineage: Eukaryota; Viridiplantae; Streptophyta; Magnoliopsida; Poales; Poaceae.
GUUUAUAAUCAUUUUUUAUAACAGCGAAUGUCAUAAAAACUUAAGCUCAUCACAUUAUUUUAUUGAUGAUUCGAUCAGUAAUCUGCUCGAUCUGAAACAAGGACAACAGAUGGAGGUGGAACACAUGCAGAAAACAACAAUGAACAGACGCAGAGAGCAGCAACAGUAGACACCGAGUCGGCUAGCUAAGCCUGGUGUGAUGAUGAUGCUCGUAGAUAACUUAAUGAAGGCUGCAAACACACAGACACAAAAGCUCAACGAUUAGUCUUACUAUUUAUACUUACAAAUUAAGAUUAAAUGGCUAACGAGUACUUAGAAUAUAAUCUUUCAAGUUAGGAGUGGAGGAUGUACUUGUUGCAGUUGACGUUGUUGUUGAUGGGGAAAGAGACGGAGACGCCGCACUUGCCGGGGAUGUUGGCGGCGUUACCCAUGCUGAUGCCAUUGAACGACCCCGCCAGGUUCUUGAGGCAGCGGCACGCCGCCUGCCGGUCUGCCGAGGUGGACGCCUUACCGUUCAGGGUCCUCACCCCGCUGCAGCACCCCGCCGAGGGUGACGAUGCUUGCCCCGUCGCGUAGGACAUGCACGGCGCGAUGGCGGACGUCACGUCGCUGCAGGUCACCGCCCCAGACGCCAUUUCCGCCACCGCCAGUGCGGCGAGCACGCUGAACACGGCGAGCAGUGCCACGCGAGCCAUCGAGGAUCUAGUGCUUCAGCUUCCUUGCUGGAAAUGGAGCUGGGAAGGAGCAGAGAGCUUGAUUGGCUUGUGUGGUGGUGGUGGAGAUGGAAUGGAACUCCGUGGAGCGGGGUAUAAAUAGCCGGCUGGUGAGAGCUGGCAAGAAGAAGAAGAAAAAGAUAAGGUGUUCCUGCAGCAUUGCACUGCUGGGUGGCGGACGGUGGUGCGUGCAUGCGCAGUACUACGUAGCUAGCGGGGCAUGCAUGCAUGCAUGUGCAUGAGGGUGGUUGGGCGCUGGGGACCGUACGAUGAAUCGACCGGUCGCGUCCACUGCACGCAUGUGACACUUUUUAUUUACACACAAUACGUUAUAUAAAAUCUCCCUAGUUUAGAAUUUGGGUCAGUCGAUUUUCACGUGAAGAAAGAAGCCCAAUGAUGACGUCAAGGACUCGGAUGCGAGCGCGUGUCCGAGUCCUUGGAUGUCAGGCAGGGGCGAAUGCACGUACAAGCUUGUGGGGGCGAAUGCCCCCACUCCUUUUUUUCAGCUUACGUGUACCAGGCCAGAAUAUACAGAGCUGCCCCCACUCAGCCCAAGCUAUUUGCCCCCACUUCCUUUUUUCCCCCUGCUGUAUGUUGAAAGCCCGUCUAUGAAAAUUACACAGGGUUAUAAGCCCAGGAGCCCAUCCUCGAUUUGCUAGAAACGUACGAGGUCUUUCGGAGUUUCAGAUGUGUUCGUCGCCUGUGCUCGCGUGACGCCUUUACAAGCUGUAACCGCCGCGCCGCCGCCUGUGGCUCUAGGCUGCACAUACACCUCGCCCCUUUGGCGAUCAGCCUCGAUCUGCACUGCGCACGCCAGCCAGCCGGCCCGCCAUGCGCCAUCCCCAAGGUAGAAGCCGUACUAAUCAAUCAUUCAAUCAAGGUAAGCCCAAGGUUUAGCUCUCUUCUUUUCUUUCUAAUUUCCCCAUUAUUAUUUUAUUCUGAUUUCCAUGUCAAAGAGGUAGUGAAUUGUAUCAAAUAUCCAUAUGUAUAAAUUAUAAUGUACAAAUUGGUAAUUAGGUUGAUUGAAUCUAGGUUCCCGUGAUAAUUCCAUAUGGAUAAGUUUGAACACAUGGGAGUAAAAUAAAAUCUAUAGUAAUAUUCUUCCUUCACGGUCUCAAUUUAUUUAACCUUAAACUAUUCGGCAUUGACAGGAAAGCUAAUGGAGAGGUGUUUAUCUGUCAAUGUUUAUAUGCUCUCUAUAUUCAAACAUAUUUCUUCUUCAUGCGGCUUGAAGGCUAGAAAUGAGGGGCAUACCAACAAAAAGGAAAGACAUAUUCAAGUUAUUGUGCCUCAAGUGGUUAGUUUACUCUUACUUUGGCAAUGAACUUAUCAUAAUUAAUUAAUUAUGUGUGUGAUAACAUUAUCUUAUAAGAAAGUAUGUGAUUUUGCUUCUUACACAUUAAAUGCAUGGUUGUGUGGUUUUUUUUAAUUAUUUAGCCAUUAGUUUGAUAUAUAUUUCGGAAAAAAUUACAUAUACAUCUUUGCCCCCUCUUGGUUUUCAUCCUGGCUCCGCCCCUGAUGUCAGGGAACUAGCGGUUGAAGGCAGCGUAGGAGUCGGAACUAGCAGUUGAAGGCAGCGUAGGAGUUGGACCGUGCUGCACCGCGAAGAACAGGGCGUGGGGGAAGCCCAUGCCCACAUCCUCGUGAAGCAACAAACUUGGGCCGCCCGUGCCCUCGCCGGCAUGCCUCCAGAAUCGGACGAGAUGUUUGUUGUCUUUGUUGUAGUAUAUGACGCCGUUGUUGAACUUUUGUUGUCCUAUGUCAUCCGAUGUUUGAACUAUGUCCUAUGUAUGCUACAUAUAUGUUGAUCGAUGUUCCAUAACUUUGUAUGGAUUUGAGGGUUCGUAAAUGAGGAGCAUUGUUACCCGAGCGGACAAAUGGGGGUUGAGCCGCGGAAUUCCCUAUCCGCCGCAUUUUGCGGCAAAAUGCCGACCUGCCGCACACCCUUUGACCGUUCGUGGGCCGGCCCGUGUCGGAUGCAUCAUACAGAUGAAAAUCGCUACAGAAUUCCCUAUCCGCCGGAUUUUGCGGCAAAAUGCCGACCUGCCGCACACCCCUUGACCGUUCGUGGGCCGGCCCAUGUCGGAUGCAUCAUAUAGAUGAAAAUUGCUAAAAAAAGUGAAGAGAGGGAGGAUUUGGACCUCAAACCUCCCACUUCUAGAGAUUUGAGUAUAACCACUCGACCAUAACAACACUAGUGUUCUAUAAGUGCAAAGAGGUCUGCUAUUAUAUGUUUCUUUCUUUCACGUUUUUUCAUUUUUUGUUUUCCUUUUUCUUUCUUUCUUUUAUUUUUGUUUUAGAAAUAUCGCAACUUCAAAAAAGUUCAAUAUAUUUCAUACUUUAUUCGGCUUUUUAUAAAACAUGUUUGAUUUUUUUGUUCAGGUUUCAAAUAACAUUCCGUGCUUUUCAAAAAAUGUACAAAAUUUGUUCAUGUUUCAAAAUGUGUCCGGUGUUUCAAAAUUUGUUCAUGAUUUUCAGAAAAUGUUCGUGUUUUCAAAUUUGUUCAGAUUUUCAAAAAGUUUUGGAAUUUCACAUUUGUUCCCUUUUUCAAAAUUUGCUCGUAAUUUUCAAAAAAUGUUCGUGUUUUCAAAUUUGUUCAAAUUUUCAAAAUAGUUUUGGAUUUCACAUUUGUUCCCAAUUUUCGAAAAUUGUUCGUGUUUUUCAAAAAAUUAUUCGCAUUUUCAAAAAAUGUUCACGUUUCAAAAUUUGGAUAGACAUUUCAAAAAUGUUCAAGAAUUUUGAAAAAUGUUUGUGGUUAUAAACUUGUGUUCAUACUUUCACGAAAUUUUCCAUUUUUAUUUUUUUGUUCACCAGUUCAAAAAAUGUUCCCUGUUUGAAUUUUUCUUCAGAAUAUCACGAAAUGUUCACCAGUUCAAAAAAUGUUCAUACUUUCACGAAAUUUUCCAUUUUUAUUUUUUUGUUCACCAGUUCCAAAAAUGUUCCCUGUUUGAAUUUUUCUUCAGAAUAUCACGAAAUGUUCCAUUUUUCAAUUUUUUGUUCACAAAUUCAAAAAAUGUUCGUGGUUUCAAAUUUGUUUGGAAUUUCAUAAUUUGUUCACAAAUUCAAAAAAUGUUCAUGGUUACAAAUUUCUUUAGAAUUUCAUAAUUUGUUCACACGGUUUCAAAUUUGUUCGGAAUUUCAUAAUUUGUUCACAAAUUCAAAAAAUUGUUCACGUUAUCACAAAAACAAUUUCUGACUUUUCAAUUUUUUUGUUCACAUAUUCGAAAAACUUUCUUGUCUCUAUUUUUUCAUGAAUUCAAAAAAUGUGCGCACUUUUUUAAAGAGACACAUUCGAAGAAACUAUACUUUAAAACAAAUCAAUACAACAAGUAAUUUUGGGUUCACUACAUCAAUCGUUUCCUGUUCGCUACAGUGCACAAGUCAGGUUUAGUUCUUUAAAACAUGCGCUGCACUUUAACCAACUGUGCUAGUCUAGUCUGCUGGCGACGUGUCCGCGGUCGCUCCCACUUGGUCGCAAGUUCGAAUCCUCGUUGCGCCUGACUUCUGUUUUUGCCAUUUUUCGUCCCGCGGUGAAGCUUUAUGGGCCGGCCCAGUCGAGCUGCACCUGUGCGUCUGGCCACCAAUUUGACGCAAAGAGCGUCCAAUAGGAGCUCUCUUGAGCCGCUCCUAUCCACCGAUGCGUCCUCAGUUUGCGUCCAAUAGGAGCUCUCUUGAGCCGCUCCUAUCCACCGAUGCGUCCUCAGACAUACAUGGGGUAAAAUUAAGUAAGUCUGGUUGGAGAUGUUCUAAGCUAGCGUGAUAAGGCCCCUGGGUGGGGGCAUUAUCUAUAAGAGCAUAAUCUAUAUAUGCAGCAGAAUAUGUUGUGUCUGACUAUAUGUCUCAACAAUGUAAUGAGUUAUAUAUAUAUAUAUAUAUAUAUAUAUAUAUAUAUAUAUAUAUAUAUAUAUAUAUAUAUAUAUAUAUAGACACGCUAAACUAAGCCAGAGCGCAUUAUAGGCUAUCGUACGCGCCGGCUGCCCGACCGAGUCUCUCAACUACUCUAAUUAGUCCGCUCCGCGCGCCUCCUUACCGGUUGGAAAUUCACCGUAAAAAACUAAUGGGACAUGGUAAUGGACUUUAAUCAUUACUACGGCUCUCCACUGUUGGAUAGUAAAAUUUGCUAUGUCUUCACUGUAAUAAACUAAUGGAACACAGUAGCGGACCCUAAUCAUUACGACUCUCCACCAUUGGAUGGUAAAAUUUUCUAUGCCUGUUCAGGCCUAUUUGCACGUAGUAAUGUGUUCAUAAAACGUAGUUGCAAUUUGUGAAGGGAACAUAGUAAUCAGGUUAUUAAAUUCUUUGGCCAAUUUUGCGCAAAAAAUAAUAAACCAAAGUAGAUCAGUCGUAAGCUUAAAAUAUUUUAUGUUUAUUUAGACUUCUUUAAUUCUCACUAGUACGUGAUUUUCCGCCAUACCACAUCGUAAUGCAAUUACUAGCACCUACUGUAGCUAGUAGGAUUCAUGCAUAGAGUGGUAACGCUGUUACCAUAGGUACAUUUUCCAUUUAAAUAAAACAAAACUAAUAUUCAAUGUCAGCCGUUAGCCACGUACAUGGUAAUUGUAUUUCUGACAUACAGUAAACCAAUUACUAGAGGAACCGUUCACCGGCGCUUACUUUUUCCAAGCGUUGGCUAGAAUCGUACAUUCUUUUAACAUAGUAAACCAACUAAUCUCAAAAAAAAACAUAGUAAACCAACUACUAUGUGUUCACCUUAUUUUACGAUCAGAGGACUGACUGCUGCACGGCCUCGUAAUGGAUUUACUGCUGCAAUGCCUCGUAAUGUACUAGUACUUCCGUUACCAUGUACGCUGAUAUGAUUACCGUCAUUAGUAGAUGGUGGGUUCAAGCGUCUAGUGUUGCGGGGCGGAGAUGGGGCGCUGACUACGGUAAAAGAAUUUAAUCAAUUACUAUUUUUUGUAUUGCUUGUUACUUCCAUUUCCUAAUCCCUAUAGGGACAGGAACAAGCGGCCCGUCGGGUGGGUCAUUAGCGACCAGCGCGUACGAUUAGGCGUUUUGCGCUCUCGCGCAGUUUAGCGCNNNNNNNNNNNNNNNNNNNNNNNNNNNNNNNNNNNNNNNNNNNNNNNNNNNNNNNNNNNNNNNNNNNNNNNNNNNNNNNNNNNNNNNNNNNNNNNNNNNNNNNNNNNNNNNNNNNNNNNNNNNNNNNNNNNNNNNNNNNNNNNNNNNNNNNNNNNNNNNNNNNNNNNNNNNNNNNNNNNNNNNNNNNNNNNNNNNNNNNNNNNNNNNNNNNNNNNNNNNNNNNNNNNNNNNNNNNNNNNNNNNNNNNNNNNNNNNNNNNNNNNNNNNNNNNNNNNNNNNNNNNNNGGGCAAGUUGGAGAAAGGCCAAAUUUUUGGUAUUGCUAAAGUUGUUAUAGAGUUUUUUUUGCGGAAUAAAGCUGUUAUAGAGUUAGGCAUGACACACUCUUCAUUAGCCAUAAUCAGUUUAAAUUUUAGAUAAACAAUAUCCUUCCUACUUAUAAAAUUCGACUUGGUGGUCAUUUGUUCAUUUCCUUCUCAACAUUUCUCUUUUAAACCAUGCCAAGUGGUCACUACUGGAAUCAGCUUCUUUGCCGUCCGUCAUGGCAGACGGCAAAGGCACAGAUCCCGGAUGGCAAACUCCUUUGCCGUCAGCCAGCGGACGACAAACUGUCCGUCUGAACACGUGCCAGCAAAGGCCUUCUUUGCCGUCCGCCAUCCGAGGCAAGCAGACGACAAAGAGAACGAACGACAGUGGGGUGGGGUGAGAGCCGUUAGGGGGUUAACGGCGCUCUUUGCCGUCCGCUGACAGACGACAAAAAGCUCAGCUAGGCCAUCACUGGGAAGCUGCCACGUGGCCAGCUAUGCCGUCUGCCAGCGGACGGCAAAGUGACCAAAUAGGCAGCCAGUGUUCCCAGUUUAUACAGGUGGCUGCCACGUGUCCUCUUUGCCAUCCGCUAGCAGACGUCAAAGAAGCUAUAUAUCCCCUGUUUUUAUUUAUAUCUUUUUAAUUUCACAGGAAUUCACACACAGAUAUACAUUUUUUUCACAGGCACAACAGACAUAUGAUGUAUCCAACACAUAGCUCCACCCAUGACAACAUACAUACAUAAGAAACACAGUUCCAUCCAUACAUAUUAUAGUAAUAUCACAAUGUUCAUCCAACACAUUGCUCCAUGCAUCCAUAUAACAAGUUCCACAUUUUUCAUCGAUACAAACGAAAAGAAGAACAGGGAGACAAGCAAUCAAUCCAUGCAAGCUUCCAUAUAGUGAAUUAAAUCUGCAAAAUGGAAAACAAGAAAGUUAGAAGAAGAAGACUAGAAUCAGAAGAAGAAGAAGAAAAUGAAGAAGAAGAAGAGGAAGAAGGAGAAGUUAGCAUACUUAGGUAAAAUGGAGCUAACCUAGCUAAUUAUGCUAUUUUUGAGUGAACUAACCUAGGUAACUAAGCAUAUUAGAGCUAACUUAGAGCUAACUUCAUUUUGGAGAAGAAGAAGAAAACUAGAAGAAGAAGAAGAAGAAGAAGACUUUCUUCUUCUUCUUCCUAUUCCUUGAUUUUCUUCAUCUUAUUAUGUCAUUUGUGGACUAAAUAGGCUAAAUUAUGUCAUAAAUGGACUAAAUAGGCUAAAUAAGAAGAAAAAUGCCAUUUUUGAGCUUAAGUAGCUAAUUAUGCCAUUUUUGACCUAACUAAGCUUAUUGUGUCAUUUUAGAGGACAACAAGCUAAGUAUAUGACAUUUAUGAGGUUAGCAAGGUUAUUAUGCAAACCUAGGAAACUAAGCAUAUAAGAGAUAACUUAGCAUAUUAGAGCUAACUUAUGUCAUUUCGGAGGAAACAAAGCUAAGUAUAUAUAGAUCAUUUUGGAGAUCUGACAUACCUGACAUAGUUCACUCCUCCUUCCUCUUCUCCUGCUCCUUCCUCAUCCUGAUGCGCCAAGAGCGGCGAGGCGGUGGAGGCAGUGGGAUGUAGUCUUCUACCACAAUUGGCAUGGUCAUGUCGCCUGGAUGUGGGAUCACCGGUGCCACCACCAUUGCGAGCUCAUUGUCAGGCACCACCACCAUCGCGAAGCCAUCUUCAGGCAGCACCAUCGCUAGGUCAUCCUCAGCCACCACCAUCUGUUGCCCAUCGUCAGCCUGCACCUCCUCAUCCCCACUAUGCUCCUCUUCUUCCCCACUCCAUUUUGGAUCAUCCUCGCUGCUACUUUUGCUGCAGCCCAUUGCCUGACCAAAUGCAAUAAUGACCGUUAAAAUCGAUGUGAGACAAAGCCAAAUGUAGAGUAAGAAGAGGCAGAAGGCAUCAUCGUCGUCCUGGUAGCGCAUGCGACACAUAGUCGUGUUGAACACCUUCACGGUGACAUGGCGUCGCCGUCGUACCUGAAGAGAAGGAAGUACCCGUGCCACAGGUCGUAGGCAUGGUAGAACUGCUCCCAGCCACAACACAGGUACAUGUGGCCGUUCCUGAUCACCAACUCCACGUCCCAAUGCCUGUGAAGCCCGCUGCUGGCCUAUCGUAGCUUCACAUUCUUUAGCCGAUGGCCGUCCAGCAUCUUCAUAAAAGUGUCAGGCAGCCUCUAUAGUGUGGGUCAAGGAGUGAUGUAGCAAAUAUCAGAGUUAUCAUAAAGAGAUGGGUGAAGGGGAGAUCUCUCCUUUUAUAUACCUGCCUCCUGGAGGAAUUCUCAAGUAUGAUAGUGAAGGACUCAAAAGCAUCCAACUCGUACUCCAGUGUGGCAGAGCGCAACCUUCCGGUGGCGGCCUCCCCCCAUCUCUGAUAAGCAGCAGAAGAGACCAAUUAGUAAUGCUCAUGUUUCAAAUUGAUCAUAGACAAAUUGAUGAUAGGUACAUUAGCAGUAAUAUUAUGGUCAUCACCAAUAAAUCAUUAGAGGAUAAAUGCAUUAAUAUUGACCAAGAAUUAUAAAGUUCCAAAUUGUGCAUAUUUACUUGAAUGUUCCACAAAAUGGCAACCUUUGCAUGUGCAUAAUUCUAAAUUGUACUGAAUGGCAGCUGUUGCCCCUAACUGAACUAAACCAAAUUGCAAAAUCUUGCCCAGAACUGAACUUGAAGACAACUAAAUGGUAACUAUUGCCUACAACUGAACUGGCCUUGAGAGAAGAUGGCAAAAUAGAUCAAUUUGUGAGCAUGUCAUUGCAAGAAGGUGCUGGUGGCGAAGCAGAUCAACUAAACUAAACUGAACUACGGCCCAGAACUAAACACUUGAGCAGAAAUCAACAAUACAAAGUGGCAAAUUAUUUCAUUUGCUUGCUUCUUUAGACUCUCACUAAAAUUAGGCAUGGAAUUUCACUAAAACAAAAAGUGUAUCACCAUAACCCAGUAAAAUUAUCAUCUGGGACUAGUCUCUGUAGUUUAAACAAGGAAGCAAGAUCUUUCUUUCAAAUUAUCAUCAUAGUUGUAAACUAACUAUAUGAUCAAGAUUACCAUGCUACAAUGAUCACAGUACGAAAAACACAAGUGAUUCGCACUCAAUAUUCUGUAACAAUCCCAGUUCACACAAUAUAAAACCUGAAUUUAAUAGCUAGUCACUUUGUCCUUAUUCACUUAAUAGAAUCUGAAUUCAAACUUUGUUGUUUCUGCCUAACUGAUACUAAAAACACUAGUACAACUCCAUUCCUAAGCAUCUUCUACACCACAUAUGAACCACCGACAAACCUAAACCACCAGCAAAUUCGCACCAAGAAUAGGAACAAAUCAUGCUGGAAAGAAAUGGAGGAAGGGGGAAUUUUUCGCUGUACCUUGCUUCGACAUCUUGGAAGAGGGGGCUGUACCCGGCGGCGGCGGCGGAGGGGGAAGGACGAUGCUGGGGUGGAGGAGGGGGGCGCUGCGGCUCGGGCACGGGAGCGGNNNNNNNNNNNNNNNNNNNNNNNNNNNNNNNNNNNNNNNNNNNNNNNNNNNNNNNNNNNNNNNNNNNNNNNNNNNNNNNNNNNNNNNNNNNNNNNNNNNNNNNNNNNNNNNNNNNNNNNNNNNNNNNNNNNNNNNNNNNNNNNNNNNNNNNNNNNNNNNNNNNNNNNNNNNNNNNNNNNNNNNNNNNNNNNNNNNNNNNNNNNNNNNNNNNNNNNNNNNNNNNNNNNNNNNNNNNNNNNNNNNNNNNNNNNNNNNNNNNNNNNNNNNNNNNNNNNNNNNNNNNNNNNNNNNNNNNNNNNNNNNNNNNNNNNNNNNNNNNNNNNNNNNNNNNNNNNNNNNNNNNNNNNNNNNNNNNNNNNNNNNNNNNNNNNNNNNNNNNNNNNNNNNNNNNNNNNNNNNNNNNNNNNNNNNNNNNNNNNNNNNNNNNNNNNNNNNNNNNNNNNNNNNNNNNNNNNNNNNNNNNNNNNNNNNNNNNNNNNNNNNNNNNNNNNNNNNNNNNNNNNNNNNNNNNNNNNAGGUCGGGGCUCCGUAGGGGAGGGGUGCGGGGCGGCCGGCUACGGCAGACGGGGUCGGCGGCGGCGGCGUGGGUGUGGUGGGGAGGGAAUGAGAGAGUGAGAGAAGAGAGAGAGGACGUGGGAGGGACGGCCGUUAACGUACCCGCCUCUUUGUCGUCCGCCAACGGUCGACAAAGAGGUGGGGCCGGUGGGCUGUAGUUGGUUAAACAAUAACUGGACCCACCCAAUUCUUUGCCGUCUGCUAACAGACGGCAAAGAAUUGGCUGAUGGCAAAGACCUUGUUUGCCAUCAGCCAAUUUUUUGCCGUCCGUUUUCUUGUGGCUGACGGUAAAGACCUUCUUUGCCGUCAGCCAACAGACGACAAAGAGUUGGCAGACGGCAAAUAAGCUAAUUCCAGUAGUGGGUGAUGGUUCCCCCAAACAAUCCUCAAUUCCACCAGGAUAGAAUUUGGAGAGAGAUGGGACAUACCCAGUGUGCCAUGGAGCGCAACGACAACAAUUGUUUGACAUGCAAAGCAAUACAAUUUGUUGAUCCAUAGCUAAGCAUGGGUAUUUAGCUAGUAAAUUCUAAGUACUCAUGCAUGGACUCCAUGGUUUCGGUACAAAAUGAAAAUUAAGCAUGAACCGAUGGCCACCAAUUUACCCCUCAAUAACAACAUUAAAAUUUGGAGAAAAAGAGCACCCCCAACAAUCGAGAGCGGAAGAGACGAGUUGACACUUUAUGUUGUCUAGAAUUAUCUAUUAGUUACACCCAACAUAAAAUCAUGUACUCAAGUAUUUAUGGAAGUUAUUUGCUAGAUAUCUAAAACACUCUUCAAAGUUAUGUAUACAUAAGGAUAUUAUGGAAAAGAAUGCAUACAUACAUAGAGUGCAUCAAUAAAUUUAUGAAAUAAUGUGAAAAUAUUGAUUUUAUCAUAUUUAUGGUGAAAUAUAUUGUCAUGAAAGAUUUUUCUCAAAACCCCAAACUGAAUAAUAAAACCAACUGCAACAAAUACUGUUCCAAUUUACACUAGAAACAUAUUUGUAAUGACAAAUAUUAUAAUUACGUCUCAAUAGAAAUGAAUUUGGUACAUUGUUAGUGCUACUAGUUAUGAAAUAGUUCCGGCAUGUUAUAUGGAAAGAUAUGUCAAAACAUCAUAAAUAUAGAGAAAAACCUAAAAUAUUACAAAGUAAAAAACCUCAAUAUAAACUAGGUAAUAUACAUUUUUAUCUCGCAUUGGCCCCAUGAAUCAGAUGGCACGGGUUUUGGCACGCUCAUCCUACUUCAUCAUAAAAUCGAACAUGACAUCGCCCAUAGUAAAUUAUUAUCCACGAGGGAGGCAAUAGUCACCAUAGAAAUUCAGAAAGCUCAUAGGUCUCAAGUUCAUGUCUAACAUCUAUAAAAAAAACCUCUGGAAGAGUGAUGUGCCUCCCAAAGAGCAAUUCUUCACAUGACUGGUUAUGUGAAACGUUGUUGGAUGGAUGACCGUCUUUCAAGGCGUGGCAUGCAACACGCUUCCUCAUGCACGUUCUAUGACCAGAUACCUGAAUUGAUUGCUCAUACAUAUUGAUCCAGUGUCCCUUCACGAGGCAUUUUUGGUUGCUCUUUCGUCGUAGUUUCAAGCUCCGUCAUCUGACCCGAAUGCAGAUGUCAGGGUCAGAGAUUGGUGGUGCUCUAUGGAUAGGAAGAUGUCCUAGAUUAGUGCCAAGGAGAUGGCUACAUCAUGAUAGUGGGUCUUCAUAAGCUAUGCUUGGAACAUAACACCCGAGUUUUUGAUGAUAUAGCGCCGACUGCAUAGUGGGUCGCCCAGAUGGCGGUGAAUGAGUACAAGCUUUGGAUUCGAGCAAAGCGGAGAGAGAUAGAAGUUGAUGAGGAAUAUGCUUAGUUGUGGUUUAGGUGGAGGAGGUUUUGGCCGAUCUUUCCCUUUGGUGUAACAAAAUCUUGUUCUUGUUUCUUCACCAUUUGCUUGUAGUUCACUCUCCCCCUUCCUAAUGAAAUUGAUAGUCAACUAUUGUUUCUUGUUCUUAUUUUUUUUAUAAAAACUUGCAUUAUCUGUUUUGUACAAAAACAAGUUGUACAUAAGAAAAUUAUCCCAAAGCACACAACAAAUUCAAAAUCAACAAAACAAUACCGAAGUCACCAUCCUUGUGAAAUACUUCAAUGUUAUGAGCUACCGUAACACAGAAUUGUGAAAUGAUGUAAAUCCUUGUCCGUGUAAAUGAUUGGCAUGUUUACAAAAUAAGGACUUGUCUAAAAAAUAACCAUCCAUCCUUCUAUCACAACUCGUGUUAUGGGGCUCUAUAGCCCACCAGUUGAUAUAGUCCUUUCUAUUUUUUUAGCACCAAGUUUUGGUUCCCCAAACUCGGCCUGAGGACAACUCUAAUCCACCCCCAAGAAAAUAACUCCAAGAAAACUACCAUUUUUGGGGAAUUAGACAUAUCUGACACAACCCCAAAAGUCUAUAACUCCCAAAUAGUUGUCGAUCAAAUCAAGCCCCCUCCCAAUAUUAUCGGGGCUAAGUGAGCUAUCCAAUCAAUCUUCUAAUGGACCAAAUUCAUGCGGGAGGCAACUUACAUUUCGAAUUGCCACACACACUACCACUGCGAUUCACCGCACCGGGCUUGUCUCUAGCCACGCCACUGGCUAACGCACCCCAAUCCGCCCCACUGACCUUGCCCUGCCUUCCCUUGUUGCUCGCCACAAAUGGAAUCGCCUCCCAACCUGGCCCGCAACCACUGCCUUGUCAUAGUAUGGAUCCGAGAACCAGACCGACGAUGGUCACCGCUUGAGCUACAUGUUGCAUAAUGUUCGUGCCCCACCUAUAAAUAGACGUCGCCAAUGACCUCAAUUUACCCUGAUGUCCUCCGUUGUUGUGCCGCUCUCUCCACCACCGCCUUUUGACCCAAGAAAUAACAAGUUCCCAUGUCGUGUCGAUCAGGGAGCACAUGAUAGGGUGACAACUUCCUCCGGGUGAACACAAGUUGAGAUGACUCACUGAACCAGCCACCACAUGACCUCCUCUGUCAUGCCCUCAACCUAUUCGACAAGUGGUCCACAAGGUGAGUUGGCUUGAGCCAGUGGUGGAUCUUGAGCCAAAAACAUGGGGGGGGGGGGCAAACAUAAUUGUCUUGAACCUACUUUUGGUGAAAAAUAUGCCUAAUACAAAGGGAUAUAGGCUUGUUUUCUUGUGAGCUAGGGGGCCAUGGCCUAGGUUAGCCCCCAUGAAGCUCCGCCACUGGCUUGCGCAAGAGUUCUUUGACGAAUCAUCAUCAUCGGAGGAGGAAAGAUGAUGAUUAAUUUGAUAUGGUCUUGAUGAUGAUCGUGGAGGAAGAAGGAAGCAGUUCUUAGAUCGGUCAUAGGUACAUUCGUCAUAAUAGGGAAUAUGCAUAUGCCAAAAUCAUGAGAUACUAUUUCAUGGAAAGUUUAGUGUAUCAGGAAAACUUGUUCACACGAUGUCUAUGAAUGCCGACGAUGCUCUUUCUAGGACUACGGUCGAAGUACAUGAUUAUUGCCUCUUGCAAAGGGUGGAUGCAGUGAGAAAACUGUUGGGGAACGUAGCAGAAAUUCAAAAUUUUCCUACGAGUCACCAAGAUCUAUCUAUGGAGAAACCAGCAACGAGGGGAAGGAGAGUGCAUCUACAUACCCUUGUAGAUCGCUAAGCGGAAGCGUUCAAGUGAACGGGGUUGAUGGAGUCGUACUCGUCGUGAUCCAAAUCACCGAAGAUCCUAGUGUCGAACGGACGGCACCUCCGCGUUCAACACACGUACAGCCCGGUGACUUCUCCCAUGCCUUGAUCCAGCAAGGAGAGAGGGAGAGGUUGAGGAAGACUCCAUCCAGCAGCAGCACAACGGCGUGGUGGUGAUGGAGGAGCGUGGCAAUCCUGCAGGGCUUCGCCAAGCACCGCGGGAGAGGAGGAGGACUUGGGAGAGGGGGAGGGCUGCGUCAGAACUUGGGUGAAGCUCCCAUGCGCCUCCCCACUAUAUAUAGGGGUGGAGGGGGCUGGUUUCUUGCCCUCCAAGUCCAUUGGGGCGUUGGCAAAGGUGGGAGGAAAGAAAUCCCAUCAUUUCCUUCCCCACCGAUUGUUAUCCCCCCUUUUUAGGGAUCUUGAUCUUAUCCCUUCGGGAUAUGAUCUUAUUCCUUCUAAGGGGGAUCUUGGUGCGCCUUGACCAGGGAUGUGGGGCCUUGCCCCCACUACCCACGUUCAUGUGGGUCCCCCCAUGCAGGUGGGCCCCACUCCGGAACCUUCUAGAACCUUCCCGGUACAAUACCGAAAAAUCCCGAACAUUUUCCGGUGGCCAAAAUAGGACUUCCCAUAUAUAAAUAUUUACCUCCGGACCAUUCCGGAACUCCUCGUGAUGUCCGGGAUCUCAUCCGGGACUCCGAACAACAUUCGUUAACCACAUACAAACUUCCUUUAUAACCCUAGCGUCAUCGAACCUUAAGUGUGUAGACCCUACGGGUUCGAGAACCAUGCAGACAUGACCUAGACGUUCUCCGGCCAAUAACCAACAGCGGGAUCUGGAUACCCAUGUUGGCUCCCAAAUGUUCCACAAUGAUCUCAUCGGAUGAGCCACGAUGUCAAGGACUCAAUCGAUCCCGUAUACAAUUCCCUUUGUCUAGCGGUAUUGUACUUGCCCGAGAUUCGAUCGUCGGUAUACCGAUACCUUGUUCAAUCUCGUUACCGGCAAGUCUCUUUACUCGUUCCAUAACACAUCAUCCCGUGAUCAACCCCCUGGUCACAUUGUGCACAUUAUGAUGAUGUCCUACCGAGUGGGCCCAGAGAUACCUCUCUGUCACACGGAGUGACAAAUCCCAGUCUCGAUUCGUGCCAACCCAACAGACACUUUCGGAGAUACCUGUAGUGCACCUUUAUAGCCACCCAGUUACGUUGUGACGUUUGGUACACCCAAAGCAUUCCUACGGUAUCCGGGAGUUGCACAAUCUCAUGGUCUAAGGAAAUGAUACUUGACAUUAGAAAAGCUUUAGCAUACGAACUACGAUCUUUGUGCUAGGCUUAGGAUUGGGUCUUGUCCAUCACAUCAUUCUUCUAAUGAUGUGAUCCCGUUAUCAACGACAUCCAAUGUCCAUGGUCAGGAAACCGUAACCAUCUGUUGAUCAACGAGCUAGUCAACUAGAGGCUUACUAGGGACAUGGUGUUGUCUAUGUACUCACACAUGUAUCUGAGUUUCCUAUCAAUACAAUUAUAGCAUGGAUAAUAAAUGAUUAUCAUGAACAAGGAAAUAUAAUAAUAACUAAUUUAUUAUUGCCUCUAGGGCAUAUUUCCAACAAAAACUUAGUACAACUGCAAUUUAGAAGUGUUGUGCAACAAUGCAUGUGUUGGCAUAUGCAGUCCCAAGUGACUUGGCAUAUGAAUAUGUCCAAAUUUGCAAAGAUCUUAUCAUUACUUGUAUAAAGAGGUUUGCAAAGCAUGUGGUUGAGAUGUUCGGAGAAUAGUACCUAAUAGCAUCCAAUGAAAAUGGCACAACAAGGCUACUGAAUAUUGGUGCAAUGAGAGGGUUCCCUAGGACGCUUGGAAACAUCGAUUGCUUGCACUAGACAUCGAACAAUUGUCCUUCGAGAUGGAGUGGGCAGUUUACUAGGAUUUUGCAUGAUCUAACCAUCAUACUCAAAGUUGUUGCCUCCGAUGAUCAAUGGAUUUGGCAUUGAUACUUUGGUAUGCCUAGAUCUCACAAUAAAAACAAUGUCCUGCAAAGAACAAGUCUUUUUGUAAGGCUUGUUGCAGGGGAAACUUCAUCUUGCAACGUGGAAGUUACCGGUCACUAGUGUGAUAAGUGAUAUGACCUAGCAGAUGGUACCUACCCUUCAUGGUCCACAUUUGUCAAGAAAAAUUGAAAUACGGAAGGCAACAAGCACUACUAGGGAAAUGCUUAUAGGUAGGACAUCAGUAGUAGCACUGGAAAAUAACAAGCACUGCUGCUAGAGCAACGCUGCUCCGGGGCAGCGCUACAAGUGAUGCCUUAGUAGCAGCGUUGGAAAUGAAAAGAGCGCUACUCAUAAGUGGGACCCAAUGAGCCCACCGACGCUAGCUGUAGUAGCGCUUGUCUACCAACCAAUGCUACUACUAUGGGCACCUUAUCCAUCCUGCGUCCUCACUCUCCGCUCACACUCUCUCACUCGCUCUCUCUGCCACCACGUGCCAUCCCCGCCAUUGCCCGCCGUCACUCCUCUCUCCUCCCUCCGGCGGAGGCUAGGUAUCUGCCUCCCUCCUCCUCUCGCCGUCGUCCUCUCUCCUCCCUCUGGUGGCCCUCCUCUCUCCUCCCGCCGCCGCCGCCGGAUGCCCUCCUCCCACCUCCUCCGACCGCCCUGUGCCCUAAAUGUAGGUUUUUUGAAUAAAAUAGACGAAAAUCAGUAAAUGUACUUCAUUUGAAUAGAAUAGGAAAUUUUUAGUAAAUUUUCUUCUUUUGAAUACAAUAGAAAAUUAGUAAAUGUAGAAUAGAACAGAAAAUUAGAAACAAUUCAGUAAAUGUAGGUCUUUUGAGUACAAUUGAAUUUUUAUUCGUUUGAUCUUGGUCUUUUGAACCCAUUAUCUUUAAGUAUUAUAGGUAUCAAAUUAAAUAUGAAAAUGCCCAUGUCGAUGAUUAGAACUAUGUUUUACAAAUUUUUAGGGUUAGAACUUGGUUUUACAAAUUUUUGUUUUUGUUUUAGACAUAUGGUUUUAAUAAUGUUUUUGUGUAUAUUUUGUUUUUGUAGAAAUCAAGGAGCCCCUGCAUCAUCCCGGCCGCCGUCAUCCCCGUAACCGACCCCCUCCGACCUCGAGGUGAGACCAGCCAAAUCCCCAUAUAGAUAGAUGGAUGGAUGGAUAGCUAUGACAAUGUGAUGACCAGCCAAACACCUCCAAGUGGCCUAUGUUUUGACGAAGUGUCGACUAAUUUCCAUUCCGGCAAAUUUCAGGCGCUCGAUAUGUCCUUUCUAGCAAAGGUCAUGCCGGAUUAUUCCUUGAAUUUUGGAAUGACUUAUGCUAGAAUAUGUAGGAAAUAUCAAGGCGCUCGGAUUUUCUACAAAGAUAAUUAAACAACAUUUCGGAUUGACUUUAGGUCUGUCAAGGCUCCAUACAUGACGGUCAGAAAAUGAGUGAGGAAGAAUCCCGACUGUUGUCGUGGGGGUCAUUUCUCCUUCUUCUCCUUGUGCUAGACCUUUGUUAUGCACUAGGGGAAGGAGGAGUAACGACCAUCACUGACGGUCGAAAAAUCAGUGAGGGAGUGUCCACCAUAUAUGAGAGCGGACGAAGAAUCCCGACUGUUGUCGUGGGGGUCGUUUAUCCUUCUUCUCCUUGUGCUAGACCUUUGUUAUGCACUUGGGGAAGGAGGAGUAACGACCAUCACCGACGGUCGAAAUUCAAGAAAAGACUCGACAGACCAACAACCAAACCGUGAUGAAUAAUAAUGAUCUAAUUUAGUUUUUGGUGUACAUAUAUUGAAUUUUACAAGUUUAAUCUUUGAAUUAUGGACAUAGGAAAUGUCUGACGACGAUGAUAGGAUCCCGGAGUGCGACUACUGCGGCGACGACCAGGGUCUGUGCGAUAGGCCUCACCUGGUAGACGGUCGACACUUCAGUGUUAAUCUCGACGAGACGUUCGAUGUUGAAACAGUACACAAUGACAAGUCUUUUUUCGUAAUUAAGCAUGACUUAUGCUUCUUCAAUGUGUAAUUUUUGUCUUUUACAAUUCGACUAGCUUAUCCCAUGCCAUGCAAGACGCUAUGUCUUGGAGCAUCUGGAUUUCGAAGAUCAUAACAAUAUGGAGACAAAGAUAGUUCAUCUCAGGACCCAUCAUGGUUAUGAUUUUGCUGUAAGCUAUACAAUUCGGAGAGUGUACCCCAUUUUGGUUGCUCGAAUUGGGAAGCACUGUGCAAGGCAUAUGAUUUUCAGGAGGGUAUGUAUGUCACCUUCGUUCUUGGUGAUCAUGACGAUGGCAUUUGGGUCCUUGUUGACACGCUUCCGCUUCUACCUCUAUGUGAGUUUCUCAAACAUAUUUAUUAAGUAAUUUAUAUUUUUUAUUUCAAAAUAGUUGAGAACUUAUUUCAGAAUAGUUGACAGCUUAUUUUCAAUGACAACUUAUUUUCAUUCUUCAAAAAAUAUACGGAAGAUGGUAGACAGAACCUACUACAUUAAUGGCGCUGAUUUAACUUAUGAGGAGAAAGAUCAUCUUAUCUCAUUUAUUAUUGAUGUUGAGAAUUAUAAUAUCAAUUAUGAAACUCCUGCACAUUAUGGUCAAUAUGUGCCACUAGUGCGCGUGUUGAACUACAGUAACAUCCAUGGAGAUGGCAUGGUAAGAUUUUUACUAUGUCGACACCCAUGCAUUUUGCAUCUAUUCUUCUAAAGCUAAACUACAUUGCUAACCAUAAUGUUAUUAUUAUGUUUUUUCAACAAAAAAUCCUGAAGGAUUGUGUGUCUAAUCUGAUGUUUUUGAAAGGCCGGCUUGAUGUUAUUAGCUUAUGGCCAGGUCAUCCUAGGCUUCACCGUUGUUCAUACCGGAUUUCUAAAACCGAUGAAGACAUGACAAUCAAAGAAUGGAAAAAAUGUGUGGACAAUCAUAGGGAGCUACUUGGAAGCAACAUUGUGCGAAGCGCAAGAAUUGAAGACAGGAUAAUCUCCAUUCUCCAUAAUGGAGCGUCAGGGCCACUCUUGUUUUAUGCUAUUUUACCUUAAAGAGGGUAGUAGGUCCUAGCUAAUACUCAUGAUCAUGUGCUAAGAACAAUUAAAUGGGGUUGGUUAGAUGACUAAGAUGAUGAUGAGUAUGACUUGUUAUUAUGAUAACGAGUAGAAGUUGUAUGGUGAUGAUGAUGAGUAGGACUUGUUAUUAUGAUAACAAUGAUGAGUUAUAUAUUAUGAUGAUGAUGCAUGAUGCUAAGUUGUCAUAUGAGCAUAAUGAGUUAUUAUAUACAUCAGUGGGUGAAAUGAACUAUGUUGUGCAGGCAACAUGUUGUGCACAUAUCGAAAGUACUAAGCAGUAGUACUUUUGAUAUGUGCACCACAUGUUGCCUCCACUUGAAUCUAAUCCACAUUCAUUUCACCCACUGAUAUAUAUAAUAACUAAUCAUGGUCAUAAAAUCAUAUGAUGAAAGUACUUUAUAUAAAACCUAUACAAAUAUAGAGACAAUAAGCUGCAUUUUAAAAAAUAUAGGAAAAUUAAGUAGUAGCGCUUUUCAUAAGAAACGCUACUGCUACUUACUAUCAUCAGUAGCGCUAUUCCAGACCGAGCGCUACUGCUAACUAGGUAUAGCAGUAGCGCUGGAAAACCAGCACUACUACUAUCAGUUAGCUGUAGCGCCUUAGUGAUAGUGCUUGUAUAAGUGCUACUGAUAGCUAUAAAUCCAGCGCUACUGCUAGGAUUAUCCCUAGUAGUGAAGAGACCUCACCUUGCCUUCGCUCAAGAAUCUGUGAGAAAAGAUGUUGCGAGGGAUUUUUGUGUGUUGCAAGCUUGCUUUGUCACUAUUCUCAUGACAUGUUGUGUGAUCUUUCACAACAUGAUCAUAGAAAAUGAGAGAUGACAACCACACAACUUGGAUUUUGAUCCCAAUCAAGAUCAUUUCACACCUCUGUGUAAUGCAUCUAGACUCAUAGGUUUGAAGUGCAUCAACAAAUCAAAGAUAAGCAAACUCAUGUGAAACUACGGGAAGACCUUAUGAAGCACCACGGGCAAUGUCUUGGACAAUAAAUCUAUCAUGAAUCAUCCUGUGUAUUUAGAACAUUUGCUUCAUUUAGACCCCACGUGUUUAAAUUUGAAUUUGUAAGUCUGAAAACAAUGAGUUGGAAAUAUUGUUCAAAUAUUUGCAUCAUUGACAUCAAUAUUUGAACUACUAUGUUGUAGAAAUUAGUUCAAAUGGGGUCUAAAGUUUACAAAACAAAUUAAGAAAUGGCAAAGAAAGUUUUAUGAACUAAGUUUUGAGGAUAGGUUAGAUGUCACCCUCCCAAUACCUAGGAAUUUUUGGAGUUAAGUUUUAGGGAUUGAUUUUUGGGCACUAACUUCUAGGGAUGGAUUAGAAUUGGCCUGAUGAUGCUAGAUGCCGAGCUUUCGUUGAUGGUGGGGUGAUGCGAUGGCACCCAUAGGUCAUCGUUGUUUUUACUUGCUGGCUUCAAAGGCUUCCUAGAGUAUUUUGGUGGAGGUGUAGCUAUUGAACCACAGAGUUCAUCGUCCUCACUGGGCAAUGUUGAGGUCUUGAAGUUUGCAACCCUCAAUGUAUUUUUUGGCACCGGAACAACGAUAGAACCCCAUAGAGCAUCAUCUUCCAAUUUUGGUAGGGUGGAUUUGAUCUUGUUGAGUUUGAAACUACAUUUCACAAAAUGCAAUAGCAAAAGCAUAUAGAUUAUUAAGACUUAUGGUAGACCUACACAUGGUCUUACAUUGGAUAGAACAAAUGCACCAAGGCAACUGAAUAAAACUCACGGGCUUGCUUUGCUUGCACCACUCAACGGUAUUCAUAUUUGGAUAUGUCUUUUUUUUUGUUUCUCUAUGUGGUGAUUGAAUUUGGAUUUGAAAAUUUUAGAGAUGGUAGACACAUGUGAACAUUCACAGUUUUUUUCAUUUUUUAAUCUUUUGAAUUUGAAUUUUGUGUGUUGGUAUUAUGGCAUCACUGGAUACUCAUGCGAGAGCUCGGAACUGUUGACCACAUACUUUCUAGUAUGCACAUUUUUAUUACACAACAAGCAUAUGUAUGUAGUAAGAAAUAGUAAGAUCACAGUGAUUGCCAUGGCAACUGAGCAUACAUUUUUUUCUCUCCGUAGUUUCCUUUUGUUUUAAGCGAGAUGCCAUCAAUUUUCUUUUUCCCUAUCCACUCUUGGGAGCUUAGUCAUAGAUUGUUUUGGAAGGGGUAGACACCCAAUCUUCAUUUAGUGUCGUAAAGAUAUAUGCAAGCUAAUUGUGUUGUCUCUGCCGGUGUAAAGAACAUCGGCAUCAUCAAGUUUUCUACGUUGCAUUUAGUCAGUACAAAAUCACUUCAGAAAUGUGCCAUAUGCUGGUCUCAAAGACGUUAAUAACAUUUGCUAAAAUUGCCGGCAGCAACAUGCGUGCAUGAAACUAGUUUAUUAUUAUUAUUAUUGAUAACAGUGAAUUUCAUACAAAAUAAAGCUCAACACAUUAUUUUAUUGAUGAUUCGAUCAAUAAUCUGCUCCAGCGAGGCCGGUAUACCAAAGUGGUCGAGCUCGCGGCCGAGGAUGACGCGGCGGAGGAGCUCUAGUCCUCGUCGGAGCUGGCGAGGCCGAUGAACUUCUCCCUCUGCUCCUCACGGAUGCGCCGCCACUCGUCGUCCUUGUCCUUCGCUGCAAGGUUGGCCGCGACCGCCUACUUGAAGAUGAGGUCUUCGAGCCCCUCGUCGUGGCGCCGGCGCUCCGCCUCCUCACGCAAGCUCUAUUUGGCAAUGGCGGCCGCGGCCGCGUUGACAUUGGCCACGAAAUCUUCGGGCCCGACGACCGCGGGACCCCGCGGCACCCGAUCUCCCCCGGCUCCUGCUUGACGGCCACGACCUCGAUCUCCUCCGGCUCCUCCGACCACUCCCUCUUCACGGGGAGAAGCCCCGCGCCGGAAGAGGAAGAGCUCGCGGUGUGGGAAGAUCUCGCAGCGGAGGAGGAUCCCGCGGCCGAGGAGGGCGUACUAGUAGAAAACAGGGCUUUCGUUCGGGCCAGAUAAGCCCAUUAGUCCCGGUUCAGUCACAAACCGGGGCUGAUGUGAGCAUUGGUCCCGGUUCGUGCGGCUAAAGGCAUUAGUCCCGGUUCAAAUGAGCCCUUUAGUCCCGGCUUGAGACACAAAUCAGGACUAAAGGGUGUGAUGCCCUUUAGUCCCGGUUCGUGUCUCAAACUGGGACUAAAGAUUAGAGCUUUAGUACCGGUUCGUGCCUCAAACCAGUACUAAAGGUCCCAUUUUCAAACUCUACCCCCCCUCCCCCACUCCGUGGUUCACCUUUUCAGUUUUGUAAAAAGCAAAAGAAAAUGAUAAAAACUUCAAAAAUUAAAAUCCUUCGAGAUGUAGUUAUGUUACUACAUCUAUUAGUUAGGAAAAUUUAAAACUUAAAUUUGGACAUGUUUUGCAAAAAAAAUGUUAUGAAAAAGUAAAACGGCCCUAUCUUUUGCAUACGAUGUUGAAAAAAACCCGCAUAAUAUAUCAAAAAUAUCAGCACGAAAAUUCGCAUCCGAUUUUGACAGCCAUAGGCUUGUUUGCAAUUUUUUAGAAUCCUCAAAUUCUAAAAGGAAAAAAAAAUAUGCUCAAAUUUCAGUUUUUUUAAAUUUUGGUCAAACUAUGGUCAAACUACUUAUUGAAGGAGUAUUAGUGGUACUAAAUAAUUAUUCAAUAAUAUUAUUGUUACUAAAUAAAUAUUUCGGUACUUUGAAUUUUGGUCAAAUCUGGUCAAACUCUCGUCAAACUGUGGUCAAACUACUUAUUCAAGAAAUAUUAGUCUUACUAAAUAAUUAUUGUUUUUUAGAAUAAUUGUUUCAAACUCAAACAGUGAAACGUGUGACUUCAUGCUCAAGCUAAACUCCUGAGAGUUAAUAGGAUUGACAUCUUACUAUUGUGAGGAAAACAACAAGUGCAGACUUGGAAACGAGGGGGAAUAGAACCCGGAAGUUAAGCAUGCUCAGGCUGGAGUAGUGAGAGAAUGGGUGACCGGCCAGGAAGUUAGAUGAUUUGGAAUGAUGAGGGGUCAUUAGAGAAUAGAGGUUAAAUUGAGCAGUGAUGAGGGGUGAUUAGAGAGUAGAGGUUAAAUAAUUCGGAAAUUUGAAAAUCGAGAAAAAAAUUCAAAAAAAAAACCUUUAGUCCCGGUUUGUGUUACCAACCGGGACUAAAGGUGGAGCUCCAGACAGCGGCCACGUGGAGGGCCUUUAAUCCCGGUUCGUAUAAGAACCGGGACUAAAGGGGGGGCCUUUAGUGACGACCCUUUAGUCCCGGUUUCAGAACCGGGACCAAAGGCCCUCUAGAACCGGGUCGAAUGACCCUUUUUCUACUAGUGGCUUACGCCCAUGCCGAUGGUCGUACUCCUCCGUCUCGAGAAGGAGGAGGCUCGGCGGCGGCUCGAGGCCCUUGUUCGCCCACUUCCUCGCUGCGCGCUUCCUCGCGUCGUCCGAGCGGACAUGCCGCUUGUGCUCGGGGUCGCCGCCCCCGCCGGAGCUGCCACCGGAGCUGCGGCCGGAGCUCCACAUGCGGCCCCACAUGGCGGCUGGAGGAGGAAGGGGGCUCACCGGUGGCGAGAAAUGUGAGGAGGGGGGAGUGGGGAAUUGUGGCGAGACGCGGCGGUGGGGGGAUAGGGUUUCGACCCGCAUAUGCCCCGCGAACCCGUAGAUAUACUGCUUCGGGGGGAGGGGAGAGCGGUUUGUGGGCCGAGUAAAAGAAUUUACGGGCCGGGCGAGUAUACAGGCUCUGUUCUGUCCAGAAAAUUGGGCCGAGUCCAUAUACUCACCAGAAUUUUGCGGGUUUGCGACAUAUACAGGGUCUGCUAGAGUUACUCUCUGAUGUCCUUGAAGUUCCCCACCAGGUUCUCGAGGCAGCGACACGCCGCCUGCCGGUCGGCCGCGUCGGACGCCUUGCCGCUCAGGAUCUUCACCCCGCCGUAGCACCCCGCCGACGGUGCCGUCGCUUGCCCCGUCCCGUAGGACAUGCACGACGCGAUGGCGGACGUCACGUCUGUUGAGCAUACGAUUAUUAUGAAGUACAAGAUAGACUGGAUUUGGUCCUGCCUUAUCUUCUACUUCAAGUUUUGUACUUCUAUAUAUAUGCCCAUAAGGCUUAAGCAAUACGUCAACUAUUUCACCAAUCCCUCUCUAUCCAUUCUCAUGGUAUGAGCCUAACCGAUCCAACACUAGCCGUCGCCCGUCCCUUCCCCUCCGUGCCGCCGCCGGUGGUUGAUCUUCAUGACCGCCGCCGGGGCCACUGCCCGUACCAAGGGUUCGUCCGCCGGUCGUGUUGACCGGUUGCCCUAAAGAGUCUUUUUCCAGAGCCCUUACUCCGGGUUUUUCUCUCUCCCGCCGAUCAUCUUGAUCGGCGUUUUAUUUUUGCUUUUCCAAUUUAAGAUCAGUUUGCGUCGCCUGCCGCCGUCGACCACUGUGUGCCUCUACUCCAACACCGGCGCGACUGGCCGGCUCCUACACCGACCCGGCGGCCUCGCGUGACAGGCGGCCCUUCACGGCCGUGGUCCGCGCGUCUGUCCGCCCGUCACCCUGCGCCGGCCGUCGCGGCCCAGCUCCGACCAGGACCUCUCCAUUGCCACCCGCCUCCGCCGCGUCUACACGGCGGCCCUGUGGUCUGCCUCGCCGGCCUCGUCCCCGGGUGCGUCAAUGACCCACCGUGUUUGUACUCCUGUAUAUAUGUUCGAAAAGUAAUUAAAUCCACCAUGUUUGUAUGAAAGUUGUCAUGUUUGUAUGAAAUCCAACUGUGUUUGCAUGAAUUUCAUCUGGUUUGUUGAAAAAGAAUUUGAAAUGUAUGUGGCUAACUUUGGAUGGCAUCCUCCUGCAUCGGUGUCCGCGGACUGGUCCCCUCUCCCCCCGUCUGCGGACGGAUGCGGGAGGAAAUUUACUGGUUGCCAUUGGAGAUGCCCUAAGUAGGUGGACCGUCGUUGGGAAAUACACUUUGGAACCUGGUUGUAUAUACACCCAUAUAUAGAGUUUUUUCAAUAAUUAAAAAAAGUGAAAAUAGUUUAGAAGUUUUUUUUAGAAUAAACUUGACUUCCUUUCCUACUAGUAUAUAAAUUUUCAGAAAAAAACCAACAUUGACUUGAGGGCAAAAAAGACAAAAUUUAUUUGCUAUUAUAGGUCACUAUUCGCACUAGUAUCACCGGAGUACUAUUUUAGCUAAAAAAUUAUCUUUUUUCGAAAAGAAGUCAAAGAGAGAUUUUCUAUUUAUGGAAUUUUUCUCACGAGUACAAUGAAAGGUCAUGUUCAUUAAAAAAAAUAUUUUCAUUUUUUUGACUUUUUAUGAAUUACUAAUUUUCUUUCCUAUAGGGUUUAGAUACACCCAGAAACCAAACCUCCCCAUCCGACCGUCGUUGUCAAACGCAAAAUGGGACGGACAUCCUUUAAAAUAAAACUCCAAGCUCCCUGGGAAUAAAUAGCUGGGAGCGCUCAGGUUGUCACCAUCACAAUAGGGCCACUGGUCAGAUGAAUUGUUUCUGUACGUUGGCUGUAUAGCUGUUUGCAUGCAUACACCAUGCUUGUGACUCACACGAGGCUGGACGGUGGGUGGUGAGGAGCAUUGCAUCCGCACAUGCACCUUAGAUUAAACGAAGCGACCUAAUUUUCCCGGCCAGUUUAUGGGUCUACCUAAUUAACAAAUAUUUUGGUGAUUAAUCCCUUAUGCUGUACGUGGCAGCACAAAGAAGGCUCAGCUGCGUAUAUAUAAGUGCAUGUGAAUAAUUAAUACUCAUGGCCAGUUAAAUCCUAGCAUGCAUAUAUUGCCAUAAUCCACUAUACAUCAUAUUGGUACAAAAUCUCAUGCUUAUAGGAAUGUAAAAAUGAACAAUGCCAAGCAUCACAUCGUUUAUCUGUGUGAAGAUAAGAUGCAGAAGUCCAUACAAAAACUAGCAAAAUUCAGUGGUCUAUCCACAACACCAUUAACCAAAAUGAUCAAGUGACCGUUCACCCGGUGCAGCAAAGCGCACCUAUCCAUCUAGUUAACAUGAUAUGAAGUAAAUUAUGUGUACGAUCGAUCUAUCCACCUACCAUGCCAUGCAUUGAGAAAAGCAAAGCUAGGAUCUAUGACUAAUGAAGUGUACAUAUUAAUUUCCACCGGCAAAUGUACUGAUCAGGCGGUGCAGAGUGAUCAAUGCCACCAACAUGGGUGCUUUAUUUCUUAACUCCAACUAGUAAGUGGAGUGUAUAUCAAGCAUAUACUUCUACGUAGAAUAUCAUAAGAAAACCAACAUUUAAAGAAAACUUCAUGCAAACCAUCAUUAAAAGUUUUGAAAAAGUAUGGAAAAAAAUAUGGGAAGUUAAGAGGGUGAUAUUCUAUUGCUAUGCAAAAUUCCAAGUUGCAAAACAUUGCGGGAUGCGAGCUAUGGAAAAACAAAUUUCACAGUGAAUAGUUAUGUUAUGUGCUACACUAUUCAAUGUUGAUUUUGUUAUUUUUAUGGGUAACAUCCAAUAAUAUGUUUGAACUUGGAAUUCCACAUCUCAAUAGGACGUCACCCUCUUACAUUCCAUAUUUGUUUUGAGAUUUUCCCAAAACUUCAAACCAUCAUUUUUGUGUGGUUUUCAUUGGUUUCCAUCAAAUUUAGUUUUCAUGGGAGAAUAUCACAUGAAAACCAACAUUCAAAGAAAACUUCGUAGAAACGACCUUUGAAAGUUUCGAAAAAAUCUGAAAAAAAUGGGAUGUUAAGAUGGUGAUGUUCUAUUGCUAUGCGAAAUUCCAAGUUGAAAAACAUUUGUAGUUAAGUCAUGAUUUUCUCUUAAUUAUAUAAAAAUAGGAUCUAUUAUUUAUAUUUCCUUUUAAUUGUAGCAAAAGUAGGAUCUAUGAUUUAUCUUUUCUUUUAAUUAUAGCAAUAUUCCCUACCUAUCAAACAAGUGGUGUAUUCGAUAUGUCUUAAGUUACACUUUUAAAACUUUGAAUAAAAUAUUGUUUCAAAUGUUUUGAUUGAGAACAAGUAAAUAAUAUUACAUUUAAAUUUGUCUCGAAAUGCAUAUUCAUAACAUAAUUUGAGUGAAUUCCAUUUUCACCCGUUACUUUGGCAUUUUUUACACUAAUUAGCCAUUCACACUUUUCAUCCGAACUAGAUGAUCCAUUAAGUCCUUGGCACAAAAACCAAAUGCAACCAAGAAGUUAGGUGAACUAUUAGAUUAUUUUUUUGCUGAAAUACAUGCAAAAUACGAUGAUCUGUUGCGUCCUUGGCGCACAAAUCAAAUGCAAUUGAAAAGUUAGGUGAACUAUUUUUUAUUAUUUUUGGCUGCCCAUAAGAAGGUUUGAAUUGAAUGUUAACCAUCCUGCGCAGGUUUUCAAGAAGAUGUGCCGAGUACACUCAACCGGGUUCGAUAGAUAGUCAAGUUUGACAUACUGGCCGGUACCUAGUCUGUUGCCCUCUCCAACUUAAAGCCGCCCUCGGCCUUGAGGACGAAUAACGACCCAGUCGGCCGUUCCCAGGGAGUCAGCGCUGAGAGGGCGCAACGCAGCAUGGGGUUCCCCGCGAAUGUUGUGGAAAAUUAGUUCAAAUGUGAUAUAAGUUUGCAAAAUGAAGUGAUAAAUAGUGAAGGUUUUGUUUUACGGAACUAAGUUCAUGGGAUGUGUUAGAUGUCAACCCCCCAAUGCCUAAGAUUUUUUGGGAAUUAAGUUUGGGAUCUGUUAGAUGCCAAUCUCCCAAUGCCUAUGAAUUUUUAAGAAUUAUGUUUGGGAUGGGCUUUUGGCCACUAAGUUUGAGGAUGAAUCACUGUUGCCAGAUGCCCAACAUUCGUUCCCGGUGGGGGUGCUGCGAUGGCACCCCAUAGGUCGUCGUUCUUUGUAGAACCUCAUAGAGCAUCAUCUUCUGCUUUGCACCUUUGGUGCACUUGAUGUUGAUAAUUUUAAAACUACAGUUGACAAAAUUGAAUAGCAAAAGCAUAUAAAUUAUUAAGACUUAUGGUAGACCUGCACAUGGGAGAUAGAACAAAUGCAGCAAGACAAUGGAAUAAAACUCACGGUGUUGCGUUGGUUGCACCACUGGACACAAUUCACGCCUAGAUUUAUCGUUUCAUUCUAUUAAGAUAGAAUUUGGAUUUGGAAUUUUUAGAGAUUGUAGAUAUGUGGGCACUCACAAUUUUUCAGAUUUUUUUAAACUUCCUAAUUUUAAUUUUAUGCAGUGGGAUCAUGGUAUCACCAAUAGUGUGGUAUCAUAUCAUACUUUCCCCAGAGGGCAGGAUGAUAGACCACAUACUCCCUCCGUCUCGUUUUAUAGGGAGUGCAUGUAGUUCUAGGUCAUCGAUUUGACUAACUAAAUAUGAGUUAUAUGUCACCAAAAGUACAUCAUUGGAUUCUUAAGCGGAUGUAGUUUCCAAAAAUAUAUUUUUCAUCAAAUAUAAUACAGAUUUAGUUAGCUAAAUUGUCAACCUAGAACGAUGCGCAUGCCUUAUAAACCGACGCGGAGGACGUACAUUGUCCUCUGCACAAUUUUCACCCCACAACAAACAUAUUUAUGAGAAGUAGUAAGAUCCCGAUGGUUAACAUCACAACCCAGAACAAGUCUCUUUUCUCCAUUGUUUCCCUUUGUUUUAAGUGAGAUGUCAUCAAUUUUCCUUUCCAUAUCCACUCUUGGGAGCCUAACCAUAGAUUUUUUUUUGGAGGGGAUGAACAUCACAUCUUUAUUUGGUCUCGUAUAAGAAUCAUAUGUAAGUUAGUUAUGUUGUCUUUGCCAGCGGUUAGAAAAUCAUCGCUUGAUUUAUCAAGUUGACACGUUUUCCCCCCUUGCAUUUAGUUACAAAAUUACAAAUGUGCCGUGUUGGUAUCAAAGACGUUAACAACACUUGCUAAGAUUUCCAGCAGCAACAUGCGGGCAAGAAACUAGUUUAUAAACAGCGAAUGUUAAAAACUUCCGCUCAACACAUUAUUUUAUUGAUGAUUCGAUCAGUAAUCUGCUCGAUCUGUAACAAGGACAACAGAUGGAGGUGGAACACAUGCAGAAAACAACAACGAAUACACGCAGAGAGCAGCAACAGUAGACACCGAGUGGGCUAGCUAGCCUGGUGUGAUGAUGAUGCUCGUAGAUAACUUAAUGAAGGCUGCAAACACACAGACACAAAAGCUCAACGAUUAGUCUUACUAUUUAUACUUACAAAUUAAGAUUAAAUGGCUAACGAGUACUUAGAAUAUAAUCUUUCAAGUUAGGAGUGGAGGAUGUACUUGUUGCAGUUGACGCUGUUGUUGAUGGGGAAAGAGACGGAGACGCCGCACUUGCCGGGGAUGUUGGCGGCGUUACCCAUGCUGAUGCCAUUGAACGACCCCGCCAGGUUCUUGAGGCAGCGGCACGCCGCCUGCCGGUCGGCCGAGGUGGACGCCUUGCCGUUCAGGGUCCUCACCCCGCUGCAGCACCCCGCCGAGGGUGACGACGCUUGCCCCGUUGCGUAGGACAUGCACGGCGCGAUGGCGGACGUCACGUCGCUGCAGGUCACCGCCCCAGACGCCAUCUCCGCCACUGCCAGUGCGGCGAGCACGGUGAACACGGCGAGCAGUGCCACGCGAGCCAUCGAGGAUCUAGUGCUUCGGCUUGCUUGCUGGAAAUGUAGCUGGGAAGGAGCAGAGAGCUUGAUUGGCUUGUGUGGUGGUGGUGGAGAUGGAAUGGAACUCCGUGGAGCGGGCUAUAAAUAGCCGGCUGGCAAGAAGAAGAAGAAAAAGAUAAGGUGUUCCUGUAGCAUUGCACUGCUGGGUGGCGGACGGUGGUGCGCGCAUGCGCAGUAAUACGUAGCUAGUGGGACGUGCAUGCAUGCAUGCAGUGGCGGAGGCCCCCGGUGGGCAAGAUAUGGCGGCUGCCAUACCUUAAUUGGGUGCAAAACAUGUUUUAUAUGUAUGCAUCUCGUCUCGCCGGACACUGGCUAAGCUAAUUCGCUGGCUAUGCUAAUUAGAGUCUCUAGGAAAAUCGCUAAAGAAGCUGAGAAAAGGCCUGUUCGGGACUAAUUAAUGGGCCAUUGAGGCAGUUGGGCCAAGAGCGGUUGAGCCAGAGCCCAACACAACGAACGACGCAUUGUACCUCUCGCAGGCACAGGAUGCACACGCCCCACUCGACACUCCCAAACCUAUCGCGGCGGCGUCGGCUGGCCAGGAGGAUGCGGACCGGCGGCGGCGUCGAGCAAGCGGGUGGGUGGGCGCUGCCGCGCAGGGCGCACUGUCUAGCGAGCGGCGGCUGAGGGUGAGGGCUAGCGGGCGGCAGCAGCGACAAAAUUGCCCCCAACAUUAGAGAUGAUGUUAUGUUUACUUAUAUAUGAGUGGCUCCAACUGGCCAAUUAGUCACAAUUGCUACUACUGGUGCCAACAGUUAGAAGGGCCCUCUCAUCAAUGAAAAUCAUUAAGACUGAAUUGCGUAGCAAGAUGUUUGAUGGAUGUCUUAAUGACUUAAUGGUGUGUUACAUUAAGCGAGGGAUCUUCAAAAGCAUUCAUCUUGGUAAAAUUAAGAAAGAUUUUCAGAAGGAGGGUAGGGCACUGCCAUUUAAUUCCUGGGUCUUCUAGACGCCACUGAAAGCUUCAUUACUGGUAUGUUUUAGGUUGUUUUUCUAUUGAAACAUGUCUAAAUUUUCAUUGUAUUUGUCUAUUCGUUUGUAGUGUGCAUUGUUAGUGUGUAUUGACUCUUUUGGUUUGCAUAAAAAAUUCUUUGCUUGAGACUUCGCCACACCUUAAUUUUUUUUCAUCCUCCGCCUAUGCAUGCAUGUGCAUGAGGGUGGUUGGGCGCUGGGACCGUACGAUGAAUCGACCGGUCGCGUCCACUUCACGCAUGUGACACUUUUUAUUUACACACAAUACGUAUAUAUGAAAAUCGCCAUAAUUUAGAAUUUGGGUCAGUCGAUUUCCGCGUGAAGAAAGGAAAAGCCCGAGGAAAGGAAGGACCUCGUCGGAGGAAAGGAAGCCCAUUAGGUCUAUCUUAAAGUAGCAGGCGACCCUGGUGUCUACCUUAGGAUGCAGGCGACUUCAUUUUCUAUCUUAGGGGUGUGGGGUGAUGCAAAUUCAUCGGGAAAAAACUGAUAAUUGUCGGGGUUAAAGGGAUGGCAGGCGGCGGUUGAGCGAGGCCGGGGUGCGAGUUUGUCGUGGGAGCGCCAACAUUUACAGGCGGCGAAGGCAGUCGGUUAGGCCUAGACUGGAUCGGCGGGGUGAGAGAAGAAUAAGAAAAAUUAUAUCGUUUGGAGGUUGAAGAUGAGCAGUGCCCAUUAAAACUUGAUCCAAUGGUUGAGAUAAGUGGAGGGAGAAUCGACUGACCAUUUCCUUAUUUCAACGACUGGCGCCAAACCAUUUCCUUAUUUUAUCCUAAAUGAUAAGUGAAGGAAUUAUGCCCUAGAGGUAAUAAUAAAGUUGUUAUUUUAUAUUUUCUUAUUCAUGAUAAAUGUUUAUCAUUCAUGCUAGAAUUAUAUUAACCGGAAACUUGAUACAUGUGUGAGUACAUAGACAAAACACCGUGUCCCUAUUAUGCCUCUACUUGACUAGCUCGUUGAUCAAAGAUCGUUAAGUUUCCUAACCAUGGACAUGCUUGUCAUUUGAUGAACGGGAUCACAUCAUUAGGAGAAUGAUGUGAUGGACAAGACCCAUCCGUUAGCUUAGCAUAAUGGUCGUUCAGUUUUAUUGCUACUGCUUUCUUCAUGUCAAAUAUAUAUUCCUCUGACUAUGAGAUUAUGCAACUCCCAGACACUGGAGAAAUGCCUUGUUUGCUAUCAAACGUCACAACAUAUCUGGGUGAUUAUAAAGAUGCUCUACAGGUAUCUCCAAGGUGUUUGUUGGGUUGGCAUAGAUCAUGAUUAGGAUUUGUCACUCCGAGCAUCGGAGAGGUGUCUCUGGGCCCUCUCGGUAGUGCACAUCAUAUGAAGCCUUGCAAAUAAUGUGACUAAUGAUUUAGUUGCGGGAUGAUGCAUUACGGAACGAGUAAAGAGACUUGCCGGUAACGAGAUUGAACUAGGUAUGAAGAUAGCGACAAUCGAAUCUCGGGCAAGUAACAUACCGAUGAAAAAGGGAAUAACGUAUGUUGACAUAGCGGUUCGACCGAUAAAGAUCUUCGUAGAAUAUGUGGGAACCAAUAUGAGCAUCCAGGUUCCGCUAUUGGUUAUUGACCGUAGAGGUGUCUCGGUCAUGUCUACAUAUUUCUUGAACCCGUAGGGUCCGCACGCUUAACGUUCGAUGACGAUAUGUAUUAUAUGAGUUAUGUGUUUUGGUAACCGAAGGUUGUUCAGAGUCCCGGAUGAGAUCACGAACAUGACGAGGAGUCUCGAAAUGGUCGAGAGGUAAAGAUUGAUAUAUUGUGUAACACUGAUACGUCUCCAACGUAUCUAUAAUUUUUGAUUGUUCCAUGCUAUUAUAUUACCCGUUUUGGAUGUUUAUGGGCUUUACUUUACACAUUUAUAUCAUUUUUGGGACUAACCUAUUAACCGGAGGCCCAAUCCAUAUUGCUGUUUUAUUGCCUGUUUCAGUAUUUCGAAGAAAAGGAAUAUCAAACGGAGUCCAAACGGAAUGAAACCUUCGGGAGCAUGAUUUUUAGGAAGAAUAUGAUCCGGGAGACUUGGAGUUCACGUUAGAAGAUCCUCGAGGAGGCCACGAGAUAGGGGGCGCGCCCACCCCCUGGGCGCGCCCUACCCUCUUGUGGGCCCCUUGAGGCUCCCCCGACCGACUUCUUUCGCCUAUAUAAGCCUACAUACCCUAAAAACAUCGAAUAUCAAGAUAGAUCGGGAGUUACGCCACCGCAAGCCUCUGUAGCCACCAAAAACCCCGUUCCGGCACCCUGCCGGAGGGGGAAUCCCUCACCAGUGGCCAUCUUCAUCAUCCCGGCGCUAUCCAUGACGAGGAGGGAGUAUUUCACCCUCGGGGCUAAGGGUAUGUACCAGUAGCUAUGUGUUUGAUCUCUCUCUCUCUCUCUCUCUCUCUCUCUCUCUCGUGUUCUCUCUAUGACACGAUCUUGAUGUAUCGCGAGCUUUGCUAUUAUAGUUGGAUCUUAUGAUGUUUCUCCCCCUCUACUCUCUUGUGAUGAAUUGAGUUUUCCUCUUGAAGUUAUCUUAUCGGAUUGAGUCUUUAAUGAUUUGAGAACACUUGAUGUAUGUCUUGCCGUGAUUAUCUGUGGUGACAAUGGGAUAUCAUGUGCCACUUGAUGUAUGAUUUGGUGAUCAACUUGCGGGUUCCGCCCAUGAACCUAUGCAUAGGGGUUGGCACACGUUUUCGUCUUGAUUCUCCUGUAGAAACUUCGGGGCACUCUUUGAAGUACUUUGUGUUGGUUGAAUAGAUGAAUCUGAGAUUGUGUGAUGCAUAUCGUAUAAUCAUGCCCACGGAUAUUUGAGGUGACAAUGGAGUAUCUAGGUGACAUUAGGGUUUUGGUUGAUUUGUGUCUUAAGGUGUUAUUCUAGUAUGAACUCUAUGAUGGAUUGAGCGAAAAGAAUAGCUUCAUGUUAUUUUACUACGAACUCUUGAAUAGAUAGAUCAAAAAGGAUAACGUUGAGGUGGUUUCGUACUCUACCAUAAUCUCUUCGUUUGUUCUCCGCUAUUAGUGUCUUUGGAGUGACUCUUUGUUGCAUGUUGAGGGAUUAUUAUAUGAUCUAUCUAUGUUAUUAUUGUUGAGAGAACUUGCACUAGUGAAAGUAUGAACCCUAUGCCUUGUUUCCUAUCAUUGCAAUACCGUUUACGCUCACUUUUACCACUUUUUACCUUGCUGUUUUUAUAAUUUCAGAUUACAAAUACCUUUAUCUACCAUCCAUAUUGCACUUGUAUCACCAUCUCUUCGCCGAACUAGUGCACCUAUACAAUUUACCAUUGUAUUGGGUGUGUUGGGGACACAAGAGACUCUUUGUUAUUUGGUUGCAGGGUUGUUUGAGAGAGACCAUCUUCAUCCUACGCCUCCCACGGAUUGAUAAACCUUAGGUCAUCCACUUGAGGAAAAUUUGCUACUGUCCUACAAACCUGUGCACUUGCAGGCCCAACAACGUCUACAAGAAGAAGGUUGUGUAGUAGACAUCAAGCUCUUUUCUGGUGCCGUUGCCGGGGAGGUGAGUGCUUGAAGGUAUAUAUUUAGACCCUACAAUCAAAUCUUUUUGUUUCUUGUUUUAUCACUAGUUUAGUUUAUAAAAGAAAACUACAAAAAAAUGGAGUUAAGUUUGUCUCAUACACUUCAUCUUUUUAAUAUCUUUCGUGAGUAUGAUGAAAAGGAAAAUUGUGCUCAAGUGUUGGAAGAAGAAAUCUAUAGAAUGUUUGACACUAAAUAUUUGAAUGAUGAGCAUGAUUGCAAUGUUGUUAGUAUGAGUUCCUUGAAUAUCCAUGAUGCUAAUGAUAUGCAAAGCCACAAGCUUGGGGAAGCUAUGUUUGAUUAAUAUGAUAUUUUUUGUCCCCCAAGUUUUGAUGAGAAUAUUUAUUAUGAUGAAAGCAUGCCUCCUAUUUAUGACGAUUAUAUUGAUGAAAGUGGAUUUGGAGAGGUCAUGACUUUGUUUAGUGAUGAAUCCACUAUUUCGGAAGAGGUUCCAAUUGAUUUUGAGAACAAAGUUGCUAUCUAUGAUGAUUAUUGUGAUGACUUGUAUGCUAUUAGGAAUAAUGAUAACCAUGAAACUUGUCAUCAUGAUUUUAGUUUUCAAUUGGAUUAUGCCUCACAUGAUAAUUAUUUUGUUGAGUUUGCUCCCACUAUUACUCAUGAGAAGAAUUUUGCUUAUAUGGAGAGUAGUAAAUUUUCUAUGCUUGUAGAUCAUGAAAAGAAUGCUUUAGGUGCUGGUUAUAUUGUUGAAUUCAUUCAUGAUGCUACUGAAAAAUUAUUAUGAGGGAGGAACAUAUGCUUGUAGGAAUAGUAAUAAUAUCAAGUUUCCUCUCUAUGUGCUUAAAGUUUUGAAGUUAUGCUUGUUUUGCCUUCCUAUGCUAGUUGAUUAUUGUUCCCAUAAGUUAUUUGCUCACAAAAUCCCUAUGCAUAGGAAGUGGGUUAGACUUAAAUGUGCUAUUCAUAUUCUUCAUGAUGCUCUCUUUAUGUUUCAAUUCUUAUCUUUUAUGUGAGCAUCAUUUCAUCAUGCCUAGCUAGGGGCUUUAAACGAUAGCGCUUGUUGGGAGCCAACCCAAUUUAUUUUCCUUGAUUUUUGUUCCUGUUUAGUGAUAAAUAAUUCAUCUAGCCUCUGGUUAGAUGAGGUUUCAUGUUUUAAUUAGUGUUUGUGCCAAGUAGAACCUUUGGGAAGACUUGGGUGAAGUUUAUGUGAUCUUGCUGUAAAAAGCAGAAACUUUUGCGCUCACGAGAUUAGCUGCCAUUUUUACUGGAGAGUGCUUUUAGGUUGAUUCUUUUUUCACAUGAUUAAUAGACAAAUUACUAAGGUCCAGAAAUUUAUUUCAGAAUUGUUUGAGUUCCAGAAGUAUACGUUUGAUACAGAUUACUACAGACUGUUCUGUUUUUGACAGAUUCUGUUUUCUAUGUGUUGUUUGCUUAUUUUGAUGAAUCUAUGAGUAGUAUCUGAGGGAAUGAACCAUAGAGAAGUUGUAAUACAUUAGGUUUUAUACCAAUAUGAAUUUAGAAUGAGUUCACAACAGUACCUAACUGGUGAUUUAUUUUCUUAUACUAACGGAGCUUACGAGUUUUGUGUUGAGUUUUGUGUGGUUGAAGUUUUCAAGUUUUGGGUAAAGAUUCGAUGGACUAUGGAAUAAGGAGAGGAAAGAGCCUAAGCUUGGGGAUGCCCAAGGCACCCCAAGGUAAUAUCCAAGGACAACCAAGAGCCUAAGCUUGGGGAUGCCCCGGAAGGCAUCCCCUCUUUCGUCUUCGUUCAUCGGUAACUUUACUUGGAGCUAUAUUUUUAUUCGCCACAUGAUAUGUGUUUUGCUUGGAGCGUCAUUUUAUUCUAUUAGUUUUUGCUUGCUUUUAUUUAUAAUAAUGUUUUGCAUCUAUAUUUUCAAUAAAAAUGUCAAGGAUAGCCUUUACCAUGCUUAUUUUGCUAGUAUACAUGUUGCUGUUUGAAAACAGAAAGUUUACCGCUGUUGCAAAGAUACCCUAGAAAAGUAAGAGAAUGGUACAAUGUUGAAACUUUUUGCAUAUUAAGCUCUGAUAAACCUUAUACAGCGUAUUAUUUUUCUCAUAAUUUUUGGAGUUAGGGAAGUAUGAUGAAUCUUGCAUUCUUUACAGACUAUACUAUUUUGGCAGAUUGCUGUUAUGUUUUCAUAUGUUUGCUUGUUUAAUGAUUCUAUUUGAGGAUAGGAGUAUUAAAUAUGUAGAGGCAUUUAGUAUGCAAUAUUGAAUAAUAAUUUUAGUGAUUUGUUACAGUAGAAAAUGAUAAGGUUUUGCAUUGGUUUAUACUAACCUAUCUCACGAGUUCUUGUUGAGUUUGUUGUGGAUGAAGCUUUUGAUAAAAAGAGAAACCAUGAUAUGAGAGGAAUUAAGGAGACACAGAAGUUCAAGCUUGGGGAUGCCCAAGGCACCCCAAGAUAAUAUUUCAAGAAGUCUCAAGCAUCUAAGCUUGGGGAUGCCCCGGUAGGCAUCCCACCUUUUUUCUUCAACAACUAUCGGUUAGUAUCGGUUGAGCCUAAGUUUUUGCUUCUUCACAUGAGUUGUGCUAUCCUUGCAAUGUCAUUUUAUUUUGUUUUGCUUGCUGUUUGAAUACAAUACCAAGAUCUGAAUCCUUUAAUGAGAGAGAGUCUUCACAUAGUUACAUAAUUAUUUAGCUACUCAUUGAUCUUCACUUAUAUCUUUUUGGAGUAGUUUUUCAUUUACUCGUGUGCUUCACUUAUAUCCUAUGAGUAAAUGGUUGAAUGAGUUGAUUAUCAUAAAUCUGAAAUUACAUAUGUUUUAUUUGCUUAUCCCAUGGGGAGUAAUGACUUCACAUCUAAGAAGUAGAGGUUGUAAAUUUAUUGAAGGUUAGCAAGCAUUGUAUUGGUCAUUUGAACAAUUCAUGAAAGAAUAUUGAAGGAAGAGAGAUUCCACAUAUAAAUACACUCUCCUAGACAUCUUUUAUAAUUGUGAGCACUCAUUAAGUAUGACAUGCUAAAGAGUUGAUGUUGGACAAGGAAGACAACAUAAUGGGUUAUGUUUUCUCACAUCUCAGUUAAAGUAUAUUGUCAUUGAUCAUUCAAACAUGUUGAGCUUGCCUUUCCCCCUCAUGCUAGCCAAAAUUCCUUGCACCAAGUAGAGAUACUACUUGUGCUUCCAAAUAUCCUUAAACCCAGUUUUUGCCAUGAGAGUCCACCAUACCUACCUAUGGAUUGAGUAAGAUCCUUCAAGUAAGUUGUCAUCGGUGCAAGCAAUAAAAAUUGCUCUCUAAAUAUGCAUGACUUAUUAGUGUGGAGAAAAUAAGCUUUGUACGAUCUUGUUAUGGAAGCAAUAAAAGUGACGGACUGCAUAAUAAAGGUCCAUAUACACGGGGGAAUAUAAAGUGACAUUCUUUCGCAUUAAGAUUUUGUGUAUCCAACCCUAAAAGCGCAUGACAACCUCUGCUUCCCUCUGCGAAGGGCCUAUCUUUUACUUUAUGUCUUUUACUUUAUGCAAGAGUCAAGGUGAUCUUCACCUUUCCCUUUUUCAUUUUAUCCUUUGGCAAGCACUUUGUGUUGGGGUGAUCCUGAUAUAUAUAUCCAAUUGGAUGUAAGUUAGCAUGAACUAUUAUUGUUGACAUCACCCAAAGGUGAAUACGUUGGGAGGCAACACUAUAAGCCCCUAUCUUUCUCAGUGUCCGAUUAAAACUCCAUAACCAUUAGUAUUGCAUGAGUGUCAACAAUUAUGAAAGACUAUAUGAUAGUUGAGUAUGUUGAGUUUGCUAUUCCUGAAAAUAAGAUGAAUUGCAAUUGUUUGAUGACUAAGAAUGAAGAUUGCUAGUUUUCAAGAAAGUUUAUGGUCUAUGCUUUAACAUGAGAAUUGCUUGUUACUUAUUCGUGAGAAGUUUUAUGAGAUGAACUACUGUUAUGACAUAUAAUCAUGCUAGAAAAGGUGAUUGAAAUUAUGAUUGAUCAAACUUAUGCACCUUCUAGCAUUCACACUUCAUAAAUUCUUUCUUUUUCAUUUACCUACUCGAGGACGAGUAGGAAUUAAGCUUGGGGAUGCUGAUACGUCUCCAACGUAUCUAUGAUUUAUGCAGCAUUCAUGCUAUUUUAUUAUCCGUUUUGAAUGAUUAUGGGCUUUAUUAUACACUUUCAUAUUACUUUUGGGACUAACCUAUUAACCGGAGGCCCAGCCCAUAUUGCUGUUUUAUUGCCUGUUUCAGUAUUUCGAAGGAAAGGAAUAUCAAACGGAGUCCAAACGGAAUGAAACCUUCGGCAGCGUGAUUUUUUGGAAGAAUAUCACCCAGGAGACUGUGAGUUCACGUUAGAAGAGCCUCGAGGAGGCCAGGAGAUAGGAGGGCGCGCCCCGCUGCUGGGCGCGCCCCCUGUAUCUUGGGCCCCUCGAGAAAUCCCCGACCAACUUCUUUCACCUAUAUAGUCCCACGUACCCUAAAAACAUACACGGAGAAGAUAGAUCGGGAGUUUCGCCGUCGCAAGCCUCUGUAGCCACCAAAAACCUCUCGGGAGCCCGUUCCGGCACCCUGCCGGAGGGGGAACCCAUCACCGGUGGCCAUAUUCAUCAUCUCGGCGCUCUCCAUGACGAGGAGGGAGUAGUUCACCCUCAGGGAUGAGGGUAUGUACCAGUAGCUAUGUGUUUGAUCUCUCUCUCUCGUGUUCUCUCUAUGGCACGAUCUUGAUGUAUCGCGAGCUUUGCUAUUAUAGUUGGAUCUUAUGUUUCUCCCCCUCCACUCUCUUGUAAUGGAUUGAGUUUUCCAUUUGAAGUUAUCUUAUCGGAUUGAGUCUUUAAGUAUUUGAGAACACUUGAUGUAUGUCUUGCCGUGUUUAUCUGUGGUGACAAUGGGAUAUCAUGUGCCACUUGAUGUAUGUUUUGCCAUCUCUUGUCGUGGUUCUAAGUCUGACAGUAGAAAGGGGAGUAGGUAUGGAGAGGCAAGAUCUUAGCUAUGGCGAAGAUGUACACAUGAUGUUUACGAGUUCAGGCCCUUCUCGGAAGAAGUAACAGCCCUACGUCUCGGUGCCCGGAGGUGGUCGAUUGGAUUAUGUGUGUUGUGUUACAGGGGGUGCGAACCCUUGUCCCAGAGGAGGGGGGUGGCUUAUAUAGAGUGCGCCAGGACCCCCGCCCACCUCCAUUACAAAGGGCUUAAUGUACAUAAAGUGGGGGCAUUACAGGUAACGACAGUCUUAAAUGUUCGUAAUGCUCAAGAAGACUAAGGAGUGAAUGCCCGACCGUUGUAUGUUCUACCGACUCCUGGUCUUUGACAUAGUCGACUGAUUCUCAUAUGGUCGAGUGAAGGUAAGGAAUGACGGUCGAGUGAUUGCAUCGUCGAGUGGAUUCUUAGACUUCUUAUCUUCUGGGGUAGUGACCUUGGGUAGGACGUGUAGGUCAGGCCUAUGACCCUACCCCAGGUCUGUAUCCUCAUCAGUAGCCCCCGAAUGGAUUAAGGUGUGAGUGCAAAGUAGGCUGAAAUUGAACUUGUUCCGAGCUUUGGGACCUCAAGUGUGCUUUCUGCAAGUCUGAACGCCUGUGUCGGUAUUUGGUGUCGACUCAGUCGCCUUGAUCCAUUCAGCGGACAAUCGAGUGAACUGUUGAUCUCAUGUGCCGAGUGUUGUGUUGGAGCGCGGGAUCCUGGGCGCGAUUGUCUGCAGUGUAUCCCGGAUUUCGCGGGAUACGAAAUUUUAGGGAAGCGCGCCGGACGGGGAGUGCCGAAGUGGGCAGAGCGGAUAAACAAUGAUUCCUCGAUUCCCGCGCCGCCUUUUUCGCCACGUACGCUGCGCGCGACUGUUGCGGGAUUUGACGGGAUCGUCCGGCCCCACGCCUCAGUCACUCGGAAAUAGUCUCUUAUAAGGUGACCGGACCGAGGCGUCCACACUGUGCGCAUCUUCUCUUCCUUCUUCUUUCUCUGCUUCUCCGCCGCACCUUACUCUUCCGCUCUGACGCCGCUGCCCCGUCACCAUGGUGAAGGACAAGACGGUAGCGCUAGAGCGCGUGAAGAAGACGAAGGAGGUGGCGAAGGGCAAGAAGCAGCAACGUGGGUCAUCGUCGCGCGUGGGGCUGUCGCCGGGCUGGAUCCAGGGCGAUUGGAUCCGGUCUUCGAUCCGGAAGGCGGACCUGGACGAGUUGACGGAGUCGGGGUUAAUCGCCAAGGGAGCGGCGAGGCUGCCGGAGGGGGAGAUGAGUCCUUAACCUCGACCAGGUGAGUGCGUUCUGCUCGCCACCCACGUCGACCGUGGCUUUUCGCUUCCUCUGCAUCCUUUCUUUCAGGGGUUUCUGAACUUUUUCGGCGCUCAACUCCACCAUUUCUCCCCUAACACAAUCACGCAUUUAGCCGCUUUCGUGUCGAUGUGCGAGAACUUCUUGGGGUGUCGACCGCACUGGGGUCUUUUCAAACACAUCUUCACCAUUCGUUCCCAAUCGAUAAAAAAGGCGAAGUCGAGUGACUCAAAAACCCAUGUCAUCCAGAUGUGUGGGGGUUUAGGUAUCCAAAAGAGAAAAGGGAGUGCUUUUCCUGCCAUGACCCUUCCUGACUCUGUUAGAGGCUGGCAGUCGACUUGGUUCUAUUGCCAAGAUGCCGUGACUCCAGGUCAGUCGACCGGCCUCCCCCACUUCUUGUUUGACCGAGUCCAGACUCCUGCUCCACUGAAAGUGACUGCUGGCUAGACCAUGGAGACGAGGAUAUUGGUGGAUAGGGCUGUUCAGCUUAUCAAUGAUGGCGUUACAGGUCUGGAUCUGUUGGAGGUGUUCCUCAGUCGACGCAUCCAGCUUCUCCAGGCCCGCGAUCACCCGAUGUGGCUGUAUUCCGGGCCGGAUGACACCACUUGGGUCCAUCCAAAAGAAGUGCCGUCUGAAACAGUAGCCUUGUGGCUGAGGAGCAUCACAGGCAAUCAGGACAAUCCCAGAGGAUCUAGGCGAGUCGUUCCCUUUAGCAGCAUAAACCCACCCGAGAAGGUACGCUUUUCGUUCGGACUGCUUCUCAUUCAUGCUCCGACUGCACUUGAUAUUGACUGACUCUUGUUCGACCAAUUUGUUCUGCAGGUGUUCACUGAGAUGCAUUCAAUGCCCAAUGGUGAACUUGCUUUGGAACAGGCCAAGGAGGGGGAGGACAACGCGGAGGAUAGUGCCGAGUGGGAUUCUCAGGGAGAUGAUGAGGAGGAGGAGGAGAGCGAGGAAUCGGAUGAGGAGGAGGAAGUCGACUCGCUGCCACGCUUCGAUCGUUGAUCCAAACAACAACAUGAUCCGGUCAGCGGGCGCGGGAAAGGCGUGGGUCCGAGUGCCAAUACUCAGAAGCGCACUCGGACAUCGACUCCGGAGCCGACAGAGAAGGUGGCCAAGCAGCCUAAAGUUGCCCCCUCCAAGACCCGGAAGACAUUGCCGCGAAUCAAGAUGGACAUCCCCAUUGCCUCAGGGUGGGUAUCUUGUUUGUGUUUCCGUAAGUCGACUGAAGGUUUUCUCGAUCUGACUGACCAAUUCUUGUGUCCUUCUAGCCCCACCUCUGCUGCCACUGACAUGGACGUUGACAAGGCACCAGGAGACGAAGAAGCCACCUCACGAGCUGGUAAGUUCAUCCAACCUAGUUCUGUUUAACCGAGUGGGUGGUCGAUUGACUGAAAAUUUGAUACUUUUCUUCUUAUGUAGCUCCGCAAGACAUCAUUGUGCUUCCUGACGACGAAGAAGAAGAAGUGCCUCUACAGGAGAGGAAGAAGAAGAGUGGAGGUUCGAGCAGGAGGAGACUUGAAGUCCAAAUCCCUCAGUCGACACCGGCGCCUGAGUCGAUAGUUCGGACUAACGUCACAUUUGCUAACCCGUUGACGACUGAUCGUCUGUCGGGGUCGACUGCACAGACGCCUGCUGCACCGGUGCAACUCCACUCAUCCGACCCGUCAACUACUUCGACCCCUCUGGAGCCAUCCCUCUUUACUACAUAUCAAACUCCGGACGACUUGCCGAGUGCCGCUAGGGAAGCUCUUCGCCAGGCGAAUCUUGUCAUGGAGCAGGUGAAAGUGAUGCAUGAAGCCAGUCAGAUGGCGUACAAUGCCAGCAGUACCCUUCAGACCAAUGUCCAAGUCAGUAAAAUUCCGACUGAACGUUUGAACAUUGUUUUAUAUCUGAUCACCCACUGGGUGUUCCUUUGUUUAGAACUCAGGAAAUCUUCAAUUUUUCACUUUCCGAAUCAGUGGGGGCACGUCGAGUGCUCCCACUGGGUGUAUUCCCCGAUACCACGGUCGGCUGCUGGCAGUCGACUGAGGUCUGAUGAUAUAUCUCUCUGUCUUUUUUUUGAACUCUCGCUGAGUAUUGAUCUGAUCCAGUUGGGGCACGUUAAGUGCACCCACUGGGUGUAGUCCCCGAGUCUACUAUUGAAUAUUUGAUUCGGCAGUAGUCUUAGAGUAAUUCUUCUCCUUCACUGUCGCUUACAUGUGUGGACUGACAUGUCUGUCUUUCUGUCUACAGAGGUCUUGUGAUCUUGGAGCUCGGCUCACCGAAUUAAAGAAGAAGCAUAUCAGUGUUGAACUUGAUCUCGAACUUGUGAAGAAGAAUCUGAAGACUGCUCAAGAAGAAACGGCCAUCAUGGGAGGUAAUCACUCGGCCAUUUUGUCUACUUUGUAUCUUCACACUUCGCACUGGUUUUUCUUUCAGUCUCUUUGAACCGAGUGAAUUCACACAAACAGAUGUGCGUAGUGAAAAUCGCCAACUUCAGUCUCGUCUGAAGAGUGUUGUUUCUUUAGAGAGGAUGAAGGAAGCUUUGGAGCAGAAGGAUUUGGAUCUGGCAGCUGCUCAGAAGGAAGCACGCGAGAAGACGAAGCUUGUGGACCAGAAGCUGGCUUCAGUCGGCAAGUUGGAGGACGAGAACGCGAAAUUGAAGUCGGCCAUCUCGGAUGCCAAUCGUGAAGUCUAACAACUGAGGAAGGACAAGGAGAACCUGACCGCUGAAGUUUAGGGUCUCAGGACCAAGACGGGCAAGCUAGAGUCUCAUUUGGAACAACUUGCGGUGAAGCUUGUCUUGAAGCUUGAAGGUAUGACUGUUCAGUUAGCUAACUGUCGUCGACUGAGAUUUGCAAUACUGUCGACUCAUUGUUCAUUGUGAUGGAACAGAACUCUGUCAGGACUGUGAAGCUGAAAUUGGACGGGUCGAGACAGGUCUCGACCCUAUCAACUGUCCCAUGAAAGAUGAAGUUGCGAUGAACUUGCUUCGACUGGAAUCAUGCUUGGACGGUGCAGUCGACUAUCUGGCUCGGCUGAAGGCGGUGAUGGCCCGAGUGGACGCCGAACUCUGGACUCAAGCGCAAAUGUCUCAAGAUCUCGAGUCCUUGAUGACUCGGCUGAAUCAGAUCCCAAGCCGAGUGCAAGAGUGGAAGAAAUCUUCUGCCCGCUAUGGUGCUGAUGUCGCCUUGUCUUUGGUCCGAGUGCACUGCAAGGAGGCUAAGGAAGACAAGCUGACGGCUCUCAAAGUGGCAAACACUAAGAAGCACUCCUUCUAGGACUUCAUGGAAACUUUCCUCGAGGCAGCCACUCACAUCGCCGACAGCAUCGAUCUCAACAGCUUCUGCGACCCGGCCAGUCCUUCUCCCGCCGAGUGAUUAAAAAACAUUAUGCCAUCGCUUUUAUUUGCCUCGGAAUGCCGAGUGGAUUUGUAGCCGUUAAAACUCCUUCGGGCCUGAUGCCUGGGCACUUUAUUCUGUGGUCAAGAAACUUUGUAUUUAUCAUCUCAUAUAUUGCGUCUGUCCUCAAGUGAAAUUCGUUUUUCUCUCGAACUGUUGUCUGUUUGCUUGAUGCAGAUCGGGCGAUCCUCGAGAAGCAUUGAUCGGCUCAUCAGCAAGGCACUCAGCAAUGGUCUUCACGUUCCAGUCGGCCGAUUGAGUGAUCCUUGAGUAGCAUUGAUCAGCUCAUCAGCAAGGCACUCAGCAAUGAUCUUGACGUUCCGGUGGACCGAUGGGUGAUCCUUGAGUAGUAUUGAUCAGCUCAUCAGCAAGGCACUCAGCAAUGGUCCUGACGUUCCUGUCAAUCAAUUUGGGUGAUCCUUGAGUAGCAUUGAUCGGCNNNNNNNNNNNNNNNNNNNNNNNNNNNNNNNNNNNNNNNNNNNNNNNNNNNNNNNNNNNNNNNNNNNNNNNNNNNNNNNNNNNNNNNNNNNNNNNNNNNNNNNNNNNNNNNNNNNNNNNNNNNNNNNNNNNNNNNNNNNNNNNNNNNNNNNNNNNNNNNNNNNNNNNNNNNNNNNNNNNNNNNNNNNNNNNNNNNNNNNCUCAUCAGCAAGGCACUCAACAAUUGUCUUCACGUUCCAGUCGGCCAAUUGAGUGAUCCUUGAGUAGCAUUGAUCAGCUCAUCAGCAAGGCACUCAGCAAUGGUCUUGACGUUCCAGUCGACCGAUCGGGUGAUCCUUGAGUAGUAUUGAUCAGCUCAUCAGCAAGGCACUCAGCAAUGGUCCUGACGUUCCUGUCAAUCGAUUGGGUGAUCCUUGAGUAGCAUUGAUCAGCUCAUCAGCAAGGCACCCCGCAAUGGUCUUGACGUUCCUGUCAACCACCCAGUAAGGUUUUUCAAAACUUAGGCGAGCACUGUGCUGCAGCUAAGCCUCCGAGUGGGAGGAUUGCUCCCCACUUGGUAGGAUUUUUUCAAACUUAGGCGAGUACGGGACUGCAGCUAAGCCUCCGAGUGGGAGGAUUGCUCUCCACUUGGUAUGAUUUUUUUUCAAACUUAGGCGAGUACGAGACUGCAGCUAAGCCUCCGAGUGGGAGGUUUGCUCUCCACUCGGUAGGAUUUUUCAAACUUAGGCGAGUACGAGACUGCAACUAAGCCUCCGAGUGGGAGGUUUGCUCACCACUCGGUAGGAUUUUUCAAACUUAGGCGAGUACAUGACUGCAGCUAAGCCCCCGAGUGAGAGGCAGACUCAUCACUCGGUAGGACUUUUAUCACUUANNNNNNNNNNNNNNNNNNNNNNNNNNNNNNNNNNNNNNNNNNNNNNNNNNNNNNNNNNNNNNNNNNNNNNNNNNNNNNNNNNNNNNNNNNNNNNNNNNNNNNNNNNNNNNNNNNNNNNNNNNNNNNNNNNNNNNNNNNNNNNNNNNNNNNNNNNNNNNNNNNNNNNNNNNNNNNNNNNNNNNNNNNNNNNNNNNNNNNNNNNNNNNNNNNNNNNNNNNNNNNNNNNNNNNNNNNNNNNNNNNNNNNNNNNNNNNNNNNNNNNNNNNNNNNNNNNNNNNNNNNNNNNNNNNNNNNNNNNNNNNNNNNNNNNNNNNNNNNNNNNNNNNNNNNNNNNNNNNNNNNNNNNNNNNNNNNNNNNNNNNNNNNNNNNNNNNNNNNNNNNNNNNNNNNNNNNNNNNNNNNNNNNNNNNNNNNNNNNNNNNNNNNNNNNNNNNNNNNNNNNNNNNNNNNNNNNNNNNNNNNNNNNNNNNNNNNNNNNNNNNNNNNNNNNNNNNNNNNNAGUGAGAGGCAAACUCAUCACUCGGUAGGAUUUUUAUCACUUAGGCGAGCACUGGGCUGCUGCUAAGCCCCCGAGUGAGAGGCAGACUCAUCACUCGGUAGGAUUUUUAUUACUUAGGCGAGCACUGUGCUGCAGCUAAGCCUCCGAGUGAGAGGCAGACUCAUCACUCGGUAGGAUUUUUCUUACUUCAUCUUAGGCAAAAUAGAUUCACAGCUAAGGUAAUGCGCGCAAAAGAAAUAAACAACAAUCAUUCGGAAGAAGUAAAUAAUGUCUUUAGCCAAACUAAAAGGUAUUUCUUAUUACAUCUGAACAGUCUAAAUAUUUAAGAAUAGAAAGGGCGGAGCAGAUCCGCAUUCCAGGCGCGUGGCUCAUCUUUAUUGUGUUUGACUUGGCGAAAGGGCCUUCCCAAGCAGGAGCGAGCUUGUGAGGUCUCUGCUGAUCCACUCGAAGAACCAGGUCUCCUUCUUGAAAUGCUCGACCCCUCAUGUUUCUAGCAUGAAAUCGAUGCAAGUCUUGCUGAUAAAUGGUCGACCGGAUCAAGGCCAUUUCUCUUUCUUCUUCUAGGAGAUCGACUGCAUCUUGCCGAGCUCGUUCUGCUUCUUCUUCUGAGAAGAGUUUGACUCGAGGCGCAUUGUGGAGCAAAUCACUGAGGAGUACGGCCUCAGCUCCGUAGACUAAGAAGAAUGGAGUCCUUCCAGUCGACCGGUUAGGGGUUGUCCUCAACCCCCACAGUACUAAUGGAAGCUCGUCAACCCAAGCUCAUGUUACAUGUUUUAGGUCACGCAUCAACCCAGGUUUCAAUCCUUUAAGAAUCAAUCCAUUUGCCCGCUCGGCCUGUCCAUUCGAUUGAGAAAGAGCAACCGAAGCAUAGUCGACUCUCAUACCUUGGGAGGAACAAAAGGCUUUGAACUCUUCAGAAUCGAAGUUCGAGCCAUUAUCCGUGAUGAUGCUGUGCGGGAUGCCAUAUCUGAAUAUAAGUUCUCUGAUGAAACUCACGGUUGUGAUUGCUUCAAGGCUUUUGAUGGGCUUGGCCUCGAUCCAUUUGGUGAACUUGUCGACUGCUACCAGCACAUGAGUAAAUCCACUCCUGCCUGUCCUCAGAGGUCCAACCAUGUCCAGUCCCCAGACGGCGAAAGGCCAGACGAGUGGGCUAGUCUUCAGAGCUGAUGCAGGUUUGUGGGACAUGUUGGAAUAAAACUGACAACCUUCACACUUGUCCACUAUUUCCUUUGCCAUCUUGUUGGCGUGCGGCCAGUAAAACCCGGCUCGGUAUGCUUUGGCCACGAUGGUCCGAGAGGACGCAUGGUGACCAUAGGUCCCCGAGUGAAUAUCGUUGAGGAUCAUUUCGCCUUCUUCUGGCAUGAUGCACUUCUGGUAGACCCCAGUUACACGUUCUCUGAACAACUGUGCUUUCAUCAUAGUAAAGGCUUUAGACCGUCGGACGAUCUGUCGAGCCUCCUCUUCAUCCUCUGGGAGUUCCUUCCUAAGAAUGUAUGCAAUGUAUGGCACUGUCCAGUCGGGAGUGAUGACCAAAACCUCCAUGACUAAGUCGACUACGGCUGGGAUUUCGACUUCAGUCGGAUCUGUGGCACUCUUGGGCUGCGGUGACUCUUUGGUGAAAGGAUCUUCCUGAACUGAAGGUGAAUGAAUAUGUUCCAGAAACACGUUUCGGGGAAUGGCCUCUCUCUUUGAACCUAUCUUGGCCAACUCAUCUGCAGCUUGAUUUUUCAGUCGAGGUAUAUGUUGGAGCUCCAAACCUUCAAACCUCUUCUCCAGCUUUCUCACUUCAUUGCAAUAACCAGUCAUGGCUGGGCUCCUGACAUCCCAUUCCUACAUCACUUGGUUAACCACCAAAUCUGAGUCGCCGUAGACCAUAAGACGACGGGCGCCGAGUGAAAUGGCCAUACGCAACCCGUAUAGAAGUGCUUCAUAUUCGGCUCCGUUAUUGGAGGAAUCAAAAUGAAUCUGGAGAACAUAACUAAGCCUGUCUCUGCGGGGGGAUACCAAAACUACUCCAGUGCCUGAACCAUUCAGCAUUUUGGAGCCAUCAAAGAACAUAGUCCAAUGCUCCGAGUGAACUUGAGUCGGCAAUUGCUGCUCAAUCCACUUGGCAAGGAAAUCUGCAAUUGCUUGGGACUUGAUAGCCUUCUUUGCCUUGAACUUGAUAUCUAAUGGAAGGAGUUCAAUCGCCCAUUUUGCCACUCGACCAGUUGAGUCUCUGUUAUUCAGAAUUUCAGAUAGUGGCGCGUCGCUGACGACUGUAAUAGAGUGGUCAGAGAAAUAAUGCGCAACCUUCUUCAUGCUCAUGUAUAUUCCAUAGACAAGCUUCUGAUAAUGUGGGUAUCGUUGCUUGGUGGAGUCAAAACUUUAGAGAGAUAACAGACUGGGCGUUGAACCUUGUUAGCUUUUCCUUCUUCUUCUCGCUCGACCGUGAGUACUGUGCUGGCAACUUGUCUAGUGGCUGCAAUGUAAAGCAGUAAAGACUCUUUGCUGAUUGGUGCAACAAGCACCGGCUAGGUGGAAAGCAGGGUUUUGAACUCUGCAAACGCUGCAUCAGCUUCAUCAGUCCACUCGAACUUAUUAGACUUCUUCAUCAGUCGGUAAAGAGGCAAGGCCUUUUCAUCAAGACGAGAAAUGAAUCGACUCAGGGCGGCCAGACAACCAGUCAACUUCUGAACGUCAUGCACUCGCACAGGCGUUUAUUUCGGAGGAUUGUAUCAACCUUUUCUGGAUUGGCGUCGAUCCCUCAUUCAGAAACGAGAAAACCGAGUAACUUUCCUCCUGGAACUCCGAAUGUGCACUUUGACGGAUUAAGCUUGAUAUCGUACCUCCUCAGGUUGGCAAAGGUUUCUGCAAGGUCGGUCAAUAGGUCAGAACCUUUGUGAAACUUGACCAAAUGUCAUCCAUGUAAGCUUCCACAUUCCGACUGAUUUGAGUAAGCAGGAACUUCUGAAUCAUUCUCAUGAAUGUGGCUCCAGCAUUUUUCAGACCAAAAGGCAUGGUGACAUAGCAAAAGCACCCAAAUGGGGUGAUGAAGGCUGUUUUUAUUUCAUCGGGACCAUACAGUCGGAUCUGAUGGUAUCCGAAAUACGCGUCAAGGAAAGACAAGCGCUCACACCCCGCAGUCGAGUCAACAAUCUGAUCAAUGCGAGGGAGAGGGAAGUGAUCUUUCGGGAAGGCCCGAUUGAUAUGCUUGAAAUCAAUGCACAUACGAAGUGAAUCAUCCUUCUUUGGAACCAUGACUACAUUGGCUAACCACUUGGAGUGGUAGAUUUCACGGAUGAACACUGCUGUCAAUAGUCGAGCCACUUCUUCGCCAAUUGCUUUCCUCUUAUGCACGGCGGACCGCCGAAGGUGCUCUUUGACGGGCUUUACUUUGGGGUCGACACGCAAACGAUGCUCGGCCAGUCCCCUGGGUACACCUGGCAUGUCAGAAGGUUUCCAUGCAAAGAUGUCCCAGUUCUCACGGAGGAACUAAACGAGCGCUUCUUCCUAUUUGAUGUCGAGCGUCGUUGAUAUAUGAGUCGGUGCAGCAUUGGGAUCCGUCGGGUGAAUAUGAACUAGCUUCGUCUCACCAGUCGACUCGAAUGCAGAAUCUGUGGCAGGCUUCUUGGCUCGAAGCAAAUCACUCAGAUCUGCAUUCUUCUGAUAUUCUUGGAACUCGACUGUUGCCAUUUGUGCGUCGGUGAUUUUGGAACCUUUCUGGAAAUAUUCCUCAGCCUUCUGCCGAUUGCCAGUAACUGCGAUCACACCUUUGGGGAAAGGCAUCUUUAGUUUGAGGUACACAUAACAUGGUCGAGCCAUAAAACGUGCAUAGGCUGGCCUACCCAGGAUGGCAUGAUAAGCACUCUGGAAAUCCACAACCUCAAAUGUCAACUUCUCCUUUCGGUAAUGCUUGGAGUCACCGAAAACCACAUCAAGGGCGAUCUGGCCGAGUGACUCGGCUUUCUUUCCAGGGAUUAUGCCAUGAAAACUCAUAUUGCUCUCGCUAAGCUUGGACAUCGGAAUGCCCAUUCCCUUCAAGGUCUCAGCGUAGAGGAUGUUCAGACCAAUGCCACCGUCCAUCAGUACUUUUGUCAAUCGAGUGCCUCCAACCAUGGGGUCGACCACCAGUGCUUGCCUCCCAGGGGUGGCCACACAAGCAGGAUGGUCAGACUGGUCAAACGUAAUGGUUGUCUGAGACCAUGUCAAGUAGGUGGUCAUCGCCGUAGGAGCGACCAUAUUCACCUCCCUGUUGAUGACCUUCAAUUGACUCUUGCUUUCAAUGUCAGCAAAUAUCAUCAGAGUGGAAUUGACUUUGGGAUAACCAUUGUCCUCCUCUUCAUCUUCACCUUGGUCCGACUCCUUCUCCUUCUCAUUGGGUUGUUUCUCUCGGAACUGCUGGAUUAGGAGUCGACACUGCCGUGUGGUAUGCUUCGGGUAAAUCAGAUUACCUUCCUCAUCCUUCUUCGUGUGGAUGUGGCACGGCAAAUCCAACACAUCAUUCCCUUCUUGAUCCGUCACAUUCUUAGGGGGCCAGGGCCCCUUAGGUUUUCCCUUAAACUUUCCUUGAUUCACUGCCGCAAUCUCUCUAGGUGCCGCUGGCUCGGCCUUACGCUUCUGUUUCCCACUGGAGUUACCUCCACCGGCCUCUUGGCCGACUGGUUUGCUCUUCCUGCUACAGAGUCAAUCCUCUUCUUCCCCGUUAGUGUACCGGGUGGCUAUCUCCCUCAUUCGAGUCAGAGUCAUAUCCCCAGUUCGACCGAAUUUCAAGACCAACUCUCUGUAUUUGACGCCUUCCUUGAAAGCACAUACAAAUUGAUGCUCUGAAACAUUCUCGACGAUGUGAUGCAAAGUGGACCAUCUCUGGAUGAACUCCCUCAAAGUCUCAUUCGGCUUCUGCACACAAUGCUGCAACUCGGGUAAUCCUGCUGGUCGCUUGCACGUGCCCUCAAAAGUUCUCACAAACACUCAAGAUAGCUCUUCCCAACUGUGAAUACUGCCUGGAGUCAACUGAGUCAGCCACGCUCGGGCCGACCCUUCCAACAUAUAUAAGAGGGAGAUGCUUCAUCGCUAUCUCGUCAUUACCACCUCCAAUCUGCACAGCCACUCGGUAAUCUUCAAGCCAAGUUUCAGGCUUGGAUUCACCGGUGAACUUACUGACCCCGGACGCCAACCUAAAGUUCGGAGGUAUCACUGCUGCCCUGAUGGCUCUACUAAAACACUCGGGACCAUAAACAUGCACUCGGCUGCCACUUGGACGAUCUCUGCCAGGGUCUCCUCUGUGUGCUCUGUUCGGUCGACCAGGCCUUGAACAAGGAUAGACCUCGCGUCGAAGCCCGGUUCCCUUGGGUCGACUGAAAUCCUGCGCUCACCACUGUGACGGCGCCUGUCAUCGUUCCGCCGAGGCACAUACGACGCACUCCUCGGAGGAGGCGUGGGUCCCCGAUAAUGAUUGUCACGGUUGAGUGGAUGAUCAUACUGCCCACGGCCUUCACGCCGCGGAGGCGAUCUUGGGUUGUGAGCCGACUAAACCGUGUCCGCUGCAACAGAUCUGCUGUGAAUCCUAUUCCGCGACUGAGAUACUACUAUAUUCUGCUCGCCUGCUGCCCUGAGCAGGGCCUGGAUCUGCAUCAGCCCUCUGCCAGCCUCUGACUGGGAAGGCUAUCGACUCUGCUAUUCGGGUCACAGCUGUGAGAUUCUGAAUCAGAGUGCGGUAUACCUUAGGUGGAGGCGGCAAAAGCUGUCAUCGACUGGACUCAUGGAUCCGCUCCUGGGCGCGCUCAUCGAGAGCACGCUGAAGGUUAUCCAGUCAAGUGCGCUCAGCCAAGUUAGCUAGGCGCACCUCCUCCAAGGCCCGAGCCUCGAGGGUUUCUCCAACGAUGGGCAUAUGGAGUGCAUCCAUGUUGCAGCGACGAAGUUCUUCCCUCUGCUGCGAAGAGAGGGGCUCGGGUCGGUAUUCCUCAUGGACGUGCGACGGAUUGCUGCCUCCGUCCCCGUCACCCUUGUGGCGGAACCCGGGCAGGCUGUGAGGACCAUCGACCAUCAGGACUUUGGCUGCAGGAUCGCUGCUAUCGCACUCGGAUGCAGUCUCCCGUGGAGCCGGUCGACAGAUCGAACAGGCCAUGGAGGGUUUCGUUGGGCUCGAUUGCUGCGACUUGAUGGGUGGUCGAACGCCGAGUGUUGGGCCGUCCAAUACUGUUUUUCAUGGUGUAGUACCAGGAAAGUCGGAGUAUCCAGUGGGCAAGAUUGCUUUGGAAGUUGUGUUUGGAGAUGAGCAUGAUUCCCGGUCUGAGACAUUGACUUUCGAGGUGGUGAGAAUCCAGAGCCCGUAUCACGCACUGUUUGGGCGACUGGCUUAUGCAAAAUUCAUGGCGAGGCCAUGUUAUAUUUACUUGCAGCUCAAGAUGCCGGGUCACAAAGGAACCAUCACAGUUCAUGGAAGUCGGAAAAUCGCUUUGGAUUGCGAAGAGAGUGAUGCGGCUUACGCUGAGUCGGUUUGUGCUACAGAGGAGUUAAAAUUUUACAAGGAAAAUGUUGAUCCGGCAGAUAUGACCCCUCUGAAGAAGCCCACCACUGAGCACGACCCAACCCUGCACUUCAAACCGGUGGAUGAGAUGAAGCUUGUUGACUUUGUACCUGGCGAUUCGUCCAAACAGUUCAGCAUCAGCACCAAUUUGGAUCCAAAAUAGGAAAGCGCGCUCAUCGAGUUCAUCCAGGAGAACCAGGACAUCUUUGCAUGGAAGCCUUCUGACAUGCCAGGUGUACCGAGGGAACUCGCUGAGCACACCCUUAACAUUGAUCCGAAGUUUAAACCGGUCAAGAAAUUCCUUCGUCGCUUUAAUGAAGAGAGACGCAAGGCAAUUGGGGAGGAGGUGGCCCGGCUGUUGGCGGCUGGGUUUAUCGUUGAAGUUUUUCAUCCUGAAUGGUUGGCUAAUCCGGUGCUGGUUCUUAAGAAAAACGGGACUUGGCGCAUGUGUGUGGAUUACACGGACUUAAAUAAAGCUUGCCCAGCGGAUCCUUUUGCUCUCCCGCGUAUUGAUCAAAUCAUUGAUGCAACGGCGGGUUGUGAGCACCUGAGUUUUUUGGAUGCUUACUCAGGGUACCAUCAGAUCAAAAUGGCAGUUAAGGACCAGGAGAAAACAGCCUUCAUCGCUCCCUUUGGAGCCUUCUGCUAUGUUUCUAUGCCCUUUGGGCUCAAGAGUGCUCAAGCAACCUAUCAGCGUUGUGUGCAAAAUUGUCUUCACACGCAGAUUGAGCUAACGUUCAUGCCUAUGUGGAUGACAUUGUGGUGAAAUCCAGGAAAAAGGAGACAUUGAUAGCUGAUCUCAAGGAGACGUUUGACAACCUCCGGGUUUACAAAAUGAUGCUUAAUCCGGAUAAGUGUGUCUUUGGUGUUCCGGCAGGCAAGCUGCUCGGUUUUCUGGUGUCUAACAGGGGCAUUGAGACUAAUCCGGAAAAAAUCAAGGCAAUCACAUCCUUGGCCAAACCGACAUGUAUCAAUGAUGUUCAGCGUCUCGCAGGCCGGAUCGCAGCUCUCAGCCGGUUCAGCAGUCGUUUGGGUGAGAAGGCCAUUCCCUUGUAUCAGAUGCUGAAGAAAAUGGAUAAUUUCGUCUGGAGUGAUGCAGCCAAUGCGGCCUUUGAGGAGUUAAAGCGGCAAUUGGUUGAACCGCCAGUUCUGGCAGCCCCAGUCGAUCAUGAGCCUUUACUAUUAUAUGUGGCUGCUAAUGCCCGAGCAGUCAGUGUGGCUAUCAUUGUAGAGCGUAAAGAGGCUGGGAAGGAAUAUCCGGUUCAACGUCCAGUAUAUUACAUCAGUGAAGUCCUGAUCGAGUCAAAGCAACGCUAUCCACAUUGGCAAAAGUUGGUGUAUGGGGUUUUUAUGGCCAGUCGGAAACUCAAGCAAUAUUUUCAAGGUCACCCCAUCACAGUGGUUAGUUUGGCUCCCUUGGGUGAUAUCAUCCAAAACAGAGAAGCAACUGGCCGGGUUGCAAAGUGGGCAAUUGAGCUUGGUCCACAUGGUUUGAAGUAUGUGCCUCGCACAGCCAUUAAGUCGCAGGCUCUUGUGGACUUUAUCAAUGACUGGACUGAGUUACAAGCACCAGAAGAGAAACCGGAUAAUACGUACUGGACCAUUCAUUUCGAUGGAUCAAGGCAGUUGGAAGGCUCGGGGGCUGGAGUUGUCCUUACUUCCCCCCGAGGUGAUAAAAUUUGCUACGUCCUCCGCUUGAUGUUUCCUUGUACUAACAAUGCAGCUGAAUAUGAAGCCCUACUUCACGGUCUCCGCGUGGCUAAGGAGAUGAACUUAACUCGAGUUCGUUGCUUUGGCGAUUCUGAUCUGGUGGCUCAGCAAGUUUCUGGUACUUGGGAUUCUAAGGAUCCACUCAUGGCGGCUUACAGGCGUGAGGUAGAUAUGGUGGCGGGUCACUUCAAAGGUUACCAGGUUGAGCAUAUUGAUCGGCGCAAAAACGAAGCAGCAGACGCUUUGAGCCGACUUGGAUCUCAGCGUAAACCGGUACCUCCUAACACCUUUCUGGAUAUAUUGCAUAACCCAUCUGUUAAAUUGCCUACAGAAGCGGAUCUGGCUGCUCUUGAUCCGGAGGCGCAGCUGGUGGCUGCUUUACAUGUUGUGUCGGAUUGGACGAUUCCAUAUCUGGCAUAUAUGAACCGGGGUGAGCUACCAAAUGAUCAAGUCCUGGCCUGACCGAUAGUCCGGCGUUCUAAAUCCAUGGUUAUUCACAAUGGCGAGUUACACCGCUGUAGUGUUUCAGGCGUAUUUCAGCGUUGUGUUUCUCCGGAAGAAGGCCAAGCGAUCCUCCGGGAAAUUCAUGAAGGGGAUUGUGGUCAUCAUGCCGGUUCAAAGUCCCUGGUUUCAAAAGCUUUUCGUCAUGGGUUUUACUGGCUGACAGCCCAUGCUGAUGCGGAGGAUCUGGUAAAGCGAUGUGAUGCUUGUCAAAAAUUUUCCCGCAGAGCUCAUGUUCCGGCUCAGGAGCUAUGGAUGAUUCCAAUCAGUUGGCCUUUUGCUACUUGGGGGCUUGAUAUGGUGGGGCCUUUUAAGCGUUCCCGAGACAAGAAAACCCACCUGUUAGUGGCAGUUGAUAAAUUCACCAAGUGGGUUGAAGCGGAGCCUGUUAGCAAUUGUGAUGCAGCGAUGGCGGUUCAAUUUCUCAAAAAGAUUAUUUUCUGCUUUGGUUAUCCACACAGCAUUAUCACAGAUAAUGGUACUAACCUAUCCAAAGGUGAGAUGGAGGAUUUCUGUCAAAGAGAGCAUAUUCGGCUUGAUCUAGCAUCUGUCGCGCACCCUCAAUCCAACGGUCAAGCAGAGCGAGCUAAUCAAGAAAUCUUAAAGGGUCUUAAACCCCGGCUCAUGAUUCCAUUGAAACGGACGCCGGGUUGUUGGGUGGAAGAAUUACCUUCUGUGUUGUGGAGUAUCAACACCACCCCCAAUCGAUCAACAGGAUAUACGCCUUUCUUCAUGGUCUACGGAGCAGAGGCGGUUCUCCCAAGUGAUAUACAUCAUGAUUCCCCCCGGGUUGCUAAUUAUGUCGAAGCGGACAAUGAGCAAGCUCGCCAAGAGGCACCGGAUUUACUAGAUGAGAAGCGGGAUAUGGCUUUGGCAUGCUCGGCGGUUUAUCAGCAAGACCAGCGGCGCUAUCACAACCGUCGGGUUAGGACAAGAGCCUUUCAAGAAGGUGACUUGGUGCUCCGGCUUAUCCAGGAUCAGACCGGUAUACACAAGUUAUCCCCGCCUUGGGAAGGACCCUUUGUGGUCAGUAAGAAUCUGCACAACGGAUCAUACUACCUCAUUGACGUUCGAGAUGACUCACGCAAAUCUGAGGAGGAGACCCGGCGGCCCUGGAACAUAGCUCUCCUCCGGCCUUACUACACUUGAGCCAUAGGCUCUCUUUUAUGUACAUAUUUUGACGAUGUAUAUAUUAUCAUCAAUAAACAAAUCAGCAUCCUUGCUUCAAAGCGGGGCCUCUGCUGUUUUUUCUCAAAUAUUCUUUGAGUUACUUGGGGGCUUCAGCUGACCAAGCGAAGUAUUAUCCCUUGAACCGGCUAUCACGCCACAGAGAUUGGGAGCUUCACACCCAAAGGGCCAAAGAGAGUUUCGAUGCUAUGCACAACUCAAACAUAGGCACCUAAUGAGCACCGCUCAUCACGUUACUUGGGGGCUCCUUGGUCCAAUACCAAGAAGUCUGAAUGGAUCCUUGUAGCUGGGUAUCGACCCACGGCUUGGAAGCCUGGUAUAUUUACCUAAAACCCCAGGUUAACCUGCCUUCAUCAAGUAACACACUCCUAUCCAGGUCAUCCUGGCACGGCCCUCCGAACGUUUGACAGUUACUCUCCUUGAGACCCUGAACUUGUCAAAGUUAAAACGGUGAUUGGCUAGUUGGAGGUCUAUCUUAAAAGGCUUUGUUAAAUGGUUCAACUCAGUGGCCUGGCAGCCCACAAAAAGCCUCGCAUUUGGGCCUGGCAGCCCCCAAAAAGCCUCGACUACACGGUUUUCAUUUGAACUUUGGCUGAAUUUUAAACCGAUUUUUUUGGCUUGUUCAACCGUCUUCUAAGACCGGCAUUUCUUAAACCGGCUUGGUUUGCAACUUUACGUUGACAGACCUUUAUUUUAAACCGGAGUUUUCUUAACCCGGCUUGGCAUUGAUUUCCUGUCAACAGCCCGGAUCGUCUGGCGUGAAUCAUCACCCGGCAUGACUUAAUCUACGACAUCAGAAAAUGAUGGCGAUACAAAUACUUCAGAUUUGGGUUUUUCACCCUUAUCGCAAUUCAAGUUGGCUCGCCAACUAGCCAGGGAUCUUGUACUACCGGUAUGUAUAAAUUCAUAUUAUUAUGAUUUGAUUAUCAAUCCGGCAUAUUUUGGGCAUUAUGACCCGUCCGGCGGUAAACCGCCAGGACCCUUUGUCUUUUUAUGCAUACAGGAAAUGCAUAUUGUGAUACUUGGAACAAAAAUUGAUAUUGAUAUGGCUUAUCAACGCAAAAUAUCUCUUGCAUGAUGGCAGCAGAUCAGCAUAAGUUUCUUGCUAUCCUAUUACACGGCACUCCAAGGCCCAAAAUAUGGAAAUAUUCAUUGAUCGUUCCUGAUAUACCAACCGCCUGGACAGAUUAAGCUUCAUCACCGGGUUGACGUGAGGUAGAUGGAUCAUCUGGCGUCGGUUCAACCUCUUCUUCAUCCACUGACUGGAAGUCAUUGGUGGUCCAGUCAAUCUGGGUUAAGCCCUGAAAGACAGCCUCUUCACUUAUAAGCUCAGCCGGAUCAACGUCAGGAGCGUAAGUAUGCUUACGGAUUGGUGGAAUGAGGUUCUGCACUUCAGGGAUCACAGCUUCAACCCGUUUGUUGUCUGCAUCAUAGAACGAUCGGUGAACCGUCAGGUUCGCCUCUUCGGCUAGUUGACUCGCCAAAGGACGCAUCUCCCUUGUUACCCGUUUCAGGGCGUCAUUGUCAAAUUCUUCGCCAUUUUCUUGGGCACUGGGGAAGCCUUUGGAUAUAUCAGCCGGGUCAAGGUCAGCUAUCCAUGCCUUGGCUCGAGUCAGCGCCAGCAAAGCGCCGGCCCGAGCAGCGGAUCGCUUCAGCUCUUCUAUUUGCGCUGGUGCCAUUGAAAGACGAUCCAACGUAUCUUUGAUAUGUGUUGGUGCCGCAUUAUCAUAUGAAGUUGCACAUAUAACCCGUUGAGCGCCGGUAUACAGCUGCUCAAUCAGUGUAUAUGCCGCUUUAAGCCUCUUCCGCAUGUCAGAACCCAGGUGAGCGAUGCAAUUUCCUAUAUCAAGAAAUACAUGUUAAACCGAUGAAAUUUCAAAGGGAUACAACUUUUGGCAACCACUACUUACCAAAUAUGGCAGAGGUCAUGGCAUUGAUUUGGCGCUUCAGUCUAGAUAAUUCUUCUGCCACCGGUUUAAGAGCCGAUUCAGCAGUCUCCGACCGCUUCACCAGUCCGGCCUUCUCGCUGUCCCAGUUGGCCUGCUCAGAUUUAAAAUAUUCUUUAAGUUGCUCCAUGGUGGUCAAAGCGGUUCUCAGCUCAUCCUUGGCCUUGGUGGUUUCUGCUUGUUGGGUCUCAAGGUUUGCUCGAAGAUCAGCAAUUUGUGAGGUUUGCUGAUUUAUUUCACUCUGCAAUAGUAAGAGAACAUGUUAAUAUCUUUGUUCAAAGUUCCAAGCAUAUAACCAGUUAUACACUCAACACUUGGGGGCUAAUGCGGAUCGUUUUCAUGUGGAUACUUCAAGUCCCAAGGAUUAAUACAAGUUUUAAUCAUGGCACUUGGGGGCUAAUGUGUAUUUGAUCAAGACAAAGAACAGUUCACAAGGUACAGCAUGAAGAAUAUAAAGUACCGGUUUGACUUUCUCAAGACAAACCGGCCCUUGGGGGCUACAAUGCAAUGAAGGUGCAGAAAUUCUAAAGUGCAAUGUUUACCUCAUAGCGUUCCUUCAUUAUAUUUACUAAACCGGCUUCAUAAUCACGGCUUGUAUAUAGCCGGUUCAGAAAGCCGGAAUGAAGGUCUUGAGCAGAGAGAUCGGUGUAAGCAAACAAAUCAGUCUUACCCUUCCCUUUGUUCACGGCAGCAAAUUCAUCUUUCGCAGUAUGCUUUGACAGGGCAACUGGAUUACCAGGGGCGGUAUAUCCAGUGCCUGUAACAACAACAUCAUCAUCCUUAGCCAGACUGGAAGAGUCAAGGUUUUGAACAGGGCUUGGCGGUUUGUUAGCUGGACUUGGCGGAUCAGCAAUUGAGUCCCGUUGUUCCAUUGCCGGGCUCGGGGGAGCAGGAGGAUUUAAAGUAUCAGCCUCUGCAGACGGUUCAGCUUCUGGCGGGUUAGCAUUACCAUCUUGAUUUGGCCCAGCAGAGCUGUCCAUGGCAACUUCCGGGUUUUCGUUAUGAUGCUCGAGUGUCUUUUCCAGAUCAACUUCAACAGUAGGGUCGCUGGUCUUGGCCUUCUUGCUUAAUCGAGCUUUGGCGCUAUAACACCAAAGGUUAGAGUAUGAUAAACCGACAAAAUAAAGUUAUAAAUCAGGUAACACUUACCCGGCAACUACUUUGAGAGGAGGCAAUUGGGUGGUCGACGAACCGCCAGACGAGCUAGAAGAUGCUUGGUAAUUCGGGUCAGAUGGAUUGAGAGGGCAUCGGAAGAAACCUUUAAAAGGGUAUUGUUUUUGAGGAGCACAAAUCACCUCUAGACGGUGUUUCCGGGGGGCGUAUCAGCUAAACCGGACGAAGUGAUCUGUUGACCACUAUGCCGGGUUGUGCGACGUUCUUCUGCUUGCCGUUUCUUCAAAGAAAAUUUUGGAUCCAAAUGAGCAAGGGGGUGAGAUUGUUUUACUUUCCGAACUGUACGGUGAGUUCUUUGAACCGACACAGGGUCCGAGUCGGAAGAAAGAAGAAUUACCUCAACAUGAUCUGUAUGGCUGGCUUCAGCAUCAUCCUGAAGAUGAUCAUUAUCAAUAAGAUGUAUAAAAAAGGAGCCAAGUGAGUCAAGUUCUACCUCAGCAUCUGAUUCUUCUUCCUCCAGCGGUUCAAAAGAAUCGACAACUUUCUUCUUUCCGGCCUUCUUGGUGACCUUGGUUUUUACACAAGGAGCACGGGCCGGUUUAUUACGUUUCUAGAAAGAGCUGUUGGCCUGAAAUUAAGGCAAAGAAAGGUUAGUAAGCGGUCAAUGUGGAAAUCAGUAAAGUAUGUACAUGAACUUACCGCCGGCAGUUUAUUGGAGAUGCAAAACGGAGCCAAACCGGUUUGGCUGCAUGCAGCGACCGGUUCAUCAAGCAUCCUCUUUACACAUUCAGUGAUUUCAAGCUCGGUCAUUAUUACUUCAUGAUAUCGUUGAGGGUCUUUUACACUUCCGGUAUACUCAUGCAUCAAUCCGGGGCGGCGGCUCAAAGGCAGAAUGCCCCAUGAAACCCAGCAGCGGACAAGAUCAAUGCCGGUUAAACCAUUGGCCAUCAGAGCCUGGAGCUUGGCGAGUUGAGGAGCAAAAUUCUUCCAUUCCGCGGCGGUUAGACGCGGAGGCAUUGGGUGGCUGUUGCUAAGCCGGUGAGGGCAGUAGCCCGACAAGGGAUUUUCUCCAUCAGGAGCAGUAUUCCGGCAGUAAAACCAGGUUUGGUUCCAAUCUUUAGGAUGGCUAUGGUGUUUGGCAUGAGGGAGAUCAACUUCUUUCCUAUUUUGAAUUGAUACGCCACCAAGCUCUGUGUUGGGGCCAUCUGAGAAUUCUGUGCGGCGGUUCAGGUGAAAAAAAUCUCAGAACAACUCCACGGUUGGCUCUUCUUGAAGGUAAACUUCGUAGAAUACUUGAAAGUUGCAUAUGUUUGAUACAGAGUUCGGACCAAUAUCUUGCGGAUGGAGUUGGAAGCUGGCAAGGACAUCCCGGAAUUUUUUUGAUCCGGGCGGACUAAAUCCCCGGUCUAAAUGUUGCAUAAAACAAUCACCUCUCCCUCUUGAGGUUCAGGUGGACAUUCCGAUUCCGGAAUUCGCCAGUGGAGAACUUUCUUCGAAGCUAAAGCACCGGUGAUGACGUAACCAUUGAUCUGUGUCUUUGUGAUCCGGGAUGGAACCCAAUUGCAAGCAGAAAAUUGCUUCGACAUUCCGGAAUGAGGAACUGAAAAUAAAAAGUGUCGGUUUAAGGCGUCUAAUUCAGUGUUAAACCGGAGAAGGAUACUGUGCAAGUUCAGUUGGCGGUUUAAGAGAGGGCUAAUGUUAUAUGGCGGAUUGACUUUUAAGGAGUUAAACCGCCUAUAGGCAGGAUGGCCAGAAUUCGAAAUUUCUGCUAAGAGUUACAAAAAUAGGUUUCGCAAUAUGGCAGUAUAAUUUUGGAUCUACCGUGCAUAAUCUAAGAAAAUGUUCCCGAGCCCUACAAUGGCGCUAAAGAGGAACAGAGACGAACCAGACGGAGUCUAUUCGGAAACAGUAAGAUACUACGGUACGGUGAACUAAUAACAUGGAUCUAGCCGGAGUUCAAAACUAUCAGGCACACAUAUGUAUACUCAACAGGAAGACCAGAAGGAGGAACACAAAAGAACUGAUGAACGGCGAUGAACAUGGAUGAACUUGAAACCCUAAUGAAGAUCUAGGGCUACAGGGAAGCGAACUUACCAGGGCCACACGGCGGCGGAAGAGCGCGGCAGGGUCUCUAGAACAAACAGGGUGAUGCAGCGGCCUUGGUCGGUACAGAUUCGAAGAUCGACGGCGGCGGCGGCACUGGGGUUUCUUCCGGUCGCGAGGAAGAAGAAGAGAAGAAAGGGGAGAAAAUGAAAGUACCUGUCGGGUGUAUUUGUAACAGGGCAGGGAGAUAAGUGACAGGCGCGAGAAUCGAGGAAUCCAAAGUAGCAAGUGGCGUGGCUGUCGCCUCGAUUUCCGGGAUGGCAUUAAAUAAAGGGAAUCUUUUUUUUACAGAGAUGACGUCAUGAUGAUCCAUUGCUGUAUCCAGAGGAUGAUGUCACGGCGGUUUAACAAAGUUUAUAAAAGAAGGCAUCAUGGCGGUUUACGAGGAAUGAAGAAAGGCGUUCACAGGAUUCUGCUAAGUAUCAAAGAUUAACAUGAACAGGUUCAAAUCAAUCUGGGGCCUAAUGUUGGGGAUAUAAAUACUGAGUAUAAACCACCCAGGAGGGGGCCGGUUUACGCUCAACCAUAUUGAAGCCCACGAAGACCCGGAAGGUGGCGCUUUACUAUGAAGCUUAGAGGCCCGGAGCCCAAAGGCGGAUUAGGGCCCAUAGUGGUAAACCGCCAUAGUCAUAUAGCCUGUAUUGUAAGAUAAGGAAAGGAGAGACCGAGCCGAACACUUCUAUGAGUCGGCCUCGGGACUCUGUAAACCGGCCGGGCGUCAACCCGUGUAUAUAAGGGGACGACCCGGCGGCGGUUCAGGGACAAGACACGACAACUCGAGACUCAGGCAAGCGGAUUGCGCUCCCUGAUCAUCGAAACCCAAUCAAUCCCAUCACAACUAGACGUAGACUUUUACCUUCAUCGAAGGGGCCGAACUAGUAUAAAACUCCCGUGUCCCUUGUCCGGUUUAACCCCUUCAAGCUAACCCGUUGCGAUGGCUCCACGACUAAGUCCUUUCACAAGGACAUCUGACAUGAUAAUUCCACGACACCGAGUCACCACGUGUUUCAGCCAGCGCUGAAGCCGCGAUCGACCGGACCGCUUGCGGCGGCGAACAGCGGGGAGAAAAAACACCAUUGGAGCCGACUGAUACUGAGUCAACGGCUGCCGAAGAAGAGCUCCAUGAACGCACGCGCGAAAGUGCAUCGCCCCUCGGACGGGGAGCGCCUCAACGUCGAGCGGAGCUUCCUGAAGCCAUGCCGAGUCUUCGGCGACAAAAACGAGCGCGCCGAGACGGAUCUCGCAGCCCUCAACCAUCUCGCCGCCGGAAACCAUGAUGAUGAUCGGAAAAACUUGCAACUUCACCAGUAACUCGCUAAGACACCUGCCCCACGGUGGGCGCCAACUCUCGUGGUUCUAAGUCUAACAGUAGAAAGGGAGGUGUAACGCCCCGGAUUCGAUGCACUAGGUGUCUGCCAGUUAUUCGCCAUCAUUGCCAUGUCAUUUGCUUGCAUGUUGCAUUUUAUCAUGUCAUCAUGUGCAUUGCAUUGCAUAUGUGUUCGUCUCAUGCAUCCGAGCAUUUUCCCCGUUGUCCGUUUUGCAAUCCGGCACUCCUAUGUCCUCCGGCGUCCCCCUUUUGUCUCUCGUUUUGAGCGGGUUUUAAACAUUCUCGGAAUGGACCGAGGUUUGCCAAGCGGCCUUGGUAUACCAUCGGUAGACCGCCUGUCAAGUUUCGUGCCAUUUGGAGGUUGUUUGAUACUCCAACGGUUAAACGCGUAGCCCAAAACCCCCCUUUCUCUUUGCAGCCCAACACCCUUCCAAACUGUCCCAAAACCCAUCCUAACUCCCCUCCAUGCUCGCGGUCGUUCGAUCACAACCGUGUGGGCGAAAACCGCUCCUCAUUUGGACUCUCCUAGCUCCCAGAAUCUAUAAAUAUGUGCUCCUCGUCCAAUUUCGCGGAUGAACCCUAGCCCUCUCCCUUCUCGCGCCACCGGACACGUCCGCCCGGCGACCGGACGCGUCCACCCCGCUCCGUCGUCCAACCGAAAGCUGCCACGUGGCAUUUCGCCUCCGCCCACCGCUGAGGCCCGCCAGGCCCAUCGCGGGCCCGCGCGCCGCCGCCGCUUAGCCCGAGUGCGCGCCGCCCCGCGCCUCCCUUCGACCCUGCCGCCGGACACCGAGUGCCGCCGCCGGAGUGCGCCGCGNNNNNNNNNNNNNNNNNNNNNNNNNNNNNNNNNNNNNNNNNNNNNNNNNNNNNNNNNNNNNNNNNNNNNNNNNNNNNNNNNNNNNNNNNNNNNNNNNNNNNNNNNNNNNNNNNNNNNNNNNNNNNNNNNNNNNNNNNNNNNNNNNNNNNNNNNNNNNNNNNNNNNNNNNNNNNNNNNNNNNNNNNNNNNNNNNNNNNNNNNNNNNNNNNNNNNNNNNNNNNNNNNNNNNNNNNNNNNNNNNNNNNNNNNNNNNNNNNNNNNNNNNNNNNNNNNNNNNNNNNNNNNNNNNNNNNNNNNNNNNNNNNNNNNNNNNNNNNNNNNNNNNNNNNNNNNNNNNNNNGUCGUCUCGCUACCUCCACCGGCCGGCGCCGCGCCGCCUCGGCCUCCCUCCGGCCAGAUCCAGCCUUCCCGCCGCCGUGCCUCGCCAUGGCCUCGCCUCCCGUGCCGCCCCAUCUUCCUCCUCAACUCCGGCCGUCUCCGGCGAAAACUCUGACCGGAUCCGGCGAGAUCCGGCCCGGAACCUGCAAGGUGGAUGAGAUCCACCGGGAUCUGAGCCAAACGCGCCGUCCCCGCCCCGGAUCCCUCCGUCCCGGGUCGAGCCCGUCCCGCGUUGACUUUUCGCGGAGGUAAAAUUCUGCCAAGUCCCGAAUUAUUUUGCAUUCUGGUGCAUACGUUGACAUGCCAUAACUCUUUGCAUACUGCUCCAUUUUGUGCGUGCUAUAUAUCAAAAUGUUCAUCAUAAGAUGCUAUACAUUUCAUUCCAUUGUGUCAUGCUUGUUUAAGUUGAUCUAGAUGCCCGAAUCUUCGUUGCAAGAGUGCUAUAUAAUGUUGUCUGCUGUCUGUUAACAGAACAUGCUCAUUUGUCAUUUUUGCCAUGUUUGAUGUGUGUAUCCUAUGAGCAUGAGUUCUAUAGGUCUUUUGAUCUAUGCCAUUCCAUAUUUACAGUGGUGCAAUACAUGUAUUUUUGUGAGUCUUGUAGUGAGUGCAUUGAGCUUGUGAAGUAUGGUACUUGUUGUUACUAUUUUGCUAGGCUGAAUCUCUUAUUUCGUGAUGCUAUGUAAACCUGCUGCUACAAGUCAUUGUAUGCAUAAUCUGGAGAUGUCCAAUAAGGAUGUUUUGUCAUACAUGUCAUUCUCUAUCCAUCCAUGCCUCUGGUUGCAUUUAUAGGCUGUUGUAGCUUGUUGUUAUCAUGCUCUGAAGUUGCUGAAUAAUGUUGCUGUCAGCCUGUUAACAUUAAGUUCAGUUUUGCCAUGUGUUUUGCUAGUGAUCCAUGCACCCUAUGAACUUUCUAUUGCCAUUCUUAGCUUAUCAAACAUGUAUUAUUACUGUUGAUUACCUUGCCAUGCCAUGUAUUUCUCUGUGGCGAGUGGUACAAGCUCAUCAACAUGCCUACUUAUUGUUGUUCCUGCCAUGUAUGAAUCUGUCAUAUAACUUGCCAUGUUUACAUGGGUGCCAUCAUGUUUUCUGAUCCUUUUUGGCUCAUGAUCAGUAAGGGACUUUUGUUCUAUGCAUUUAGUAGAUUCAUUCCAUGCCUUUGUUUGCCAUGAUAAGUUCAUGUAGCAUGUUGUUUGAUAGCUCUAAACAUUGCAACCUGAUAUUAUUUCUGCUAAGUCUGAAACUGUUAUUGUUGGCAAUCUUGCCAUGUCUUUUUGAGCAUGUUCUAGUGAUUUCUGGAGAUAGCUCAGUGUUCAUGUUUUGUUAUGCUUUACCUUUAUAUCAUGUCCAUGCCUUUUGUUUUUAUGUUGAGGUGCUGUAGCAUGUUGUUUUGAUGCUUGCAAUAUGCCUAGUUGCUGUUUUGGACAGAUUGUUGCUAUAACUUGUUUCAUGUGUGUGUUGAACCGUUGCUCCGUUUUGAGUGUGCUCUAUAUGAAACUUGCUUGAUUUUGCAUGUAGCUUCAUAAUAUCAUUUUGCAUCCUUGUUUUGAGGUGUUUGCUUGAUGUUUGUAUGCAUUUUGCAUCAAUGCCAUGUUUAACUUGUUUUGCUCAUAUCUUCUAGGCCGUAGCUCCAACUCUAAUGAACUUUAUAUGCAACUUGACUAGAAUCUCGUGUAGAUCAUCUUGGUGCAUCUUAACUUGCUGUUUAACAACUUGAACAUAAGGUUUAUUCAGGUCUGGACCAAUUUCGAAAUUUGCAUAUGAGGACUUAUCGGAAUUGUUAUAUGUUGUUCCCGGCCUCAUUUAAACUUGCCUUGAUGUGUUGCUCUUGUUUGCAUCAUCUCUUGCCAUGAGUAGCUUCAUGUAGUCUUGUCAUGCAUCAUGCUUGUUGUGCAUCAUGUAUUGUCUAUGUGUGGUGUGUUUAUCAUGUUGUGUGCUUCUUCUCGAUAGUUCCCGUUUCGUUGCGAUCGUGAGGAUUCGUUCGUCUACGCUUGGUUGGUCUUCAUGGCUUCAUCUUCUUCAUGGACUUGUUCUUCUUCCUUGCGGGAUUUCAGGCAAGAUGACCACUACCCUGGAUCUCACUACUAUCAUUGUUGUGCUAGUUGCUUCGUUCUAUCGCUUUGCUGCGCUACCUAUCUUUUGCUCCUCAAGCCUCCCAAUUGCCAUGUCAGCCUCUAACCUUCACACCCUUCCUAGCAAACCAUUGUGUUACCGCUUUGCUCAGCCCCUCUUAUAGCGUUGUUAGUUGCAGGUGAAGUUGAAGAUCGCCCCAUGGUGGAGAGGAUUAUGGUUGGGAUAUCACAAUAUCUCUUGUCUAAUUAAUGCAUCUAUAUACUUGGUAAAGGGUGGAAGACUCGGCCUUAUGCCUGGUGUUUUGUUCCACUCUUGCCGCCCUAGUUUCCUUCAUACCGGUGUUAUGUUCCCGGAUUUUGCGUUCCUUACGCGGUUGGGUGAUUUAUGGGACCCCCUUGACAGUUCACUUUGAAUAAAACUCCUCCAGCAAGGCCCAACCUUGGUUUUACCAGUUGCCUCACCUAGCCCUUUUCCCUUGGGUUUACGGAGCCCGAGGGUCAUCUUUAUUUUNNNNNNNNNNNNNNNNNNNNNNNNNNNNNNNNNNNNNNNNNNNNNNNNNNNNNNNNNNNNNNNNNNNNNNNNNNNNNNNNNNNNNNNNNNNNNNNNNNNNNNNNNNNNNNNNNNNNNNNNNNNNNNNNNNNNNNNNNNNNNNNNNNNNNNNNNNNNNNNNNNNNNNNNNNNNNNNNNNNNNNNNNNNNNNNNNNNNNNNGUGCUUGUCGUGAGUGUUGGUCCAACCUGUCAGCCGCCGGUGGUCACCAGGGGCAACUCUGGGCUGGCCUACCGGAAGUUUGGACAAUCUGGUGUCCCCUGAGAACGAGAUAUGUGUAGCUCCCAUCGGGAUUUGUCGGCACAUCCGGGCGGUCUUGCUGGUCUUGUUUUACCAUUGGCGAAAUGUCUUGUAAACCGGGAUUCCGAGUCUGAUCGGGUCUUCCUGGGAGAAGGUAUAUCCUUUGUUGAUCGCGAGAGCUUAUCAUGGGCUAAGUUGGGACACCCCUGCAGGGUAUAAACUUCCGAAAGUCGUGCCUGCGGUUAUGCAGCAGAUGGGAAUUUGUUAAUGUCUGGUUGUAGAUAACUUGACACCUGAUUUGAAUUAAAACGCAUCAACCGCGUGUGUAGCCGUGAUGGUCUCUUUUCGGCAGAGUCUGGGAAGUGAACACGGUUUUGGGUUAUGUUUGACGUAAGUAGGAGUUCAAGAUCACUUCUUGAUCAUUGCUAGCUUCAUGACCGUUCCGUUUGCUCUCUUCUCGCUCUUAUUUGCGUAUGUUAGCCACCAUAUUAUGCUUAGUCGCUGCUGCAACCUCACCACUUUACCUCCUUCCUUUCCCAUUAAGCUUUGCUAGUCUUGAUACCCAUGGUAAUGGGAUUGCUGAGUCCUCGUGGCUCACAGAUUACUACAACAACAGUUGCAGGUACUGAUUAUGCGAUGAUCAUGACGCGAGAGCGAUGUUUGCUUGUUUUGGAGUUCUUCUUCUGCUUCUUCUUCGACCAGGGGAUAGGUUCUAGGUCGGCAGCCUGGGCUAGCAGGGUGGAUGUCAUUUGAGUUUCUGUUUGUGUUUCAUCCGUAUUCGGAUGAUGCUCUUAUGUAUUGUGAUGUUGUAUUCGUGUGGCAUGGUAUACCUCUUGUAUGUAUCCCCAUCUAUUAUGUAACGUUGAUGUAAUGAUAUCCACCUUGCAAAAGUGUUUCAAUAUGCGGUUCUAUCCUUGGUGGGACCUUUGAGUCUCUUUAGGAUAGUAUCGCAUAUUGGGCGUUACAAGUUGGUAUCAGAGCCUCGACCGACCCUAGGACCCCCCUUGAUUGAUCGUGUAGUUUGGCCGUUGUUGAGUCUAGAAGAAAACUAUUUUCGGAGUCUAGUUAUAUUGGAGAGUAGGAAUUCUUUUUACUCCUCAGCCCCUUCAUCGCUCUGGUGAGGAAUCUUGACGUAGGUGUUUUGAAUUACUCCUCUUCCCAUUCAAAUUUUUCUUUAGGUUCACGCAGUUGGUUUUUCGAUCGUUGUUCCUCAGCUCCUUACAUCCGAUGCAUUUCUCGUCAAGGUGAUUCGACCCUCUCCGUUUUUGCAAGUUCAAUCCUAAGUUGUUUUCUUUUUCCCACCCGCCCACCCCUUUUCAUCUCAGAGUCCGAGUCUGUAAUCGAGUAUCCAUCCUACUCGUGCGAAGUCUUUGCCUUCUUUCCUCAAUGAUUUCAACCGGUGUCUUCUCUUCAAGUUAUUUGCCGUUUCUCUCUUCCAAGUUGCCUUUGUUUUCCCGCCCUCCCACCCUUUUCUUCUCGAAGCCUCUUNNNNNNNNNNNNNNNNNNNNNNNNNNNNNNNNNNNNNNNNNNNNNNNNNNNNNNNNNNNNNNNNNNNNNNNNNNNNNNNNNNNNNNNNNNNNNNNNNNNNNNNNNNNNNNNNNNNNNNNNNNNNNNNNNNNNNNNNNNNNNNNNNNNNNNNNNNNNNNNNNNNNNNNNNNNNNNNNNNNNNNNNNNNNNNNNNNNNNNNNNNNNNNNNNNNNUUCAACUGGUGAAUUCUCGUCUCGUUCGUCAUUCAUCAUCCCUUUUUCUUCUCCGGUGGAUUCAAUUCAAGUUUUUUUUCUGGGUUGAUCAUAUUCUUUUCCUUCGAUCAAGUGUUCUCCCUGCUCGUUCGUCUCUCGCCAGUUUAUCCUUCCGGAGCACUCAAGACGUCUCAGGAGAUUCAUAUGUGUUCCAAUUAAUUUGAGGUUGUCACCUCAUUCAAAUAUUUCAAUUGUUUCGGUGCAUCAUCUAUCUGUUCAACAUCCCUUUCCAACGGUGUUUUUCUCUUCAGUGGGCCUAACCCGCAGGUCUUUUGCCAGGAUCUUACCUGACUCUUCUAAUUUCCUAGAGCUAUUCUCAAAUCCGUUUCGAAGUUUGACGUAAGUAUGAAUUUCAUCAGUCAGAUGCUUUUCCAAGAUCAAUUUCAAACUCUUUUCAUUGUUGGUUCAACCCUUCCUCUUCGCUUUUUCAUUCUCCCGGAGUAUCUCAGUAAUUUUGGUGUUCUUUCCCGUCGUUAGUUGAAGACCGAAGAAGAGUUUUUCCUCUCAAUCUUGCCCGUUCUCUCGAAGUUUCGUGGUUCUAGCUUCAUGUUAUCCUCCAAAUUACCCCAUUUGUCAUAAAUUCUUUUCAUCCAUCCGGAGUAUGUCAGAAGUUGUUUUCCCGUUUCUUUUCACCGGAGGCCAUCAUUUCAGCUACCGUUAUCCAGUUAUCCCGGUGCUUCGUUCAAGUGUUCUUUAAUCAGCUCAUUAUCUAUUUAUUCUUUUGCAUCUAAAUCCCCUCUAGCAUAUUGGUUCUUCUAAUUUCUUCCCGAUGAUUUAUUCUCUUUCAUCAGUCAUUUUCGAAUUCUUACGGUGGUUCGUUAAAGAUUCCUUUUCCAUUCUUAUCAUAUUAAUUCAUUCGUUCUUUUGAAUCCUACCGGUGGUUCAUGAAGACUUUCUCAAGUUUGUGCUAUAACCCCUUAAUCCUUUUCAAGAAGAAUAAGUAGUAUGCAAAAUCCAUUGCUUGUCAUCAAAUUAAUUUGAUGAAGGAUAAGCAUACAAUAAAUCUUAUUCUUAUUUCAUCCAAGUGAGUAAUUCCUUCCUUUGGAGUUUGUUCUUGAUGAAUAAAUUCUAGUUCCAAGUGUUUUCAUCUUCUCUUUUCCGGAGUUAAAAUUUCCUCGGCUAUCUCGUCGAAACCUACAUCUUAAGCAUUGCAAGCUUUAAUCUUAUUCUUUCAUCCUUCAAUCUAUCUCAUCAUCCUUUUUGUCACCAGAGUUCUUCGUGGUGGUUCUUCAUGAUUUAAUUCAUUCUUUCAAGUGUUCAUCAAGAUUCUUGUUGGAGGUGUUCAAUUAUUAUUCUUCUUGCAUCUUGAAGUGCAAUUAAUUCUCUGUAUUCUUUUGAAGUGGAGUUUUGCAUUUCUUCAUUCUUCUCAGCUAUCCAUUCAUUUCGGUUUGUGGUCAGUUAUCACCUCAUAAUUUUGAGAUGUUUUUCAUAAGUCCACAACAAGCUUAUUCUUUCAUUGUUGAUUUUCUCAACAACUCCGUUCAACCUUUCCUUCUAAGUUCUUUUCAUUCAACUCUUUCAAUUCUUUCCGGAGGUUUUGUGUCAUGUCUUCAUCAAGUGUCAUCCCAUCUUGGGAAGCUCAGGUCUCUUUUCCUUCCAUUUUCAGCAGGAUUGCUGCCUAAAUUAUUUCAUUCUUAUUCCUUUUACUAUCUUGUUCUAACCGGAGUGGUUUCAUAGUCUAUUUGAUUCUGUGAGCUUUUGAUUCUUGUCAUUCUCGUCGUUCCUCUCUUCUUCUCGUGUGCUCGCGAUUCUUUGCUUCUUCUCUUGAGUUCUUGUUUCACUUCAUCCCAUUUCCCUUCCGUCUCGGUCCUAAGAUCUCGGGAUGAGAUCUCUUGUUAGUGGAGGAGUGUUGUAACGCCCCGGAUUGGAUGCGCUAGGUGUCUGCCAGUUAUUUGCCGUCAUUGCCAUGUCAUUUGCUUGCAUGUUGCAUUUUAUCAUGUCAUCAUGUGCAUUGCAUUGCAUACGUGUUCGUCUCAUGCAUCCGAGCAUUUUCCCCGUUGUCCAUUUUGCAAUCCGGCACUCCUAUGUCCUCCGGCGUCCCCCUUUUGUCUCUCAUUGUCAGCGGGUGUUAAACGUUCUCGGAAUGGACCGAGGUUUGCCAAGAGGCCUUGGUAUACCACCGGUAGACCGCCUGUCAAGUUUUGUGCCAUUUGGAGGUUGUUUGAUAUUCCAACGGUUAACCGCGUAGCCCGAACCCCCCCCCCCCUUUCUCUUUGCAGCCCAACACCCUUCCAAACUGGCCCAAAACCCAUCCUAACUCCCAUCCAUGCUCUUGGUCGUUCUAUCACGAUCGUGUGGGCGAAAACCGCUCCUCAUUUGAACUCUCCUAGCUCCAAGAAUCUAUAAAUAUGUGCUCCUCGUCCAAUUUCACGGAUGCACCCUAGCCCUCUCCCUUCUCGCACCGCCGGACACGUCCGCCCGACGACCNNNNNNNNNNNNNNNNNNNNNNNNNNNNNNNNNNNNNNNNNNNNNNNNNNNNNNNNNNNNNNNNNNNNNNNNNNNNNNNNNNNNNNNNNNNNNNNNNNNNNNNNNNNNNNNNNNNNNNNNNNNNNNNNNNNNNNNNNNNNNNNNNNNNNNNNNNNNNNNNNNNNNNNNNNNNNNNNNNNNNNNNNNNNNNNNNNNNNNNNNNNNNNNNNNNNNNNNNNNNNNNNNNNNNNNNNNNNNNNNNNNNNNNNNNNNNNNNNNNNNNNNNNNNNNNNNNNNNNNNNNNNNNNNNNNNNNNNNNNNNNNNNNNNNNNNNNNNNNNNNNNNNNNNNNNNNNNNNNNNNNNNNNNNNNNNNNNNNNNNNNNNNNNNNNNNNNNNNNNNNNNNNNNNNNNNNNNNNNNNNNNNNNNNNNNNNNNNNNNNNNNNNNNNNNNNNNNNNNNNNNNNNNNNNNNNNNNNNNNNNNNNNNNNNNNNNNNNNNNNNNNNNNNNNNNNNNNNNNNNNGACCCUGCCACCCGCCGGAGCGCUGCCGCCCGACCCCUCCAUCGCCGGACCCCGCCCUCCAGCACCGUUGCCCGCUCGGCCCCGUGCCCCCCGCCCGAGCCCGAAGCUCCUCCCGCCGACGCGCCUCGCCAGCCGCCGUCGCCCGUCGUCUCGCUGCCUCCACCGGCCGGCGCUGCGCCGCCUCGGCCUCCCUCUGGCCAGAUCCGGCCUCCCCGCCGUCGUGCCUCGCCAUGGCCUCGCCUCCCAUGCCGUCCCAUCUCCCUCCUCAACUCCGGCCGUCUCCGCCGAAAAUUCCGGCCGGAUCCGGCGAGAUCCGGCCCGGAACCUGCAAGGUGGAUGAGAUCCACCGGGAUUUGAGCCAAACGCGUCGUCCCUGCCCCGGAUCCCUCCGUCCCGGGUCGAGCCCAUCCCGCAUUGACUUUUCGCGGAGGUAAAAUUCUGCUAAGUCCCGAAUUAUUUUGCAUUCUGGUGCAUACGUUGACAUGCCAUAACUCUUCGCAUACUGCUCCAUUUUGUGCGUGCUAUAUAUCGAAAUGUUCAUCAUAAGAUGCUCUACAUUUCAUUCCAUUGUGUCAUGCUUGUUUGAGUUGAUCUAGAUGCCUGAAUCUUCAUUGCAAGAGUGCUAUAUAAUGUUGUCUGCUGUCUGUUAACAGAACAUGCUCAUUUGUCAUUUUUGCCAUGUUUGAUGUGUGUAUCCUAUGAGCAUGAGCUCUACAUGUGUUUUGAUCUAUGUCAUGCCAUCUUUACAGUGGGGCAAUCCAUGUAUUUUUUUGAGACUUGUAGUGACUGCAUUGAUCUUGUGAAGUAUGGUACUUGCUGUUACUAUUUUGCUAGGUUGAAUCUGUUAUUUCGUGAUGGUAUGUAACCCUUCUGCUACAAGUCAUUCUAUGCAUAAUCUGGAGAUGUUCACUAAGGUUGUUUUGUUAUACAUGUCAUGCUCUAUCCAUCCAUGCCCCUGGUUGCAUUUAUAGCCUACUGUAGAUUAUUUUUAUCAUGAACCAAAGUUCCUAAAUAAUGUUGCUGUCAGCCUGUUAACGUUAAGUUCAGUUUUGCCAUGUGUUUUGCUAGUGAUCCAUGCACCCUAUGAACUUUCUAUUGCCAUGCUUAGCUUCACACACAUGUAUUAGUACUGUUUGUUAUCUUGCCAUGCCAUGUAUUGCUCUAUGGUGUGUGGUACAAGCUCAUCAACAUGCCUACUUAUUGUUAUUCCUGCCAUGUAUGAAUCUGUCAUAUAACUUGCCAUGUUUACAUGGGUGCAAUCAUAUCUUCUGAUCCUUUUUGGCUCAUGAUCAGUAAGAGACUUUUGUUCUAUGCAUUUAGUAGAUUCAUUCCAUGCCUUUGUUUGCCAUGAUAAGUUUUUGUAGCAUGUUGUUUGAUAGCUCUAAACAUUGCAACCUGAUAUUAUUUCUGCUAAAUCUGAAACUGUUAUUGUUUGCAAUCUUGCCAUGUCUUUUUGAGCAUGUUCUAGUGAUUUAUGGAGAUAGCUCAGUGUUCAUGUUUUUUUAUGCUUUACCUUUACAUCAUGUCCAUGCCUUUUGUUUUUAUGUUGAGGUGCUGUAGCAUGUUGUUUUGAUGCUUGCAAUAUGCCUAGUUGCUGUUUUGGACAGAUUGUUGCUAUAACUUGUUUCAAGUGUGUGUUGAACCGUUGCUCCGUUUUGAGUGUGCUCUAUAUGAAACUUGCUUGAUUUUGCAUGUAGCUUCAUAAUAUCAUUUUGCAUCCUUGUUUUGAGGUGUUUGCUUGAUGUUUGUAUGCAUUUUGCAUCAAUGCCAUGUUUAACUUGUUUUGCUCAUAUCUUCUAGGCCGUAGCUCCAAAUCUAAUGAACUUUAUAUGCAACUUGACUAGAAUCUCGUGUAGAUCAUCUUGGUGCAUCUUAACUUGCUGUUUAACAACUUGAACAUAAGGUUUAUUCAGGUCUGGACCAAUUUCGAAAUUUGCAUAUGAGGACUUAUCGGAAUUGUUAUAUGUUGUUCCCGGCCUCAUUUAAACUUGCCUUGAUGUGUUGCUCUUGUUUGCAUCAUCUCUUGCCAUGAGUAGCUUCAUGUAGUCUUGUCAUGCAUCAUGCUUGUUGUGCAUCAUGUCUUGUCUAUGUGUGGUGUGUUUAUCAUGUUGUGUGCUUCUUCUCGAUAGUUCCCGUUUCGUUGCGAUCGUGAGGAUUCGUUCGUCUAUGCUUGGUUCGUCUUCAUGGCUUCAUCUUCUUCAUGGACUCGUUCUUCUUCCUUGCGGGAUUUCAGGCAAGAUGACCGCUACCCUGGAUCUCACUACUAUCAUUGUUGUGCUAGUUGCUUCGUUCUAUCGCUUUGCUGCGCUACCUAUCUUUUGCUCCUCAAGCCUCCCAAUUGCCAUGUCAGCCUCUAACCUUUACACCCUUCCUAGCAAACCAUUGUGUUACCGCUUUGCUCAGCCCCUCUUAUAGCGUUGUUAGUUGCAGGUGAAGUUGAAGAUUGCCCCAUGGUGGACAGGAUUAUGGUUGGGAUAUCACAAUAUCUCUUGUCUAAUUAAUGCAUCUAUAUACUUGGUAAAGGGUGGAAGACUCGGCCUUAUGCCUAGUGUUUUGUUCCACUCUUGCCGCCCUAGUUUCCUUCAUACCGGUGUUAUGUUCCCGGAUUUUGCGUUCCUUACGCGGUUGGGUGAUUUAUGGGACCCCCUUGACAGUUCGCUUUGAAUAAAACUCCUCCAGCAAGGCCCAACCUUGUUUUUACCAGUUGCCUCACCUAGACCUUUUUCCCUUGGGUUUACGGAGCCCGAGGGUCAUCUUUAUUUUACCCCCCCGGGCCAGUGUUCGUCAUGAGUGUUGGUCCAACCCGUCAGCCGCCGAUGGUCACCAGGGGCAACUCUGGGCUGGCCUACCGGAAGUUUGGACAAUCCGGUGUGCCCUGAGAACGAGAUAUGUGCAGCUCCUAUCGGGAUUUGUCGGCACAUCCGGGCGGUCUUGCUGGUCUUGUUUUACCAUUGUCGAAAUGUCUUGUAAACCGGGAUUCCGAGUCUGAUCGGGUCUUCCUGGGAGAAGGUAUAUCCUUCAUUGAUCGCGAGAGCUUAUCAUGGGCUAAGUUGGGACACCCCUGCAGGGUACAAACUUUCGAAAGGCGUGCCCGCGGUUAUGCGGCAGAUGGGAAUUUGUUAAUGUCUGGUUGUAGAUAACUUGACACCUGAUUCAAAUUAAAACACAUCAACCGCGUGUGUAGCCGUGAUGGUCUCUUUUCAGCGGAGUCCGGGAAGUGAACACGGUUUUGGGUUAUGUUUGAUGUAAGUAGGAGUUCAGGAUCACUUCCUGAUCACAGCUAGCUUCACGACCGUUCCGUUUGCUCUCUUCUCGCUCUUAUUUGCGUAUGUUAGCCACCAUAUUAUGCUUAGUCGCUGCUGCAACCUCACCACUUUACCUCCUUCCUUUCCCAUUAAGCUUUUCUAGUCUUGAUACCCAUGGUAAUGGGAUUGCUGAGUCCUCGUGGCUCACAGAUUACUACAACAACAGUUGCAGGUACAGGUUAUGCGAUGAUCAUGAUGUGAGAGUGAUGUUUGCUUGUUUUGGAGUUCUUCUUCUGCUUCUUCUUUGAUCAGGGGAUAGGUUCCAGGUCGGCAGCCUGGGCUAGCAGGGUCGAUGUCGUUUGAGUUUCUGUUUGUGUUUCAUCCGUAGUCGGAUGAUGCUCUUAUGUAUUGUGAUGUUGUAUUCGUGUGGGAUGGUAUGCCUCUUGUAUGUAUCCCAAUCUAUUAUGUAACGCUGAUGUAAUGAUAUCCACCUUGCAAAAGCGUUUCAAUAUGCGGUUCUAUCCUUGGUGGGACCUUCGAGUCUCUUUAGGAUAGUAUCGCAUAUUGGGCGUGACAGGGGGGUAGGUAUGGAGAGGCAGGAUCUUAGCUAUGGCGAAGAUGUACACACGAUGUUUUCGAGUUUAGGCCCUUCUCAGAAGAAGUAACAACCCUACGUCUCGGUGCCCGGAGGCGGUCAAUUGUAUUAUGUGUGUUGUGUUACAGGGGGUGCGAACCCUUGUCCCAGAGGAGGGGGUGGCUUAUAUAGAGUGCGCCAGGACCCCCGCCCACCUCCAUUACAAAGGGCUUAAUGUACAUAAAGUGGGGGCGUUACAGUUAACGGCAGUCUUAAAUGUUCGUAAUGCUCAUGAAGACUAAGGAGUGAAUGUCCGGUCGUUGUACGUUCUACCGACUCCUGGUAUUUGACAUAGUCGAGUGAUUCUCAUAUGGCCGAGUGAAGGUAAGGAAUGACGGUCGAGUGAUUGCAUCGUCGAGUGGAUUCUUAGACUUCUUAUCUUCUGGGGUAGUGACCUUGCGUAGGACGUGUAGGUCAGGCCUAUGACCCUACCCCAGGUCUGUAUCCUCAUCAGUGACCAACUUGCGGGUUCCGCCCAUGAACCUAUGCAUAGGGGUUGGCACACAUUUUCGUCUUGACUCUGUGGUAGAAACUUUGGGGCGCUCUUUGAAGUACUUUGUGUUGGGUGAAUAGAUGGAUCUGAGAUUGUGUGAUGCAUAUCGUAUAAUCAUGCCCACAGAUACUUGAGGUGACAAUGGAGUAUCUAGGUGACAUUAGGGUUUUGGUUGAUUUGUGUCUUAAGGUGUUAUUCUAGUAUGAACUCUAUGAUAGAUUGAGCGGAAAGAAUAGCUUCAUGUUAUUUUACUACGAACUCUUGAAUAGAUAGAACAGAAAGGAUAACUUUGAGGUGGUUUCGUACCCUACCAUAAUCUCUUCGUUUAUUCUCCGCUAUUAGUGGCUUUGGAGUGACUCUUUGUUGCAUGUUGAGGGAUUGCUAUAUGAUCUAUCUAUGUUAUUAUUGUUGAGAGAACUUGCACUAGUGAAAGUAUGAACCCUAGGCCUUGUUUCCUAUCAUUGCAAUACCGUUUACGCUCACGUUUAUCAUUAGUUACCUUGCUGUUUUUAUUAUUUCAGAUUACAAAUACCUCUAUCUACUAUCCAUAUUGCACUUGUAUCACUAUCUCUUCGCCGAACUAGUGCACCUAUACAAUUUACCAUUGUAUUGGGUGUGUUGGGGACACAAGAGACUCUUUGUUAUUUGGUUGCAGGGUUGUUUGAGAGAGACCAUCUUCAUCCUACGCCUCCCACAGAUUGAUAAACCUUAGGUCAUCCACUUGAGGGAAAUUUUGCUACUGUCCUACAAACCUGUGCACUUGCAGGCCCAACAACGUCUACAAGAAGAAUGUUGUGUAGUAGACAUCAAACACCCCGGUGUAAUGAUGCUAGAGUAAUCCCUGAGAUCAAGCUAAUCAUUUUGCUAUAAUAGUGCUUGGUCACUUUGAUCAAUAUUCCAUUUCAAAUUCCAGUUGAAUUCAAUUUGAAUUUAUGUGUGAAAUUCAAAAUUGCUUAGACAUGAAAACUAAAAUGUUCAUCAUGUGGAACAUAUUCUUCUAGUAAUAUUGGUGGUGAGCCAACAUUUUUGCAAAAUGUCUAAGUGGCCUAAAAUAGCUAAAAUAGAAAAGCUUUAAAAAAAGGAAAAGGAAAAGCAAGGAGAAAAAGAAGAAGGAGAAGUCCCCUGCCCCCUGGGCCUUAGCCAUUGCACUGACCGGCCCACCUUACCCCCCGGGUUGCCUUCCUGUUUGACCGACCCCGUCGCUACAGGGGCGUGGUCGCCCCGGUCCGCCUCGUCGUCGAUGACGAGGGAGGGGAUAAGGCCCCGUGCCUCCCUACCUCCUCAAUCCCCACCCCACUCCCCCUGGCGUCCUCAUCCGUUUCUCACCCUUCCCCCAGUUGCCCCACGCGCCUCGCCUCUCUCUUUCCCCCACCUUGCCCGAGAGCUCGCCGCCGUCCUCCAUCGUUGUCGCGGCCACCGGCAGCCCCGCGCCUGCUGACCCUGUCGUUGAGCUCCGUCGGGGUCAACUCCUUUGACUGGUGGCCUCAGCUGGAGCUCGGAGGCGCUGCAGCACCAGAACCCCUUCGUUCCCAUCUCUGACGGCCACAACAACUCCAGCGCGCGCUACUACUCCUAAGCCGUCAAGGGCUUUCCGUAGCCGCGCGGUGAGCCACCACCUUCCUUGUCCCUCUCUCCGUCUGCCCUUGUGUGGUCCCUAGCGGUCCCUCCCACCAUGGCCGAACGCGACGCCGCGCGAGCUCAUCGCCGGCAUCCUUCCGGUGACCUUUUGGUCACGGGGACGCGCCCGUUGGACUCACCGCUCCGUGCAGAUCCUUCCCAUCCUUUCCUUUUGCUCCGUAGUGCGCCGUAGCAUCUUUUCCGCCACCGACUGUAGCCGCUCCGGUGCAAACCUCAUCGCCGGCGCCGUUUCCGGCCAAGUCCGGCCAUGCCUCUGCCACCAUUCGAUGCGGCGUCGUUCGCCCGUUCGAACGCACCCUUGCGCGUGUGAAACGGCUGCCAGUAGACGUUUUCCGAUGAGGCCCGAGCGGCUCUGCCGCGUCCUAGCGUCGCCGAUGGCGAGACGCGUGCCUUCGCCGACGUGGCUGGCCGGGCCCCACCCCUGGCUCACUGCCAGUGGGCCCCAUGGGCCCUAGUUGACUGGAUUGACACAAUCAACUGCUGACUGGGCAGCCCAGUGCCACUGACAUGCAGGCACCACCACUUAUUUAAGCUAAUUAAAAUGUUUUUAUAGUUAAAAGUAAUUAGUAAUCUAAUCUGCCACUGACAUGUGGGGCCCAACUAUUAAUUAACCUCAUUUUAGUUAGUUUAAAGUUCUGUUAGUCCACUCCCUAUGACAGGUGGGACCCACUUGUCAGUUUGACCAGUCAACCAGUCUGUUGACCUGUUGAUGUCAUGUUGACACUCUGCUGACAUCAUAAUUCCUUUUCUGUUAAUUUAAUUAAUUCCAGAAAAUACUUUAAUCUUUAAAAAUUCAUAGAAAAUAAACCGUAGCUCGGAUGGAAAAACUUUAUACAUGAAAGUUGCUCAGAACGACGAGACGAACCCGAAUACGCUAACCACAUACCUGUCAGAUGCUUCUAACUAUCUGAACAUGGAACAUUCCCCUACGAUCAUCUAUCUGACACAGGUCCGGAACCGGGAAUACAUUCCCGGUUGAAUUCCCCCUUCACCUAUAUCAUGUAGCCAUACGUUAGUUCACACCCGACACAUCAUAAUGCCACGUUAUGCUUUGUGAUGCUAUGUUUGCUUUAUAUUUACUGUUUCUUUCCCCUCUUCUCUCCGGUAGACCCCGAGACUGAUGCUGCCCCUGUGAUCGACCACGUCGACGACAACCCCUCCUUGUCAGAUCAACCAGGCAAGCCCCCCCUUUGAUCAUCCCGAUAUCACCCAUUCCAUUCUCUCAUGCUUGCAUUAGAUUUUGAUACUAUUAUUGAUUGCUCCUAUUCUGAUGCAUAGCCUGAUUUUGUAUCUGUUGUUGUACCUUACCUGCUUAUCCUAAACUGCUUAGUAUAGGUUGGUUAGUGAUCCAUCAGUGACCCCCACCUUGUCCUUGUUGCCCCUGCUUCAUCAUCGAAGACCAGAUCAACGGGAUCGAAGACCAGGCCCCGGCACCGCACAUCAAUUUCCCCUUAGUUGCUCGACACUACUGGGUUACUAUCGAGUACCGAGGGUGAGGCCUCAUCAGCACUUCUGAUGUUAACCCUGUAGUGUAGCUAUUCGGUCAUGGUCAUCGAGGGUGAUUUCCUCUUUAACCACUUCCGAUACGACUUUGUCGUGCAACCCCUCAAGCGUGAACCUCGAGGGUGGUCCCUCUUACGUUGACCUUGAUGAUUACACCGAGUGGAAUUCAUCGGGGGUGAUUCCUCGGUUUUUCCCCUUGAUGUUUAGACACAUAGUUACUAUGAUUACUAUGACUUUACACUGAACCAUGUUACUAAAGACGGGUCGACCCUGAGGGGUACCCGCGUGACCAUAAUUGCAAGUGAUGUGGAGUCGGGUUGCCCUGGACGGUGCCCGCGAGAUAAUUAUGAGGCGUGGCCAGGCAUUCUUAGCCCUUGCCACAAGUCCUCGAGACGGGGCAAUGGGGUCACAUCUUUCGUGAGUCUCUGCUUGUUACCGCGCGUUCCUAAUCCACUACGAUUUGGAUAUUUGAUCCGAGGGGCCUCUGGCCUGAUAGCACUAACCAUCACGUGGGCAUAGUAUGGGCGUUCUGCGUCGUAUGCAUCAGCCCAAGCUUAAUGGAAAUCAGCGACUGAGCGGCGCGUGCCGGGUUGGACUGCAUAAGAACCUGCCUUUUUAAGGAGGUAGCUAGGUCUGCUUACCUCCCACCCACGCAACGUGCAGGAGUUCCUGGGGCGAUGGCCCAUGACCCCUGGGGGCAUAGGUUUAGUAUGGCGUGCUGACCUAUCUAUUAAGCCCAGGUAGGGUUGCAGCGUAUUGUUUGGCCGAGGCCGGGCUUGACCCAGGACAGUGUGUUCGACCAAAGUUAAUCGAGCAUGGUGGGUAAGUUGGUGCACCCCUGCAGGGAACAAAACAUCUAUCGAUAGCCUGUCCUACGGUAACAGACGCUUGGAGUUGUAUACCGAUCGAUACAACUAGAACUAGAUACUUGUGAUGAGAAUUGGAUUGUGAUGAGAAAUUAAUAGUAUGGAUCUGGGAUUGCUUUCUCGCAGGGAGUCGAGAAAGGAUCUCUGGCCGAGGUUGAUAACACUACUACUACUUUACUUUAUGCUACUCUACUCCCUCCCGUUUGCUGCAAGAUGGUGGUUUCCAUAAGAUGCUAGUCUUCGAUAGGACUAGGCCUUCUCUCUAUUCUGGCAUUUCUGCAGCCCAGUCCACAUAUACAUCCUUCCUUUGAUAAUGUUGCAUAUGCAGUGUAGAUCCUUGCUUGCGAGUACUUUGGAUGAGUACUCACGGUUGCUUUGCUCCCCCUUUUCCCCCUUCUUUUUCUUUCCGGUUGAUGCAACCAGAUGUCGGAGCCCAGGACCCAGAUGCCACUGCCGGUGCCUACUACUACGCGGAGACCGCUAACGACCGUGAGCAGUUAGGAGGCUCCCAGGCAGGAGGCCUUGCCUUUUCGAUCGUAGAUGCUUUUGUGCUAGCUUCUUAAGGCAAAGUUGUCUAACUUAUGUCUGUACUCAGAUAUUGUUGCUUCCGCUGACUCUUGUGUAUUCGAGCUUAUGUAUUCGAGCCCUCUGGCUUGUAAUAUAAAGCUUGUAGUAUUUUAAUUUGUGUCUAGAGUUGUGUUGUGAUAUCUUCCUGUGAGUCCUUGAUUUUGAUCGUACACAUUUGCGUGUAUGAUUAGUGUACGAUUGAAUCGAGGGCGUCACAAGUUGGUAUCAGAGCCGACUGCCUAUAGGUAGCCCCCUUUCCAACUCCUUGGCCUAAGUUGAGUCUAGUCACUGAAAAACUUUUACUAACAUUGCCUAUGUGUCUUACGGGCCCACGUCGCCAUUGGGUGGUAUUAGGAUCUUUUACUCCUCGUCUAUACUCUGGGACUCUGAUCACUCUUCUAUUCGGGUUAAACGAAAUUACUAACUCUUACAUUAGGAUCCCAUGACCACAUUCACCCCAAAGUUGGAUAAGCCAUAGUUAUUCCUUAGAAUAGUAUUCUGAAUAGUACACACAUUGUCGUGUUGACUAUGAAGUGGUAUCCAUCGCACCUCUUUCUUUAUGCAUGCUUCAUCAUAAAUGAUCCUUGUCUUUGCAAAUGCUCAAUGCUGAACUACCCCCUGUUACAUGUUUGCAGGAUGGUUAGACCUGUUGGUCGUGGCCGUGGUGCCAACGAUCCACCACCGCCCAAAUUCUUUGCCGGAAUGAUGCAACAAUUUGAGCUGAACCGCCAGUUCAUGGAAGGAAUGAUGGCUCAGUUUCCUCGUCUGAAUAUGAAUCAGCAGCCAGCCCCAGUAACUCUGCAGGACUUCAUGCGCCUCAACUCAACUAUUUACCGUAGCUCAACUCAGCCCCUUGAUGCUGAUGACUGGCUCCGCGACAUCACGUAUGAAAUGGAGUCUGCUAGUGUGGCCCCUGCUAGCUAUGUCACCUUUGCAUCAUUCUUUCUGAAGGGUCCCGCUGCUCAAUGGUGGGACAGCCACAAGCGUACCCUACCUGCUGAAACGGUCGUCACUUGGCCAAAUUUCUAAGCUGCCUUCCGUGCUCGUUUUAUUCCUCAGGGAAUCAUGGACAAGAAGAAGCGCGAGUUCCGCAACCUCACCCAAGGCAAUAAGGCUGUAGAUGCUUACCAGUGGGAAUUUUAGGACUUGUCAUGUUAUGCUAAAGAAGACAUUGUAACUGAUGCUCGCAGUCAGGAAAAGUUUCGAGAUGGAAUUCACCCUGAUAUCAAGCUAGCACUGCUCGUCCAUGACUUUGCCGACUUCGCCACCUUGGUGAACAAGGCUAUUCAGGUUGAGACUGGUCUGUAGGAAGACCAGGGAUCCCUCAGGCGCAGCCGUGACGCUGGCUCAUCUUCGGGCCCGUCAGCGCAGAAGCGUCGGAUAUGGAUCCCCCAUAGCAUGUACCGCCCAACUGCACCUGCACCAAGACAUUCCUAUGUUGCACCUCGUCUGCCUCCUCCAUCGCAGAGGCAGCCUCUUCGAGCUGUACCACCCCAAGCUCCUGCUCCCAACCCCAAUGAUGGUCUAUGCUACAAGUGUGGCCUUCUAGGUCACCGCUCCAGGAACUGUCCUCAGAAUCAGAACCAACUAGGUCUUCCUGCUACGGGUCGUGGUAACAAUCAACCUCGCAACAACAAUGCCCGACCUUAUGGUCGUGGGCAGGCUAACAACAUUGAUCUGAAUGAAGCUCAAGACCAGCCUGCUAUUGUGAUGGGUACUCUCCUUGUUAAUUUGGUACCAGCUUCAGUUUUAUUCAAUCAGGGGCAUCACAUUCAUUCAUGUCAGAAAAUUUUGCAUACGCACAUGACAUUCGAUGUGAGCCCAUGAACACUCUGAUAGUGGUACGCACCCCUGCGGGUCAGUGUCGAACUACCAUGAUUGGUCGCGACGUCCCCGUUGAAAUUGAAGGGUUGGAAUUUCAUGUUUCUCCCAUUAUUCUGGAGUCUUCCAAUAUUGACCUCAUUCUGGGAAUGGAAUGGUUGAAAGCACAUACUGCCUCUAUCGUUUGUGCCACUAAAGUCGUUCAUCUCGUAGAUCCUUCCGAUGAGAUAAUAAGCUACCAUGCUCAGAUUGUUCAAAACGCUGAAGCACAACUUUAUGCUUUGAAUGCGUUGAACGCGGAACCUCUUGAGGGAAUUGAAAAGAUUCCAGUCGUUCGCGACUUCCAAGACGUAUUUGCAGAAGAACUUCCAGGAAUACCCCCUGCCCGGGCUGUCGAGUUCGUCAUCGAUUUGAAACCAGGCAUUGUUCCUAUUGCCAAAUGACCCUACAAGAUGCCACCUCAUGAACUCCUUGAACUUAAGGAGGAAAUCGACAAAUCUCUUCGCAAGGGUUUCAUUUGUCCAAGUUCCUCUGCUUGGGGAGCACCUUCUCUCUUCGUCAAGAAGGACAAAACGAACCAUUUGGUCCAAGACUAUCGUCCUAUCAACCAAGCUACAAUUCAGAACAAAUAUCCCCUUCCUCGGAGCAAUGAUCUGUAUGAUCAACUAGCUGGUUCAUCGAUAUUCUCUAAACUCGACUUGAGGUUGGGUUACCACCAGAUCCGUGUUCGUGAAGAGGAUAUUCCAAAGACCGCCUUUGUCACUCGUUAUGGUUCUUACGAGUACACCAUCAUGUCUUUCGGCUUGACCAAUGCUCCAGCCACAUUUUCUCGUAUGAUGAACUACAUAUUCAUGGAUUACCUCGACAAGUUUGUCGUAGUCUAUCUGGAUGAUAUCCUGGUAUGUUCGAAGAAUAAAGAAGAACAUGCUGAACAUCUUCGUCUUGUUCUAGAAAAGCUUCAAGAGCAUCAACUUUAUGCCAAGUAUUCCAAGUGCGAAUUAUGGUUACCCGAAGUCACCUACCUUGGUCAUGUCAUCUCCAAGGAUGGUAUUGCCAUCAACCUAGAGCGCGUUCAGGCUAUUCUUGACUGGACCCCUCCGAAGACUGUCAAGCAAGUCAGAAGCUUUCUCGGACUAGCCAGCUAUUGUCGUCGCUUUGUCGAGAACUUCUCCAAGAUAGCCAAGCCCCUAACUAAUCUGCUUCACAAGGGCGUUAAGUUUGAUUGGACUGAAAAGUGUCAGGAAAGUUUCCAGGCACUCAAGGACAAGCUGACUUCUGCCCCAGUGCUUGCUCCCCCUGAUUCUCGCAAGGACUUCAUCAUCUAUUGCGACGCUUCACGACAAGGAUUAGGCUGUGUCCUAAUGCAAGAGCGCAGAGUGAUUGCUUAUGCCUCCCAUCAAGUGCGUCCUCACGAAGAGAACUACCCAGUUCAUGACCUCGAGCCUGCUGCGGUUAUGUUUGCAGCUAUGGCGACAAUACCUUCUUGGUAAUCGUUGCGAGAUCUUCACCGAUCAUCAGAGUCUGAAGUACCUGUUUACUCAGCCAGAUCUGAACCUCCGUCAGCAGCGAUGGAUGGAAGCUAUUGCUGACUACAUUUGCGGUAUAUCCUAUACCCCUAGCAAGGCUAAUGUAAUGGCCGAUGCCCUGAGCCGUAAGUCUUAUUGCAACAAUCACAUGCUCUACAAAGCUCAACCCCACCUUUAUGAAGAGCUAUGGAAGCUGAACCUUCAACUAGUUCCACAGGGUUCUCUGAAUAACCUUGUCCUGGAACCAACUCUUCUCAAAGAAAUUAAGUCUGCUCAAGCCAAAGAUGCUCAUGUUAAUCUGAUGAAAAAGGAUCUUGACUUAGAGAAAUCCAGAGAUUUCUCACUUGGUGAAGAUGGAACCUUGUACUUCAGAGAUCACAUUAUAGUACCCCGGUUAGAGCUUAUGAUAGAGAAGGUAAUGAAAGAAGCGCAUCACACCCCUGUCUCUAUUCAUCUGGGAAGUACCAAGAUGUAUCUAGACAUCUGUCAGAAGUACUGGUGGUCUAAGAUGAAGCAAGACAUUGCUCGAUAUAUUGAAGAAUGUGAAGUUUGUCGUCGCGUCAAAGCAGAAUAUCAGAAACCGGAUGGACUUCUACAACCGCUUCUGAUUCCUGAAUUGAAGUGGGAUAAGAUUCAAAUGGACUUUGUCACUGGCCUUCCCAAGUCUAAAAAAGGUAAUGAUGCUAUCUUUGUCGUCAUCGACCAAUUCUCAAAGGUUGCUCACUUUCUGCCAGUCAAGGAGACAAUCACUGCUAGUCAAUUAGCAAACUUGUAUAUCUCUCGAAUUGUGUCACUCCACAGCAUUCUGAAGGAGAUCAGUUUAGACCGCGGCAGUAUAUUCACUUCGAAGUUCUAGGAUAGUUUCCAAGAGGCAAUGGGAACUCAUAUUACCUAGAGCACUGCUUAUCAUCCCCAAUCCCAAGGCCAAGUCGAGCGAGUCAAUCAAAUUCUUGAAGACAUGCUUCGGGCUUAUGUUAUUUCUAUCGGUAAGAAGCGGGAAGAAUCUCUCCCUUAUGCGGAGUUCUCUUAUAACAAUAGCUAUCAAGCCAGCUUGAAGAGGGCACCCUUCGAAGUGCUUUAUGGACGUAAGUGCCGAACCCCUCUGAAUUGGUCAGAAACUUGGGAACGGACGCUCAUUGGUCCAGACAUUAUUCAACAAGCUGAAGAUCAGGUUCGCAUUGUCCGGGAUAAUAUCAAGGCGGCCUAGUCCCGCCAGAAGAGCAACUAUGACCGGAAACACUGGGGUUCAACUUAUCAACCUGGUGAACAAGAUUAUCUGUGUGUCACUCAUUUGAGAGGCACUCAUCGAUUUGGAGUCAAGGGCAAGCUAGCUCCUCGCUACAUUUGUCCCUUCUGUAUUCUCGCCCGUCGUGGAUUGGUGGCUUAUCAACUGGAGUUGCCACCUCAGUUCUCUCACGUCCAUGACGUCUUCCACGUGUCACAACUUCGUCGAUGUUUCAAGGAUCCGGAACGUGAAGUGGAUCCGGAAUUGAUUGAAGUUUAAGAUGAUCUCACAUACAAAGAGCAUCCGAUCCACAUUCUCAAAGAAGCUGAACGUCGAACCCGCCAGAAGGUUACCAAGUUCCUCAAGGUGCAAUGGUCGAAUCAUACUAAAGAUGAAGCCACUUGGGAACGCGAAGAUAACCUCCAGGCUGAAUACCGCGAUCUUUUCCCUUCUACCUCUUAAUUCUCGGGACGAGAAUUUAUUUUAGAGGAGGAGAGUUGUAACACUCCGGUGUAAUGAUGCUACAGUAAUCCCUGAGAUCAAGCUAAUCAUUUUGCUAUAACAAUGCUUGGUCACUUUGACCAAUAUUCCAUUUCAAAUUCGAGUUGAAUUCAAUUUGAAUUUAUGUGUGAAAUUCAAAAAUGCUCAGACAUGAAAACUAAAAUGUUCAUCAUGUGGAACAUGGUCUUCUGGUAAUAUUGGUGGUGAACCAACAUUUUUGCAAAAUGUCUAAGUGGCCUAAAAUAGCUAAAACAGAAAAGCUUUAAAAAAGGAUAAGCAAGGAGAAAAAGAAGAAGGAGAAGCCCCCUGCCCCCUGGGCCUUAGCCCAUUGCACUGACCGGCCCACCUUACCCCCCGGGUUGCCUUCCUGUUUGACCGACCCUGUCACUACAGGGGCGCGGUCGCCCCGGACCGCCUCACCGUCGACGACGAGGGAGGGGAUAAGGCCCCGUGCCUCCCCGCAUCCUCGAUCCCCGCAUCCACUCACCCCCACUCCCCCUGGCGUCCUCAUCAGUUUCUCCCCUUGUCCCCACUUGCCCCACACGCCUCGCCUCUCUCAUUCCCCCACCUUGUCCGAGAGCUCGCCGCCGCCCUUCAUCGUUGUCGCGGCCACCGGCGGCCCCGCGCCCACUGACCCUGUCAGUGAGCUCCGCCGGGGUCGACUCCUUCGACUGGUGGCCUCAACUGGAGCUCGGAGGCGCUGCAACACCGGAACCCUUUCGUCCCCAUCUUUGAUGGCUGCAGCAACUCUGGCGCGCGCUACUGCUCCUAAGCCGUCAAGGGCUUUCCGUAGCCACGCGUUGAGCCAUCACCUUCCUUGUCCCUCUCUCCGUCUGCCCUUGCACGGUCCCUAGCCGUAUCUCCCACCAUGGCCGAAUGUGAUGCUGUGCGAGCUCGUUGCCGGCGUCCUUCCGGUGACCUUUUGGUCAUGGGGUCGUGCCUGUUGGACUCUCCGCUCCGUGCAGAUCCUCCCCAUCCUUUCCUUUUGCUCCAUAGCACACCGUAGCAUCUUUUCCAUCGUCGACCAUAGCCGCUCCGCCGCAAACCUCGUCGCCGGCGCCGUUUCCGGACAAGUCCGGCCAUGCCUCUGCCACCAUUCGACGCGGCAUUGUUCGCCCGUUCGAACGCACCCUCGCGCGCGCGAAUUUGCCGCAUGUAGACAUUUUCCGAUGAGGUCCGAGCAGCUCUACCGCGUCCUAGCAUCGCCGGCGGCGAGACGCCUGCCUCCGCCGACGUGGCUGGUUGGGACCCACCCUGGCUCACUGCCAGUUGGCCGCGCGGGCCCCAGUUGACUGGAUUGACCCAGUCAACUGCUGACUGGGCAACCCAGUGCCACUGACAUGCAGGCCCCACCGCUUAUUUAAGCUAAUUAAAAUGUUUUUAUAGUUAAAAGUAAUUAUUAAUCUAAUCCACCACUGACAUGUGGGGCCCAGCUGUUGAUUAACCUCUUUUUAGUUAGUUUAAAGUUCUGUUAGUCCACUGUCUAUGACAGGUGGGAGCCACUGGUCAGUUUGACCAGUCAGCCACUCUGUUGACCUGCUGAUGUCAUGUUGACACUCUGCUGACAUCAUAAUUCCUUUUCCCUUAAUUUAAUUAAUUCAGAAAAUACUUAAAUCUUUAAAAAUUCAUAGAAAAUAAACCGUAGCUCGGAUGGAAAAACUUUAUACAUGAAAGUUGCUCAGAACAAUGAGACGAACCCGAAUACGCUAACCACAUACCUGUCAGAUGCUUCUAACUAUCUGAACAUGGAACAUUCCCCUUCGGUCAUCUGUCUGACGCAGGCCCGGAUCCGGGAAUAUAUUCCCGGUUGAAUCCCCCCUGCACCUAUAUCGUGUAGCCAUACGUUAGUUCACACCCGGCACAACAUAUUGCCAUGUUAUGCUUUGUGAUGCUAUUUUUGCUUUAUAUUUACUGUUUCUUCCCCCUCUUCUCUCUGGUAGACCCCGAGACCGAUGCUGCCCCUGUGAUCGACUACGUCGACGAUGACCCCUCCUUGCCAGAGCAACCAGGCAAGCCCCCCUUUGAUCAUCCCGGUAUCACCCAUUCCAUUCUCUCAUGAUUGCAUUAGAUUUUGCUACUAUUAUUGAUUGCUCCUAUUCUGAUACAUAGCCUGCUUUUGUAUCUGUUGUUGUACCUAAACUGCUUAGUAUAGGUUGGUUAGUGAUCCAUCGAUGACCCCCACCUUGUCCUUGUUGCCCCUGCUUCAUCAUCAAAGACCCAAUCAACGGGAUCGAUGACCAGGCCCCGACACCGCACAUCACUUUCCCCUUAGUUGCUCGACACUACUGGGUUACUAUCGAGUACCGAGGGUGAGGCCUUAUUAGCACUUCUGAUGUUAACCCUGUAGUGUAGCUAUUCGGUCGUGGUCAUCGAAGGUGAAUUCCUCUUUAACCACUUCCGAUACGACUCUCCCAUGCAACCCCUCAAGUGUGAACCUCGAGGGUGGUCCUUCUUAUGUUCACCUUGAUGAGUACAUCGAGUGGAAUUCACCAGGGGUGAUUCCUCGGGUUUUCCCCUUGAUAUUUAGACACACAGUUACUAUGAUUACUAUGACUUUACACUGAACCAUGUUACUAAAGAUGGGUCGACCCUGAGGGGUACCUGCGCGAGCAUAAUUGCGAGUGAUGUGGAGUCGGGUUGACCUGGAAGGUGCCUGCGAGAUAAUUACGAGGCAUGGCCGAGCAUUCUUAGCCCUUGCCGCAAGUCCUCGAGACGGGGCAACGGGGUCACAUCUUUCGUGAGUCUCUGCUUGUUACCGCGCGUUCCUAAUCCACUAUGAUUUGGAUAGUUGAUCCGAGGGGCCUCUGGCCUGAUAGCACUAACUAUCACGUGGGCAUAGUAUGGGUGUUCUGCGUUGUAUGGAUCAACCGAAGCUGAAUAGAUAUCAGCGGCUGAGCGGCACGCGCCGGGUUGGACUGCAUAAGCACCUGCCUUUUUAAGGAGGUAGCUAGGUCUGCUCACCGGCUGCCCACGCAACAUGCAGGAGUUCCCUGGGCGAUGGCCCAUGAUCCGUGGGGGCAUAGGUUUAGUCCGGCAUGCUGACCUCUCUAUUAAGCCUAGGUCGGGUUGCGGCGUAUUGUUUGUCCGAGGCCGGGCAUGACCCAAGAAAGUGUGUCCGGCCGAACUUAAUCGAGCGUUGUCUGUAAUUUGGUGCACCUCUGCAGGGAAGAAAACAUCUAUCGAUAGCCUGUGCGACGGUAAUAGAUACUUGGAGUUGUAUCCCGAUCAAUACAACUAGAACUAGAUGCUUGUGAUGAGAAUUGGAUUGUGAUGAGAAAUUGAUAGUAUGGAUCUGGGAUUGCUUUCUCGCAGGGAGUCGAGAAAGGAUCUCUGGCCGAGGUUGAUAACACUACUACUACUUUACUUUAUGCUACUCUACUCCCUCCCGUUUGCUGCAAGAUGGUGGUUUCCAUAAGAUGCUAGUCUUUGAUAGGACUAGGCCUUCUCUCUAUUCUGGCAUUUCUGCAGCCCAGUCCACAUAUACAUCCUUCCUUUGAUAAUGUUGCAUAUGCAGUGUAGAUCCUUGCUUGCGAGUACUUUGGAUGAGUACUCAUGGUUGCUUUGCUCCCCCUUUGCCCCCUUCUUUUUCUUUCUGGUUGAUGCAACUAGAUGUCGGAGCCCAUGAGCCAUAUGCCACCGCUGGUGCCUACUACUACGUGGAGACCGCUGACGACCAGGAGUAGUUAGGAGGCUCCCAGGCAGGAGGCCUUGCCUUUUCGAUCGUAGAUGCUUUUGUGCUAGCCUUCUUAAGGCAAACUUAUCUAACUUAUGUCUGUACUCAGAUAUUGUUUCUUCAGCUGAUUCUUGUGUAUUCGAGCUUAUGUAUUCAAGCCCUCGAGGCCCCUGGCUUGUAAUAUAAAGCUUGUAUUAUUUUAAUUUGUGUCUAGAGUUGUGUUGUGAUAUCUUCCCGUGAGUCACUGAUCUUGAUCGUACACAUUUGCAUGUAUGAUUAGUGUAUGAUUGAAUCGAGGGCGUCACAUAUUGGAAGGUAGUAUUCGGACACCGGAAGGGUUCCGGAAUGUAUCGGGUACAUAUUGGAGUACUAGAGGGGUUACCAGAACCCCCCGGGGAAAGAUAUGGGCCAUAUGGGCCAUAGGAGGGAGGCUAACCAGCCCACAAGGGGCUGGCGCGCCCCCCAUAGGGAAGGAGGCCGAAUUGGACUAGGGAAGGGGCGGCUGUCGGUGUCAAAAUAGGCAGAUCACGGGUAGAGGGGCCCAAGUUGUGCGUCUAAGGAUCAACGGUAACAAGGGACCAGGGGACACAAUGUUUACCCACAUUCGGGCCCUCUUAAAGGAGGUAAAACCCUACUCCUGCUUGAGUAUAUUCCUCUGUUGGAAAAGACAAUGCCUAGGAGGCGCUUAUGCAUGCCUAGGCGCUAGGCAAUGGCCAAAUGCCUCGCCUAGGGCAUAAAUGGAGGUCUAGGCAGGGUAAGCAAGGAAUUGCCUACGCAAGCAAGAAAUCAUGCCACAUACUACACUAGUAUGCCAAACGGGUUAUAUUCCAAUGGUAGUAGACGGUAAUUAAAUUUUUCAUAUGCCCUAAACUAAUAUCAACACCCAUAUAAUAAUCACAAAUGCACUACGAGUAAAAACAAUAUUACCACCUAGGCCGCGCCUAGGGCUCUUAGGCACUGCCUAGGCACUAGGCGCAGGCCAACCGCCUCGCUUACGCCUACCGCCUUUUCCAACCCUUGGUAUAUUCUAAGAGUAUGAAGAUUACAAUAGUUGAUCUACCUCGAGAUCAUAAUGACUAAACCCUAGAUGUCUAGCCUAUGAGUAUUCCGAUGAUGGUGAUGAUGAUAGCCUCUACGGGCUAAGCCCUCCAGUUUAUAUACAUACCGGAGGGGCCUAGGUUUUGUAGAAGGUCGGUUCAUCAGGGAAGGAAACACCCGGACUCUAGUCUUGCCGUUUAGGUAUGAAGAAGUCCCAUCCGGACACGGAGAAUAAUCUUUAGCUUGGUCUUGUACGGCCCAUACUCCUGGGCCGGACACAUGAGGAUCCCCGAAUCCAGGACUCCCUCAGUAGCCCCCGAACUUGCCUUCAAUGAUGAUGUAGUGUGCGGAUAUAAGCCUUUGGCUUUGCAAGGCGGGUUCUCCACCAUACCCCGGCUUGACGAUAGUCCGUCAUCGGCUUCCGCGUCCAGUCUUUAUGAUUCCUUCCUGCCGUCGCCUCGAUUUCCACGUGUCUGAGCGAAUGCGAACGGUCCGUUACCUUUAUAUUUUAAUACUUUUAGUAGGCACGAGCGGUGCUUAUAUAACGAGGUUAGAUCCCCAAAACAUCAUCCCACAUCGCCCCAAGUGCAACAGAGCAAACCACGAAAAAAGCUCAAACCAUGGCUAGUGUCCCCGGCUCCUCCUCGCGUCCGCAUGGCCAUCAAGACGGAGAUUGGAAAAGUUUUUUUGUAUCUCAUCUUUAGCUCAAUCAUCUCCAGACGCAAGGAUAUCUUCCCCUCGUGGAUCUAGUCUCUGUAUGGGCAGGAUUGACUUCUAUGGGUGAUGAUGCAUCGACAAAGAAUUUCCCCAACCCUAGCCGAGGGGAGAGGGUAUGCUUCAUAUCAUUCCUCCUGAGGGGCGUAGGAUUCCCAAUCCACCCUUACGUAGGGGCCUACUGGAAUAUUACGGGAUCUACCUACACAACCUCACACCAGGUCCCGUUCUGCAUAUUUCUAGUUUCAUUGCCCUUUGCGAAUUAUUUUUAGGCUGCGAGGCUCAUUUUGAACUAUGGAAAAAGUUAUUUUGCCUCGUCCCCCACCACUAGGGCAGAGGGUGUAUAUUUGAAGUGGGCAGCGCCGAAGUAUGGCGUAUAGCCGGAUUUGGUUACCCAGUCGGGACUCCGAAGUGGGGGUCCGACGAAUGGUCUUCGGAAUGGUUUUACAUUGAGGAUGUUCCUCUUCCGGACCCUGUUUGGAGUAGACUUCCCGAAUUCUCCAGCGCUCCCUUGAAGAAGCUAUUCAGCUAGCAUCCCAAGUCCUCCGGACAAGAGGAUAGUGCGAAAGUGAUGAGAUUGUUUAGCAAGGUCAGAUUAUUGACCCACUUCGGACUCUCCAUGGUUGAAGUCAUGGCUAUUGCAAUAAAGUGGUGUAUCCAGCCUCUUCAGUCCCGAGUGGGUCCUUUAUGGAACUACAAUGGGGAGGAUGAUGCGUCUCGCUAUACACGAAAGGGUUUGGACAACCAAGCCACAUUGGCUGACUUGUUGAUGGAUCUUUAUAAGGGAGAAGAAGAAGACUUUGCCCGUUUAAAUUGCAGGGAGGGUUUCUCCAUGUACAACCCCAUUAACUGCAUAAGCUUAGUCAUUCAACACCUUUUUUUAUCAUUGGGAUGCAUUAACUGAAUACUCUAGUUGCUUUAAAACAGUCAUGGAGGAAGGUAGUCAAGAACAUUUAUUGCCCUCCUCCCCAGCCAGAAGACCAUGCACGUCAUGAAGACCCCGGAUUCCAUGAGGAUCCGGAUAUAUUCGUGGAAUUUGAAGAUGAAGUUUAUUACCAGGCGAGCUUUGACGGCUCGGAAGUAGCCAUCAUGGCCGAUUACCCCGAUCUCUACCGCUUUGUUAAGGUAAGUGUCCGGAAAUGAAAAAAGGGUGACAUUUCCGCUCAUAACUUUGCCCUCCGCACUGGGUCGUGUCUUGUAGGAUGGGCACUCAGCGAGCCAUACCCAAGGUAGGGCAACAAGAAGGACGACACCCUCAAGGAGUUGACGUGUGAAGCGAAAGGAAGCGGGAGGUCCACUGAGCCUGCUCCAUCACCAAAAAGGUAUAUUCCUUAUUUUAUACUUGGGCGUAAGGCCGAAUUGUCGUUUUCAUCCUCCCUCUAUCAUCUCAGGAGAGGUAUACGGUGAACCGUGCCAAAGAUCCCAGCAAGCCGAGCCACAGCCAAUGUGAUGCCGAAUUUGUCAACUAGGACGAGGGUGCAUACAGGGGUCACACCAACUCAUCCACCUUAGGAAGAUCCGGAUGAAGUGUCCAUCACUAACUCUGAGGUGGAGAGCGUGAUAAAUCACCGCCGCUUAAAAGAAACCCUGCGUGCCUUGGUCUUUUCGGAGGAAGAGUUUUCCGCUCUCAGCACCGUGGGCAUGUAUAUCCGAGCUGCCCGGGAUGUACUUACGGGUGUUACUAACCUAUUCUCAAAGGAUAUCCAUGUGAAAAUUUAUGCAAAUCUAAGAUAUAGAUACCAAUAGCCCCCAAGACUUAAAGUGGUAGGAACCAACCGAUUUGAGGAUCGUUUAUGACCGCAGGUUCUCAAGGAGAAGAAUAGCGCAUUAUCCCAGGAGCUCAAGACAAGCCGAACACAGCUGAAUGUUGCUGUCACCGAGCUUGAAGAAAGGAAGAGUGCCCCAAUGACUGGGGGAAAAGAUAAAAAACUAGAAGAGGAAGUGAAGAAGCAGGCUGAAGAUAAUAGAGCUUAAAGGCUCAACUCUUGGAGGCGCAAUAGGAAAACCAAAAGCUGAAGGGCGACAUAUUUGGUAUGACUUUUGAACCAUUUGGAGUAUUGGUCUAAUCAUACAAUACGGAAUGUUAUAAUUCAGUUUUGUACAGGUAUGUUAACCAGCCACCAAGGAGAGGAAGUGUCCGGGCUUCAAAGCGACGUUUUAAAAGAACUAUCAAAGUUGCAUGAGCGUGCCCGGAAAGCCAUGAAGAACAUGGACAAAGCCUUAUGGCCAUCUGAUGCCCCACCAGAAAGUAUGGAGGGGUUGAGAGAUCUAUUCAAGGGUGCUGGGCGUCACUUCGAGCUAUGGAAGACGUCUGCGUAUCGGGAAGGUGCGCGAGAGGCAUGGGCCAUGGUGAACACAUGCUACACCGGACUUGAUCCGAAUCAUAUGCCCGAGUUGGACCUCAGGGACCGGAUGGGAAAGACAUUCCUAUAAACUUGGUAUAUGACCAAGUAAUGACAGCAGCGAAAUAUUUGCAACAAGAUUGUAAGCUAGAUAGCCUUUUAGAUGGUGUAGAAAGAGACUAGGUGUUCGAUUCUAUGUAUCAAUGUACUUUAUGACUGAACUUAUCUCCUGCCGAACUUAUAAUUUUUUUUGUCAUCUCAGACCUUCGGCUUCCAUCUCUGAACCAAGAAGUUGGAGUGUUUCCGUAUACUAUAUUUAACUAAGAAAUGUUUAGUAUCUUCCAAAACCAGGCAAUCCGGGCAUAUUGCUCGAACAGACAAAAUAUGUUCGAGGAGUUAUGUUAUAUUACUAUUUAACCUAAGAAACAUCUUGUAUGAAAAAUAGUUCCGUUAGGGGUUCCUUUCCUUGGGUUAGCAUGCUAAAUGAUGCAUGCCUAGGCUCGUAUCCGAAGUACAGACAACCAAUUCCGUAAUUGUCCAGUCUGUCGUUUAUUCGCCGACCAAUUAUUUCCUUAAGAACGUUAGCUUUCGGCUUCACCCGUCUGAGGUACAGGUCCAGAUAACCCGGUUGAAACAAUCGUAGAGGUACUCCCUUUAUGCCCUAGCCGAACAAUCGGGAACAUAGGGUAUAAACACAGGAGUAAGGCAACCCAGCUUGGCAAAAACUUAAGUCAUAGACGUGCAUAAAUGAAGGAAAUAUGCCCUAGAGGCAACAAUAAAGUUAUUAUUUAUUUCCUUAUAUCAUGAUAAAUGUUUAUUAUUCAUGCUAGAAUUGUAUUAACCAUAAACAUAAUACAUGUGUGAAUACAUAGACAAACAGAGUGUCACUAGUAUGCUUCUACUUGACUAGCUUGUUGAUCAAAGAUGGUUAUGUUUCCUAACCAUAGACAUGUGUUGUCAUUUGAUUAACGGGAUCACAUCAUUAGGAGAAUGAUGUGAUUGACAUGACCCAUUCCGUUAGCUUAGCACACGAUCGUUUAGUAUAUUGCUAUUGCUUUCUUCAUGACUUAUACAUGUUCCUAUGACUAUGAGAUUAUGCAACUCCCGUUUACCGGAGGAACACUUUGUGUGCUACCAAACGUCACAACGUCACUGGGUGAUUAUAAAGGAGCUCUACAGGUGUCUCCAAAGGUACAUGUUGGGUUGGCGUAUUUCGAGAUUAGGAUUUGUCACUCCGAUUGUCGGAGAGGUAUCUCUGGGCCCUCUCGGUAAUGCACAUCACUUAAGCCUUGCAAGCAUUGCAACUAAUGAGUUAGUUGUGAGAUGAUGUAUUAUGGAACGAGAAAAGAGACUUGCUGGUAACGAGAUUGAACUAGGUAUUGAGAUACCGACGAUCGAAUCUCGGGCAAGUAACAUACCGAUAACAAAGGGAACGACGUAGGUUGUUAUUCGGUUUGACCGAUAAAGAUCUUCGUAGAAUAUGUGGGAGCCAAUAUGAGCAUCCAGGUUCCGCUAUUGGUUAUUGACCGGAAAUGUGUUUCGGUCAUGUAUACAUUGUUCUCGAACCUGUAGGGUCCACACGCUUAAGGUUUCGAUGACAGUUAUAUUAUGAGUUUAUGAGUUUUGAUGUACCAAAGGAGUUCGGAGUCCCGGAUGAGAUCGGGGACAUGACGAGGAGUCUCGAAAUGGUCGAGACAUAAAGAUCGAUAUAUUGGAUGACUAUAUUCGGAGUUUGGAAAGGUUCCGAGUGAUUCGGGUAUUUUUCGGAGUACCGGAGAGUUACGGGAAUUCGCCGGGGAGUAUAUGGGCCUUAUUGGGCCAUACGGGAAUAGAGGAGAGAGGCCGAAAGGAAGGAGGCGCGCAGCCCCCCUCUUGUCCGAAUUGGACAAGGGGUGCAGCCCCCUUUUCCUUCCUCCUCUCCCCCUCUUUCCUUCUCUCCUACUCCAGCAAGGAAGGGGGGAGUCCUACUCCUGGUGGGAGGAGGACUCCUCCUGGCGCGCCCCUCCUGGCCGGCCGACCCCCUCCCCCUGGCUCCUUUAUAUACGGGGGCAGGGGGGCACCUCAAGGCACAACAACAAUUGAUCCUUGAGAUCUCUUAGCCGUGUGCGGUGCCCCCCUCUACCAUAGUCCUCAAUAAUAUUGUAGCGGUGCUUAGGCGAAGCCCUGCGACAGUAGAACAUCAAGAUCGUCACCACGCCGUCGUGCUGACGGAACUCUUCCUCGACACUUUGCUGGAUCGGAGCCCGGGGAUCGUCAUCGAGCUGAACGUGUGCUAGAACUCGGAGGUGCCGUAGUUUCGGUGCUUGAUCGGUCGGGCCGUGAAGACGUACGACUACAUCAACCGCGUUGUUAUAACGUUUCCGCUUUCGGUCUACGAGGGUACAUGGACAUACUCUCCUCUCUCAUUGCUAUGCAUCACCAUGAUCUUGCGUGUGCGUAGGAUUUUUUUUUGAAAUUACUACGUUCCCCUGCAGUGGCAUCCAAGCCUGGUUUUAUGCGUAGAUGUCAUAUACACGAGUAGAACACAAGUGAGUUGUGGGCGAUACAAGUCAUACUGCUUACCAGCAUGUCAUACUUUGGUUCGCUGGUAUUAUUGGAUGAAGCGGCCCGGAAUGACAUUACACGUACGCUUACGUGAGACUGCUUCUACCGACGUGCUUUGCACAAAGGUGGCUGGCGGGUGUCAGUUUCUCCAACUUUAGUUGAACCGAGUGUGGCUACACCCGGUCCUUGCGAAGGUUAAAACAACACCAACUUGAAAAAGUAUCAUUGUGGUUUUGAUGCGUAGGUAAGGACGGUUCUUGCUAAGCCCGUAGCAGCCACGUAAAACUUGCAACAACAAAGUAGAGGACGUCUAACUUGUUUUUGCAGGGCAUGUUGUGAUGUGAUAUGGUCAAGACAUGAUGCUAAAUUUUAUUGUAUGAGAUGAUCAUGUUUUGUAACAGAGUUAUCGGCAACUGGCAGGAGCCAUAUGGUUGUCGCUUUAUUGUAUGCAAUGCAAUCGCCCUGUAAUGCUUUACUUUAUCACUAAGCGGUAGCGAUAGUCGUAGAAGCAUAAGAUUGGCGAGACGACAACGAUACUACGAUGGAGAUCAAGGUGUCACGCCGGUGACGAUGGUGAUCAUGACGGUGCUUCGAAGAUGGAGAUCACAAGCACAAGAUGAUGAUGGCCAUAUCAUAUCACUUAUAUUGAUUGCAUGUGAUGUUUAUCUUUUAUGCAUCUUAUCUUGCUUUGAUUGAUGGUAGCAUUAUAAGAUGAUCCCUCACUAAAUUAUCAUAGUAAAAGUGUUCUCCCUGAGUAUGCACCGUUGCGGAAGUUCUUCGUGCUGAGACACCACGUGAUGAUCGGGUGUGAUAGGCUCUACGUUCAAAUACAACGGGUGCAAAACAGUUGCACACGCAGAAUACUCAGGUUAAACUUGACGAGCCUAGCAUAUAACAGAUAUGGCCUCGGAACACGGAGAACGAAAGGUUGAUCGUGAAUCAUAUAGUAUAUAUGAUCAACAUAUUGAUGUUCACCGUUGAAACUACUCCAUCUCAUGUGAUGAUCGGACAUGGUGUAGUUGAUAUGGAUCACGUAAUCACUUAGAGGAUUAGAGGGAUGUCUGCCUAAGUGGGAGUUCUUAAGUAAUAUGAUUAAUUGAACUUAAAUUUAUCAUGAACUUAGUCCUGGUAGUAUUUUGCAAAUUAUGUUGUAGAUCAAUAGCUUGCAUUCUUGCUUUCAUAUGUUUAUUUUGAUAUGUUCCUAGAGAAAAUUGUGUUGAAAGAUGUUAGUAGCAAUGAUGCGGAUUGGAUCUGUGAUCUGAGGUUUAUCCUCAUUGCUACACAGAAGAAUUAUGUCCUUAAUGCACCACUAGAUGACAGACCUAUUGUAGGAGCAGAUGCAGACGUUAUGAACGUUUGGCUAGCUCAAUAUGAUGACUACUUGAUAGUUUAGUGCACCAUGCUUAAUGGCUUAGAAUCGGGACUUCAAAGACGUUUUGAACGUCAUGGACCAUAUGAGAUGUUCCAGGAGUUGAAGUUAAUAUUUCAAGCAAAUACCCGAGUUGAGAGAUAUGAAGUCUCCAACAAGUUUUAUGGCUAAAAGAUGGAGGAGAAUCGCUCAACUAGUGAGCAUGUGCUCAGAUUGUCUGGGUACUACAAUCGCUUGAAUCAAGUGGGAGUUAAUCUUCCAGAUAAGAUAGUGAUUGACAGAGUUCUCUAGUCACCAUCACCAAGUUAGUAGAACUUUGUGAUGAACUAUAGUAUGCAAGGGAUGUCGAAAACGAUUCCUGAGCUCUUCGUGAUGUUGAAAUCGACGAAGGUAGAAAUCAAGAAAGAGCAUCAAGUGUUGAUGGUUGACAAGAUCACUAGUUUCAAGAAAAAGGUCAAAGGGAAAGAAAGGGGAAUUUCAACUAGAGUGACAAGCAAGUUGUCACACCCAUGAAGAAGCCCAAAGCUAGACCAAAGCCUAAAACUGAGUACUUCUACUGCAAAGGAAAUGGUUACUGGAAGCGGAAAUGCCAUGAAUAUUUGGUGGAUAAGAAGGAUGGCAAAGUGAACAAAGGUUAUAUUUGAUAUACAGGUUAUUGAUGUGUACCUUACUAGUGUUUAUAGUAGCCCCUGAGUAUUUGAUACUUGUUCAAUUGCUGAGAUUAGUAACUCGAAACAGGAGUUACAGAAUAAACAGAGACUAGUUGAGGGUGAAGUGACGAUGUAUGUUGGAAGUGGUUCCAAGAUUGAUAUGAUCAUCAUCGCACACUCCCUAUACUUUCGGGAUUAGUGUUAAACCUAAAUAAAUGUUAUUUGGCAUUUGCGUUAAGCAUGAAUAUGAUUUGAUCAUGUUUAUUGCAAUACGGUUAUUCAUUUAAAGUCAGAGAAUAAUUGUUAUUCUGUUUACAUGAAUAAAACCUUCAAUGGUCAUACACCCAAUGAAAAUAGUUUGUUGGAUCUCCAUCGUAGUGAUAUACAUAAUCAUAAUAUCAAUGCCAAAAGAUGCAAAGUUGAUAAUGAUAGUGCAACUUAUUUGUGGCACUGCCGUUUGGGUCAUAUCGGUGUAAAGCGCAUGAAGAAACUCCAUAAAAUAUGGAUUUUUGGAAUCACUUGGUUAUGAAUCAUUUGAUGCUUGUGAAACCAUGCCUUAUGGGCAAGAUGACUAAAACUCCGUUCUCCGGAACAAUGGAACGAGCUACUGACUUGUUGGAAAUAAUACAUACUGAUGUAUGUGGUCCAAUGAGUGUUGAUGCUCAUGGCAAGUAUCGUUAUUUUCUGACCUUCACAGAUGAUUUGAGCAGAUAUGGGUAUAUGUACUUAAUACAAGUCUGAAACAUUUGAAAAAGUUCAAAGAAUUUCAGAGUGAAGUGGAGAAUCAUCGUAACAAGAAAAUAAAAUUUCUACGAUUUGAUCGUGGAGGAGAAUAUUUGAGUUACGAGUUUGGUCUUCAAUUAAAACAAUGUGGAAUAGUUUCACAAACUCAUGCCACCUGGAACACCACAGCUUAAUGGUGUGUCCGAACGUCGUAACCGUACUUUAUUGGAUAUAGUGCAAUCUAUGAUGUCUCUUAUCGGUUUACCACUAUCAUUUUUGGGGUUAUGCAUUAGAGAAAGUUGCAUUCACUUUAAAAAGGGCACCAUCGAAAUCUGUUGAGACGACGCCUUAUGAACUGUGGUUUGGCAAGAAACCAAAAGUUGUCAUUUCUUAAAAGUUUGGGGCUACGAUGCUUAUAUGAAAAAGUUUCAACCUGAUAAGCUCGAAUCCAAAUCGGAGAAGUGCGUCUUCAUAGGAUACCUAAGAGGAAACUAUUGGGUACACCUUCUAUCACAGAUCCGAAGGCAAUAUAUUCGUUGCUAAGAUGGAUCUUUUCUAGAGAAGAAGUUUCUCUCGAAAGAAGUGAGUGGGAGGAAAGUAGAACUUGAUGAGGUAAUUGUACCUUCUCCCUUAUUGGAAAGUAGUUCAUCACAGAAAUCAGUUAUAGUGAUUCCUACACCAAUUAGUGAGGAAGUUAAUGAUGAUGAUCAUGAAACUUCAGAUCAAGUUGCUACCAAACCUCGUGGGUCUUCCAGAGUAAGAUCCGCACCAGAGUGGUACGGUAAUCCUGUUCUGGAAGUCAUGUUACUAGACCAUGAUGAACCUACGAACUAUGAGGAAACGAUGAUGAGCCCAGAUCCACGAAAAUGGCUUGAGACCAUGAAAUCUGAGAUGGGAUCCAUGUAUGAGAACAAAGUGUGGACUUUGGUUGUCUUGCCCGAUGAUCGGCAAGCUAUAGAAAAUAAAUGGAUUUUCAAGAGGAAGAUGGACGCUGAUAGUAGUGUUACUAUCUACAAAGCUCAACUUAUCGCAAUUUUUUUUCGACAAGUUCAAGGUGUUGAAUACGAUGAGAUUUUCUCACUCAUAUUGAUGCUUAAGUCUGUCCGAAUCAUGUUAGCAAUUGCCACAUUUUAUGAAAUCUGGCAAAUGGAUGUCAAAACUGCAUUCUUUAAUGGAUUUAUUAAAGAAGAGUUGUAUAUGAUGCAACCGGAAGGUUUUGUCAAUCCUAAAGGUGCUAACAAAAUGUGCAAGCUCCAGCGAUCCAUCAAUGGACUGGUGCAAGCAUCUCGGAGUUGGAAUAUAUGCUUUGAUGAGUUGAUCAAAGCAUAUGGUUUUAUGCAGACUUUUGGAAAGGCAUGUAUUGACAAGAAAGUGAGUGGGAGCACUACAACCUUUCUGAUAAGUAUAUGUGAAUGACAUAUUAUUAAUUGGAAAUGAUGUAGAAUUUUCUGGAAAGCAUAAAGGAGUGUUUGAAAGGAGUUUUUCAAAGAAAGGCCUCAGUAAAGCUACUUACAUAUUGAGCAUCAAGAUCUAUUGAGAUAGAUCAAGACGCUUGAUAAGAUUUUCAAUUAGUACAUACCUUGACAAGAUCUUGAAGUAGUUCAAAAUGGAACAGUCAAAGAAAGAGUUCUUGCCUAUGAUGCAAAGGUGUGAAGUUGAGUAAGACUCAAAACCCGACCAUGGCAGAAAAUAGAAAGAGAAUGAAAAGGCAUUCCCUAUGCCUCAGUCAUAGGUUCUAUAAAGUAUGCUAUGCUGUGUAACAGACCUAUUGUAUAUCUUGCUCUGAGUUUGGCAAAGGAAUACAAUUUUGAUCUUAGAGUAGAUCACUGGACAGCGGUCAAGAAUAUCCUUAGUGAGGACUAAGGAGAUGUUUCUUGAUUGUGGUGGUGAUAAAAGAGUUUGUCGUAAAGAGUUACAUCGAUGCAAGCUUUUACACCGAUCCAGAUGACUCUAAGUCUCAAUCUGGAUACAUAUUGAAAGUGGGAGCAAUUAGCUAGAGUAGCUCCGUGCAGACAAUUGUAGACAUAGAAUAUUUGCAAAAUACAUACGGCUCUAAAUGUGACAGACCCAUUGACUAAACUUUUCUCACGAGCAAAACAUGAUCAUACCUUAGUACUCUUUUGGGUGUUAAUAACAUAGCAAUGUGAACUAGAUUAUUGACUCUAGUAAACGCUUUGGGUGUUGAUCACAUGACGAUGUGAACUAUGGGUAUUAAUCACAUAUAGAUGUGAAUAUUGGUGUUAAAUCACAUGCUGAUGUGAACUAGAUUAUUGACUCUAGUGCCAGUGGGAGACUGAAGGAAAUAUGCUCUAGAGGCAAUAAUAAAGUUAUUAUUUAUUUCCUUAUAUCAUGAUAAAUGUUUAUUAUUCAUGCUAGAAUUGUAUUAAUCGGAAACAUAAUACAUGUGUGAAUACAUAGACAAACAGAGUGUCACUAGUAUGCCUCUACUUGACUAUCUUGUUGAUCAAAGAUGGUUAUGUUUCCUAACCAUAGACAUGUGUUGUCAUUUGAUUAACGGGAUCACAUCAUUAGGAGAAUGAUGUGAUUGACAUGACCCAUUCCGUUAUCUUAGCACACGAUCGUUUAGUAUAUUGCUAUUGCUUUCUUCAUGACUUAUACAUGUUCCUAUGACUAUGAGAUUAUGCAACUCCCGUUUACCGGAGGAACACUUUGUGUGCUACCAAACGUCACAAUGUCACUUGGUGAUUAUAAAGGAGCUCUACAGGUGUCUCCAAAGGUACAUGUUGGGUUGGCGUAUUUCGAGAUUAGGAUUUGUCACUCCGAUUGUCAGAGAGGUAUCUCUGGGCCCUCUCGGUAAUGCACAUCACUUAAGCCUUGCAAGCAUUGCAACUAAUGAGUUAGUUGUGAGAUGAUGUAUUACGGAACGAGAAAAGAGACUUGCCGGUAACGAGAUUGACCUAGGUAUUGAGAUACCGACGAUCGAAUCUCGGGCAAGUAACAUACCGAUGACAAAGGGAACGACGUAUGUUGUUAUUUGGUUUGACCGAUAAAGAUCUUCAUAGAAUAUGUGGGAGCCAAUAUGAGCAUCCAGGUUCGCUAUUGGUUAUUGACCGGAAACGUGUUUCAGUCAUGUCUACAUUGCUCUCGAACUCGUAGGGUCCGCACGCUUAAGGUUUCGAUGACAGUUAUAUUGUGAGUUUAUGAGUUUUGAUGUACCGAAGGAGUUCGGAGUCCCGGAUAAGAUCGGGGACAUGACGAGGAGUCUCGAAAUGGUCGAGAUGUAAAGAUCGAUAUAUUGGACGACUAUAUUCGGAGUUCGGAAAGGUUCCGAGUGAUUCGGGUAUUUUUUGGAGUACCGGAGAGUUACUGGAAUUCGCCGGGGAGUAUAUGGGCCUUAUUGGGCCAUACGGGAAUAGAGGAGAGAGGCCGAAAGGAAGGAGGCGCGCAGCCCCCCUCUGGUCCGAAUUGGACAAGGGGUGCAGCCCGCUUUUCCUUCCUCCUCUCCCCCUCUUUCCUUCUCUCCUACUCCAACAAGGAAGGGGGGAGUCCUACUCCCGGUGGGAGGAGGACUCCUCCUGGCGCGCCCCUCCUGGCCGGCCGACCCCCUCCCCCUGGCUCAUUUAUAUACGGGGGCAAGGGGGCACCUCAAGGCACAACAACAAUUGAUCCUUGAGAUCUUUUAGCCGUGUGCGGUGCCCCCUCCACCAUAGUCCUCGAUAAUAUUGUAGCGGUGCUUAGGCGAAGCCCUGCGACAGUAGAACAUCAAGAUCGUCACCACGCCGUCGUGCUGACGGAACUCUUCCCCGACACUUUGCUGGAUCGGAGUCCGGGGAUCGUCAUCGAGCUGAACGUGUGCUAGAACUCGGAGGUGUCGUAGUUUCGGUGCUUGAUCGGUCGGGCCGUGAAGACGUACGACUACAUCGACCGCGUUGUUAUAACGCUUCCGCUUUCGGGAUACGAGGGUACGUGGACAUACUCUCCUCUCUCGUUGCUAUGCAUCACCAUGAUCUUGCGUGUGCGUAGGAAUUUUUUUUGAAAUUACUACGUUCCCCUUCAGUGGCAGAAGCAACAAUCGUCAUGGACAAAGAAGCUUAUAAGCUUUCAAUAAAGUGCUUCGUUAAAGAGGCCCCCAUGUAUGGUGAGGUGUAUGCAUUUAAAGAUGUGCACCCCGAAUAAUGCGGUUGAUCCGAACGUACAUUUGAGAAGGAAAAGGAAAAAAUCAAAAAGGGAGAGAAAAAGGAAAAAACCUAGUUAAGAUGAAACCUAAGGAGGCCUAACUAUGCGUAGAAUCUUCGGAGCCGGGUAGCGUUCCAUGGGUUCAGCUCAAGGCGAUUAUCCGCUGCAUUGCGAAGGCGAUAGACUCCUCCAAUAAGGAAUUCAUCUAUGACGAAGGGCCCCUCCUAUUUGGGUUUGAGCUUGUCCUUUUUAUUUUUCAGGAGGCGUAAAACAAGUUCUCCAACAUUGUAUGUCUUAGCUCACACUUCUCUGCUUUGGUAAUGCCUGACCUAUUAUUGAUAAAUUACAGAACGAGCCUUAGCAACAUCGCGCUCCUCUUCGAGUCCGUCUAGGUCAUCCUGCCGAUCUAAUUCGGCUUCUCUCUCUUCAUACAUGCGCACUCUAGGUGAGUCAUGAAUAAUGUCAUAGGGCAAUACGGCCUCUGCGCCGUACACCAUAAAGAAGGGUGUAUAUCCGGUAGUUCGACUGGGUGUGGUCUGGAGUCCCCAGAGUACGAAAUCGAGUUCCUCAACCCAGUGCUUGUAUGAUUCUCGCAAAGAGCGCAUGAGUCUAGGCUUAAUGCUACUCAUGAUCAGACCAUUGGCCCUUUCGACUUGGCCGUUUGUUUGAGGGUGGUAUACGGAUGCAUAGUUGAGUUUAAUGCCCAACUUAGCACACCAAGUUUUCACCUCAUCAGCUAUAAAGUUGGAGCCAUUAUCAGUGAUGAUACUAUGCGGGACACCAUAACGAUGGACUACGCCGAAUAUAAAGUCAAUCACUGGCCCUGCCUCAGCUGUUUUUACCGGUUUGGCCUCUAUCCACUUAGUGAAUUUAUCCACCAUUACCAGCAAGUAUUUCUUUUUGUGGCUUCCCCCUUUAAGGGGUUCAACCAUAUCAAGCCCCCAAACCGCGAAGGGACAAGUAAUGGGGAUUGUUCUUAAUGCGGUGGGAGACAUGUGACUUUGAUUGGCGAAAAGCUGGCAGCCCACGCAAUGCUGGACAAGGGCUUGAGCAUCUGCUCGAGCCAUGGGCCAGAAAAAACCUAUCCUGAACGCCUUGCUUACAAGGGCUCAAGCUGCGGCGUGAUGACCACCCAGGCCAGCAUGUAUUUCUACCAAGAGUUGCCUUCCCUCCUCUUCAGAGAUACACCUUUAGAGUACUCCGGUAGUGCUCUUUUUGUAUAGUUCACCCUCAUGCAUCGAGCUUCAUUUUGAUCGUUGGGAAGUUCCUGCCUAUUAAGGUAGGCCAGGAAUGGUUCGGUCCAGGGGCGACAACAACCAUGAUCUCAUGAGCAGAGGGUGUUAUCUCGAUAUCCAGACCCCCAACGUUGUCUGCAUUGUGUUCGGCAGCUGGGGGUGUGAUCAAGUCCGUACUGCCUUCUCUGCUUUCACCCUGCCAUACUACGGAUGGCUUAAAGAGCCUUUCCACGAAAGUGUUAGGUGGCACAGGGUCACGCUUAGCGCCCAUAUGAGCGAGGAUAUCGGCUUCCUGAUUACUCUCUCGAGCGACGUGAUGAAACUCAGGUCCUUUGAACCGAGCUGGUAUUUUUAAUAUGGCGUUUCCAUAUGCCGCCAUUUUUUGGUCCUUUGCGCUGAACUCUCCAUUGACCUGGGAUAUUGCGAGGUUGGAAUCACCGCGCACCUUCAUGCGUUGUAUACCCAUGGAGACAACCAUGCGAAGACCAUGUAGCAGCGCCUCAUAUUUGGCGGCAUUGUUGGAGUCCGUAUACAUAAUUUGUAAUACAUAGCAGACUGUGUCCCCCAUAGGAGAUGUUAGGAUGACGCCAGUCCCCAGGCCGGCCAGCAUUUUGGAACUAUCAAAGUACAUAAUCCAAUUGGAGUAUGAGCUAUACUCUUUAGGGAGUUCGGCAUCCGUCCAUUUGGCGACAAAGUUGGCCAACACCUGGGAUUUAAUAGCCCGGUGUGGCUUGUAUACUAUUUCGAAUGGUAAAAGCUCGAUGGCCCAUUUGGCUAUGCGCCCAGUGGCGUCCCUGUUAUUGAUAAUGUCAUUGAGUGGUACUUGGGAUGCCACUGUGACCGAACACUCUUGAAAGUAGUGUCGUAGUUUUCGGGAUGCCAUGAAGACUGUGUAGGCUAUCUUCUGAUAGUGGGGGUAUCGAAUUUGCAAGGUGUAAAGACCUCUGAUACAUAAUAGACUGGUUUUUGGGUGGGGAAUUUAUGUCCCUCUUCCCCUCAUUCGACGACGAGUACAACACUAACUACUUGGUUAGUUGCCGAGAUGUAUAAUAACAUAGGCUCACUAACACUUGGGGCAGCUAGGAUUGGGUUGCUUGUGAGUAGAGCCUUGAUUUCUUCCAAUCCGGCUGUUACAUCGUCUGUUCAUUCAAAAUUAUCAGUGCGUCAUAAUAGCUUGUAGAGUGGUAAUGCUUUUUCUCCCAAUUUGGUGAUAAAACGGCUUAAGGCCACAACGCACCCUGCUAGUUUUUGGACUUGCUUUAGGUCUGUUCGUAUAGCCAAUUGUGAUAGAGCUCGGAUUUUGGCCGGGUUUGCUUCAAUUCCUCUAUGGGGAACAAUAAACCCUUGCAAUUUUCCGGCUGGUACUCCGAAGACACAUUUUUCCAGAUUAAGCCGUAUGUCGUAUGUUCGGAGGUUGUCGAAGGUGAGGCGGAUAUCGUCCACCAGUGUGUCGACGCGCUUUGUCUUGAUGACCAUGUCAUCUACGUAUCCUUCGACUGUUUUGCCAAUUUUUUUUCAAUCAAGUUUGAAUCAUACGCUGGUAGGUAGCCCCAGCGUUUUUGAGCCCAAAGGGCAUAAUGUUGAAGCAGAAGGGACCAUAAGGGGUGAUGAACAUGGUUGCGUCCUGAUCCGAUUCCUCACCUGAAUCUGAUGGUAUUCGGAAUAGGCAUCAAGGAAUCACAAAGAAUCUUGUCCUGAAGUUGUGUCAAUGAUUUGGUCGAUGCGGGGCAAUGGGAAGGGGUCUUUAGGGCAAGCCUUGUUGAGGUCUCUGAAAUUGACCCACAGGCGCCAGGAUUUGUCCUUCUUUGGUACCAUAACCAAGUUGGCUAACCAAUCUGGAUGUUUAAUUUCCCUUAUAAACCCAGCCUCUAGCAACUUGGCUAACUCUUCUCCCAUGGCUUGACGCUUUGGGUUCGGAGAAUCGCCGUAGUGUCUGCUUCACGGGUUUGAAUCCCUUGAUUACAUUGAGACUGUGUUCAGCCAGACUACGUGGGAUGUCGGGCAUGUCUGAGGGGUGCCAGGCAAAAAUAUCCCAAUUCUCUCGCAAGAAUGUGCGAAGGGCGGCGUCCACUGCCGAAUCCAGCGUGCUCCGAUAGAUGUUGUCUUGUUAGGGUCCGUCGGCUGCACUUGGAAUUUAACUAUUUCCUCAGCUGGCUUGAAAGAGGUGGAUUUGGAUCUCUUAUCGAGAAUCACACCAUCCCUAUCCACUGUGUAGCGUAGGGUGGUUAAUUCUUAAGCCGCUAGGGCUUUGGAUAGCGGCUGGAGGGCCAAGGAUGCGGUUUUGAUUUUGGCACGAAGGGCUUUGUCUGGGUCGCUCGAAAUUGUUAUGAUUCCGUCGGGUCCGGCCAUUUUAAGCUUCAUGUACCCAUAAUGGGGUAUGGCUUGGAAGCAUGAAAAGGCGUCCCAUCCCAGGAUUGCAUGGUACCCACUGUUGUAGGUGACAACAUGAAAGAGCAACUCUUCGGAUAUGUAGUUCUCAGGCAUGCCGAAUACCACAUCCAGUCUAAUUCUCCCAGAGCAUCAUGCUUCUCGAUUGAGGAUAAUGCCUCGAAAGGCGGUAUUGCUUUUCUCAAUGCAUGAUCUAUCCAUAUGCAUUUUGUCGAGUGUGUCUUCCUAGAUAAGGUUAAGCCGACUGCCGCCGUCCAUGAGCACUAUAGUGAGCUGAAAAUCAUCCACGAUGGGGUUUAGUACUAGGGCGGUGGGUGCUCGGACUGACCGAGCCUUUGGUUCGUCUUUGUCCGUAAAGGUUAUUGCUGUGUCGUUCCAUGGGCUCAGUGUGGUAACUUGGUGGACUUCGGCGAGGUCGCCGAGCACCCAUUUGCGCCGAUUAUUUGAAGAGAAGGUCUCAAAGACCGUGAGGACAUUAAAGUCAUCCUUCUCUGGAGAGUAUUUAUCUGGAGUGGUGGUGAGGAUGGCCUCUCCACUUUUUGCUACUUGUCGGAGUACCCAACAUGCUUGAAGGCUAUGGGUUGGGUCUGUGCGCAGAGUGGCAUGUAUCGGGCAGGGCUUGUCAAGGAGUUCGUCCAGAAUAGACCUAUGUCCUAUGAAGGUUUUAUUUUUCCUGCCCAUCGACUGGUGGUCGGGUGACCGCCAGGGUGUAUCCGUUUAGUCCGGGCCGCACACUGCUUAAAGGCAGCGGGCUCCAAUUGGGUUUUCUGGGCCCUCCAUGUGCUUUCCAUCGCACAAUACUUUUGUACUACAUAUGAUAGUUCCCUGAAGCUCUGUAUGUAAUGACGGUCGAGGGCAUUCAAUAUUCCCUCAUCGGUGCAAUUACGAUGAAAGGAAGAGGCACCACCUUUCCUUCUCCUACUGCCUCUCCUUCCCCCUUUCCCCCUCCGAUAAAACGAGGGGGGGCGAAUCCUACUAGGAGCCCAAGUGGGACUCCUCCCACUUGGGGCGCGCCUAGGGCCGGCCUCCUCUCCCUCCCUCCUUUAUAUUAGGCGGGGUGCCCCUAGAAGACACAGCAAUUGCUCCAAGCCGUGUGCGGCUCCCCCCUCCACAGUUUACGCCUCCGGUCAUAUUCUCGCAAUGCUUAGGUGAAGCCCUGCACGGAUCACAUCACCAUCACCGUCACCACGCCGUCGUGCUGACGAAAAUCAUCUACUCCUUCGACCCUCUGCUGGAUCAAGAGCUCGAGGGACGUCAUCGCGCUGAAUGUCUGCAGAACUCGGAGGUGUCGUAUGUUCUGUACUCAUCGGUCGGAACGUGAAGACGUUCGACUACAUCAACCACGUUAAGCAAAAGCCUCUGCUUUCGGUCUACGAGGGUACAUGGACACACUCUCCCCCUCCCGUUGCUAUGUAUCUGCAAGAUAGAUCUUGCGUGAGCGUAGGAAUUUUUUUGAAAUUGCAUGCUACGUUUCCCAACAGUGGCAUCCGAGCCAGGUCUAUGCGUAGAUGAUAUGCACGAGUAGAACACAAAGAGAUGUGGGCGGUGAUCGUCAUACUGCUUACACCAAUGUCUUAUUUUGAUUUGGCGGUAUUGUUGGAUGAAGCGGCCCGGACCAACCUUACAUGACCACGUGCACGAGACACGGUUCCACCGACAGACAUGCAACUAGUUUUGCAUAAAGGUGGAUGACGGCUGUCUUUUCUCCAACUUUAGCUGAAUCGAAUUUGACUGCGGACGGUCCUUGUGAAGGUUAAAACAGCAAACUUGAUAAAAUCACCGUUGUGGUUUUUGUGCCGUAGGUAAGUAUGGUUCUUGCUAGAAGCCCGUAGCAGCCACGUAAAACAUGCAACAACAAAGUAGAGGACGUCUAACUUAUUUUUGCAUGGCAUGUUGUGAUGUGAUAUGGUCAAGACAUGAUGUGAUAUACGUUGUUGUAUGAGAUGAUCAUGUUUUGUAGAAGUUAUUGUCAACUGGCAGGAGCCUUAUGGUUGUCGCUUUAUUGUAUGAAACACAAACGCCAUGUAAUUGCUUUACUUUAUCACUAAGCGGUAGCGAUAGUCAUAGAAGCAAUAGUUGGCAAGAUGACCACGACGCAACGAUGGAGAUCAAGGUGUCAAGCUGGUGACGAGGGAGAUCAUUACGUUGCUUUGGUGAUGGAGAUCAAAAGCACAAGAUGAUGAUAGCCAUAUUAUGUCACAUAUUUUUGAUUGCAUGUGAUGUUUAUCUUUUUGCAUCUUAUUUUUCUUAGUACGGCGGUAGCAUUAUAAGAUGAUCUCUUAACUAAAUUUCAAGGUAUAAGUGUUCUCCCUGAGUAUGCACCAUUGCGAAAGUUCUUUGUGCUGAGACACCAAGCGAUGAUCGGGAGUGAUAAGCUCUACAUUUAAAUACAAUGGGUGCAAGCCAGUUUUGCACAUACGGAAUACUCGGGUUAAACUUGACGAGCCUAGCAUGUACAGACAUGGCCUCGGAACACUAGUGACUGAAAGGUCAAACAUGCAUCAUAUAGUGGAUAUAAUCAACAUAGAGACGUUCACCAUUGAUGACUACUCCAUCUCACGUGAUGAUUGGACAAGGUUUAGUUGAUUUGGAUCACGUAUCAUUUAGAUGACUUGAGGGAUGUCUAUCUAAGUGGGAGUUCUUAAGUAAUAUAAUUAAUUGAAUUUAAUUUCUCAUGGUAUCAGCCUAACCGAUCCAACACUAGCCGUCACCCGUCCCUUCCGCUCCGUGCCGCCCCCGGUGGUCGGUCUUCAUGAUCGCCGCCGGGGGCCACUGCCCAUACCUAGGGUUCGUCCGCCGGUCAUGUUGACCGGUUACCCUAAAGAGUCUUUUUCCAGAGCCCUUGCUCAGGGUUUUUCUCUCUCCCGCCGAUCAUCUUGAUCGGCGUUUUAUUUUUUGGUUUUUUGAUCUAAGAUCAGUUUGCGUCUCCCGCCGCCGUCGACCACCGUGUGCCUCUACUCCAACACCUGCACGACCGGCCGGCUCCUACACCGACCCGGCGGCCUCGCGUGACAGGCGGCCCUUCACGGCCAUGGUCCACGCAUCUACCCGCCCGUCGCCCUGCGCCGGCCGUCGCGGCCCAGCUCCGACCGGGACCUCUCCAUCGCCACCCGCCUUCGCCGCGUCUACACGGCAGCCCUGUGGUCUGCCUCGCUGGCCUCGUCCCCGGCUGCGUCAACGACCCACCGUGUUUUUUACUCCUGUAUAUAUGUUUGAAAAGUAAUUAAAUCCACCAUGUUUGUAUGAAAGUUGUCUUGUUUGUAUGAAAUCUGACCGUGUUUGCAUGAAUUUCAUCUGUUUUGUUGAAUUUUUUUUUGAAAUGUAUGUGGCUAACUUUGGAUGGCAUCCUGCUGCAUCCGUGUCCACGGACUGGUCCCCCUCCCCUCGUCUGCGGACGGAUGUGGGGGAAAAUUUACGAGUUGCCAUUGGAGAUGCCCUAAGUAGGUGGACCGUCGUUGGGAAAUACACUUCAGAACCUGGUUGUAUAUACACCCCAUAUAUAGAAUUUUUUGAAUAAUUAAACAAAAAGUGAAAAUAGUUUAGAAGUUUUUUUAGAAUAAACUUGACUUUCCUUCGCACAAGUAUAUAAAUUUUCAGAAAAAAACCAACAUUGACUUCAGGGCAAAAGAGAUAAAAUUUAUUUGCUAUUAUAGGUGACUAUUCACACUAAUAUCACCGGAGUACUAUUUUAGCUAAAAAAUAUCUUUUUUGAAAAGAAGUCAAAGGGAGAUUUUCUUUUUAUGGAAUUUUUCUCACAAGUACAAUGAAAGCUCAAGUUUAUUUAAAAAUAUAUUUUCAAAUUCUGUUGACUUUUUAUUGAAUUACUAAUUUUCUUUCAUAUAGGGUUUAGAUACACCUAGAAACCAAACCUCCGCGUCCGAUCGUCGUUGUCAAACGCAAAAUGGGACGGAUAUUAACAUGAUAUGAAGUAAAUUAUGUGUACGAUCGAUCUAUCCACCUACCAUGCAUGCAUUGAGAAAAGCAAUGCUAGGAUCUAUGACUAAUGAAGUGUACAUAUUAAUUUCCACCGGCAAAUGUACUGAUCAGGCGGUGCAGAGUGAUUAAUGCCAGCAACGUGGGUGCUUUAUUUCUUUGACUCCAACUAAGUGGAGUGUAUAUCAAGCAUCUCCUACGAAGAAUAUCAUAUGAAAACAAACAUAUCAUGAAAACUUCAUGGAAACCAUCAUUAAUAGUUUUGAAAAAAAGGGAUGCUAAGAGGGUGAUGUUUUAUUGCUAUGCGAAAUUCCAAGUUGCAAAACAUUAUGGAAUGGGAGCUACGAAAAAACAAAUUUAGUAGUGAAUAGUAACGUUACUGUUCGGCACUAUUCAAUGGUGAUUUUGUUAUAUUUAUAGCUUACAUCCAGUAAUGUGUUUGAACUUUGAAUAAAAUAUUGUUUCAACUGUUUUGAUUGUGAACAAGUAAAUAAUAGUACGUUUACAUUUGGCUUAUAACAUAACUUGAGUGAAUUAAACUUUUUACCCGUUACUUUGGCAUUUUUGACACUAAUUAGCCGUUCACAACUUUUCAUCCAAGCUAGAUGACCCGUCACGUCCUUGCGCAGAGACCAAAUGCAACCAAAAAGUUAGGUGAACUAUUAGAUUUUUUUUCUGUACAUGCAAAAUACGAUGACCUGUUGUGUCCUUGGUGCACAAACCAAGUGCAAUUGAAAGUUAGGCGAACUAUUUAUUAUUAUUUUUGGCUGCCCAUAAGAAGGAUUGAAUUGAAUGUAUGAUGAAAUUUUAACCGUCCUGCUCAGUUUUUCAAGAAGAUGCAUAGAGUACACUCAACUGGGCUUGAUAGAUAGUCAGGUUUGAGACUAGCCGGUACCAAGUCCGUUGCCCUCUCAAACUUAAAGCCGCCCUUGGCCUUGAGGAUGAAUAACAGCCGAGCUAGCCAUUCCCAAGGAGUUAGCGCUGGGAGGGCGCAACGCCGCAUGGAGUUCCACGCGAAUCUUGUGGAAAAUUAGUUCAAAUGUGAUAUAAAGUCUGCAAGACGAAGUGAUAAAUAGCGAAGGAUUUGUUUUAGAGAACUAAGUUCUUGGGAUGGGUUAGAUGUCAAACUCCCAAUACCUAUGAUUUUUUGGGAAUUAAGUUUGGGAUCUGUUAGAUGCCAAUCUCCCAAUGCCUAUGAAUUUGGGAAUUAAUUUUGGGAUGGGUUUUUAGCCACUAACUUUUGAGGAUGAAUCACAGUUGCCAGAUGCCCAACAUUCGUUCCUGGUGGGGGUGCUGCGAUGGCACCCCAUAGGUCAUCUUCUGCUUUUGUGCCUUAGGUGCACUUGAUCUUGAUGAUUUUAAAACUAUAGUUGACAAAAUUGAAUAGCAAAAACAUAUAAAUUAUUAAGACUUAUGGUAGACCUGCACAUGGGCGAUAGAACAAAUGCACCAAGACAACGGAAUAAAACUCACGGGGUUGCUUUGGUUGCACCACCGGACACUAUUCACGUCUAGAUUUAUCUUUUCAUUUGUAUUUAGAUAGAAUUCGGAUUUGGGACAUUUAGAGAUUGUGGAUAUGUGAACAUUCACAAUUUUUCAGAUUUUUAUAAACUUCCGAGUUUAUUAUGUAGUGGGAUCAUGGUAUCACUAAUAGUGUGGUAUCACAUGAUGCUUUCCCCAGAGUGCAGGACGAUAGACCACAUACAUUCUCCUUUGCACAUUUUCACCCCAUAAUAAGCAUAUGUAUUGAGAAGUAGUAACAUUCCAAUGGUUACCAUCACAACCCAGAACAAGUCUCGUUUCUCUCAAUUUUCCUUUCCAUAUCCGCUCUUGGGAGCUUAAUCAUAGAAUAUUUUUUUGGACACCACAUCUUCAUUUGGUCUCGUAUAAGAAUCAUAUGUAAGUCGUUAGUUAUGUUGCCUUCGCCGGUCAGAAAAUCAUCACUGGAUUCAGCAAGUUGAUACCGUCAAGUUUUUUUCCCUUGCAUUUAGUUACAAAAUUACAAAUGUGCCGCGUUGGUAUUGAAGACAUUAAUAACACUUGCUAAAAUUUCCAGCAGCAACAUGCGGGCAAGAAACUAGUUUAUAAUCAUUUUUAUAACAGCGAAUGUCAUAAAAACUUAAGCUCAUCACAUUAUUUUAUUGAUGAUUCGAUCAGUAAUCUGCUCGAUCUGUAACAAGGACAACAGAUGGAGGUGGAACACAUGCAGAAAACAACAAUGAACAGACGCAGAGAGCAGCAAUAGUAGACACCGAGUCGGCCCUAGUGUCUACCUUAGGCUAGCAGGCGACUUCAUUUUCUAUCUUAGAGGUUGGGGUGAUGCAAAUUCAUCAGAAAAAAAACUACUCAUUACCGGGGUUAAAGAGAUGGCAGGCGGCGGUUGAGCGAGGCCGGGGCGCGAGUCUGUCAUGGGAGCGCCAGCGUUUACAGGCAGCGGAGGCAAUCCGUUAGGCCUAGACUGGAUCAGCAGGGUGAGAGAAGAAUAAGAAAAAAUGUAUCGUUUGGAGGUUGAAUAUGAGCAGUGCUCAUUAAAAUUUGAUCCAACGGUUGAGAUAAGUGGAGGGAGAAUCGAUCGACCGUUUCGUUAUUUUGAGGCGACUGGCGCCAAACCAUUUCCUUAUUUUAUCCUAAAUGAUAAGUGCCAUACGUAUGUCACAAAGUAACACCGUUUUGACGUUUUUACAACUAAAAUUGCCAUAUAAAACGAAACCAAAAAACAAAAUAAAACUUGCCAUUCAAACAAAAAGUUUUCGUGCUUCACAACUGAAAUUGCUACCCCGGGUAACGAAAGUUGCCAUGUGCGGCAAUUGCCAGAAUCCUUUUAUCCUAAAUGAUAAGGGAUAGGUGCGACACGUGUGAACAAAAGCUUCUGCGUGCAAAUAAUUUCAAUGCGAUUUUGUUUGUGUGAACGUGUAGACCAGUAUCGAGCUAGUGAGCCACGUGUACCGGGAUAGCAAUUUCACUAAAAAAAGUGCCGUGUGCAGAUCUGGAAGAAGGACCAGUGUAGGUAACCGUCGUUGUCAAACAGAAAAAAGGGACGGACAUGAACAUGACACGAAGUAAAUUAUGUGUACGAUCGAUCUAUCCAUCUACCAUGCCAUGCAUCGUUGAAGGAAAAGUUUUUUUUUCUUGCGGGGGAAAGGAAAAGUUAGGAUCUAUGACUAGUGAAGUAGUAUUAAUUUCCACCGAUUUCACAGAAAAGAGUAGUAUUAAUUUCCAACGGCAUAUGCAUUGAUCAGGCGGUGCAGAGUGAUCAAUGCCAUAAACAUGCGGUUCUCUCUUAACUCCAACCCAGUGGAGUAUACUUCACGCAUAUACUCCUACUGUAGUGACUUCAUACGGAGUAUAUCAUGAAGAUUUGUAUGUAGUAUGUAUAUGAUUCAAAUAUUCUUCUUUUAGUUAUAGUAAUAUGUUCCCUACACAUCACAAACAAGUAACUCUUUUUAAUGUCUUGAGUCAAACUUUAAAAACCUCAAUGGAGUAUUUGUAAAUCAUAUGUUUAGAUUAGAGUCUCGAAAGGCAUAUUCAUGACAUUAUAAUACGAGUGAAUUCCAGUUUUUACUCCUUACUUUAACAUUUUUUACAUCAGUUAGCCCACAACAACUUCUCAUCCGGAUUGCCCCAUUUAAGAAAAAAUUUACCGGCUUUUUACUCCUAAUAUUUUUAGAGUAAUCUACCAGGUUGGAACCGUCUAUCGGUUAUAUGUGUCAUGCCACGUCGUGUUUAUUCUCCUAACAGUUAUCCUACUCCCGAACCCAGUUUGCCUCCUUUUGCCGGACCAACGUGGUGUUUAGUGACCCAUGUUGUAAACCUAUUUUUUAGAUACGCAUAAGCAUAUGUAUCAUAUAUUCAUAGAAGAAAGGGUAAGACACCCGUCCAUGGAGCUACAACGGGGCACUUAGGCCAGGUUACAUGGAUUACUCGCUAAAGACCUGCCUAAACAACCUCUGAUGAAAUAAGGACAUGUCUCCAUGAAACAACCUUGCUGUAGCCCAAGUCUGCCCCGCCUCAUAGAUCCUGCCGAGCACCACCGUGAUGGAAGGAGAACCAUUUGUCAAAAGACUAUUGCGUUGCGGUGCUUCUAGAUUUCUCAACACACGAGAAGAGUGAGAGUAUGCAGGUCCUUCCUCAUCGGAGGUGGUGUUUGCAACAAAGCUGUCCACGGCAAGAGACGGUCCAUUCCUUUUGUACAUGGUGCCCAAGCCUUGAUACCCCACGAUGCAAACACCGAAUGUCAGACGACACUUGCGAAAACGCAGGCAACAAACAGAUGAUCAAUGGUUUCCAGCAGUUGAGCGCAUAGCCGGCAAACAUCCUGAUGUGGCAAUCCGCGCCUCGCCAGCCGAUCAGAGGUACAACACCUAUUCUUGAAAGCGACCUACCUGAACAGCUUGCAACAUAGCGGAGCCGGGCAGUCCCAAACCGUCCUUGCUGCAAGGUCAUGUUCCCGAACGUAAAAACAACUCGCGUAAGCUGACCUGGUUGAAUACUAUCCAGAAGCCUCCCAUGCCCAGUGCACCAAGUCGUCCACACUGUGUCUAAGUUCCACGCCCGACACCAGGUGCCACAGCUGCAAGUAAUCCCCAAUCUCCUCAGCACUGAGAUCCGACCCAAUACCUCUCGGCCAAAGUCCAGCUAGGGCCUCAUCCACUGUCCUGGAGCUCCUAACUCUAGGACGCAUGCGCUCAUAAAUUCUUGGGGCGAUUUCCUGAACUCUCUUCCCAGAAGUAUGUGCUUCUUCCAUUCCCUACAUCAACGAAAACUGUCGCUCGAUAAACUGCCAAGGAUUAUGCCGAAAUACUAAUGUCAAACUCCGCCUGCAGCCUCUCUCCAACAACCCUCCGCAGCCACAACCAUCUCACCCUAAAUGUUGUAUUCAUCCAAUGCAAGUCAAGUAACCCUAGGCCACCAGCCCACUUAGGUGUGCAAACGAUGUUCCAGGCAACCGUGCACUACCCACCAUUCACCGCCGAGCUCCCCGCCCAGAAGAAGCCUCUAAAGAUUUUAUUUAUGGUGGCAAGCAUCUCCGCCUUAUUGAUCGAAACUUUGGAGUCAGCAUGUAUUAUAUCUCAAUUCAUGCCAUCCUCAUAUAAAUGCAUAGUUAAAACAAUAUUAGUAAACCAAAAGCAUUGCAUAAUUACUCAAAUGAGUUCUUAAAUUGGUGUUGCAAACUAAAUGUCACCAAACAAUUGGCCUAGUAUUUUUCCUAGGCCCUCCAUGCCAUAAUAAACCCCUUUGAUUAAUUUCAAUUAUUUAGAAUAAUUUUGAUAUUUGAAUGAAGUGAUAAUUGUUCAAAUUCAAAUAUUUAUAGAAUUAUAAAUUAUAUUGUUGGUGAUAAGUUCCUUGAUGAGAUUUCAUGAAAAUCAAUAUUUGAGGCUUAUAUGGUAGUGAGUAGUUCUAGUAAAAUUUUCAUCAAUUUUGAGGUCAUCUCACCUACUUACAUUUUAAAUCAAAAUUUGGGGCAGAACUUAGGUUGAAUAUAAAUGACUGUCAAGUACCCAUUGAAUUUUUUUUGGAAACGGAAAUAACAUAUAUGAAACCUAUGAGUUUUUCUUGGAUUUUUAAGCCUUGAAAAUAAUGUAUUUAACUAUUUAGAAAAGUUGAGGAAUAAUAAGAAAAUGGGAAAGAUUAAUACUUAUCCGAAACCCGACUAGCUCUAAUCAGGCCAACUCAAUCGGCUUUUCUCCUCUUAAACGGUACCUAGGAAAAUAAACAAGGCGACAAUGACAAGAGUUUGAGAUGCAACUGAGAUCUCACAGGUUCCCUCACCUCUAGCCGUGCGCUCUGGUUCUCCUUGGAAUGUUCGGAAAUUUACGAUGGUAUAAAAUUUAUAGUCCGUGUCGGCGAUAUUCACCCAGAGGGUGCAAUACCGUUGAGAAUAAAAGCGCUCUGGUUCUUCCUAUGAUGCAUCAGUGCCUUACUGAGCAUCGCCAUAGAAUGGUAGAUGUUGUGUCUCCGCCGGUUUGAUCUUAUGGGUUUUGGGUUUAUGUUCUUGCAGAUGCAUUCAUGAGGAUUUGAUGAGCUUGUAUUAUGGUAUCUUCUGCUUUUAUUGGUAUGAUCUUUUGUGCCUUCUUGGAGUGCUUCUUAGGCUUUUUCAUGAAGAUUUUGUGUUCGACAACCUCUAAUCUCGUGGAUCAUCCUUGGCCAAGUACAUUCAAUGCUCACGAAUUUCCACCUCUUUGGAUGGGAAACUAAAGGGGCUUUUGAAAAUCGAAGUUAGUCGAUUUUGUGCAGGUAUAUGGGCAAUGGUGUCGCUGCUCUGGUCUGGUUGUUAGAGCAAGUCUAGCAGACCCUGCAUCCGGCGCAAACCCGCAUAAUUCCGGCGAUUAUACGGGCUCGGCCCAUUUUUCUGGCCAGACCAGAGCCGCAUCGGUGUCCGGCCCGUAAAUUUUUUUGCCGCAGCCCGCAAACGCAAACCCCGAGCCACUAUAACUGCGGGUUUGCGGGGCAGAUGCAGUUCGAAACCCUAUCCUCCCGCCGCCGCGUUCCCCUCCAAUUCCCCACCGCGCCGCUCGAUUUCUCGCCGCCGGCGAGCCUUGAACCACCAUGGCCGACUCGGGGGAUGAGGCGGAGCGCCGCUGCCGCGCCAGAUUUGACGCCGCGCGCAAGCGGGGGGCGCGUCGGUGGCUCAACCAGGGUGCCCGGCCACCGCCGGCAUUCGACCGGCGCGAGCUCGACGAGUUCGAGCUCGAGGGCGCCCGUCGCCGCCGCGCCUCCUCCGGUAACUGGUCCGCGGGGAGCUCAUCCGGCCACUGGUCCGCGGGGAGCUCAUCCGUGGGCGCAUCGAGCUCGCGGCUCGUUCUGGUGAAAGAGGGAGCCGGAGGAGGCCGUGCCCGAUGCGCCGCCGCGCCGAGGCGUCAUCGGACCCGAGGACUACCUCCCAUCGGGGCAGGAAGAGCUCCUCGAGCGCGUCGUCCUCGAGCAGUCGACGAGGGAGCUGCAGGAGAUGGAAGAGCGCAUCUGGCGCGAGCUCGAGUACGAGCGGUUCUUCCUCGAUUUGGGCCUCGCGGCAUCGCAGGCGCACGCAUCGAAGGAGGCCGACCUGCGCGUGAUGAAGGAGGAGCAGGCGAAGCUCUUCGUCGACCUCGGCUCCGAUUCCUCCGACUCCGGCUGAUCGCCGCCGGUGGGCAGCUACCGCAGGAGCUCUGGUGAGCUCAAUUUUGUUGCAGUGAUGCAGUAGCGUAGGCCCUGUCUAGCAUAUAUAACCUCUACGUAUGUAUGUGGCGUGUAUGAACUUAUUAUGCGAAGAAGAACCAUGUAUGCGAGCGAGCUCCGGCGAGCUGUUGCUUAAAAUUUCUCGCGCGAAACAACUUUUUUUAAAAUUUAGGUGUUUGUUUGCGAUUUCUAGUCUGCCGCCGCAAAUUUCGGCCUGCAUAACCGUCCCCGUGCGACCUGCAAACCCCUUUUACGGGUCGGCAAAAUGCGGGGUCUCCUAGAGUUGCUCUUAUAUCGUUGUAGGAGCUUUUGAUAGUAUCCCAUGUUGCAAAGAUUGUUGUUACUUUGGAGGGGAUGAACACCACAUCUUCAUUUGAUCACGUAUAAGAAUUAUAUGCAAGUUAAUUAUGUUGCCUUUGCCGGUGGUCAGAAAAUCAUCACUUGAUUCGGUAAUUAAGUUGACAUCGGCAAGUUUUUUUCCUUGGAUUUAGUUACAGAAUUACGAAUGUGCCGUGUUGGUACAAACAAAGACGUUAAUAACACUUGCUAAAAUUUCCAGCAUCAACAUGCGGGCAUGAUACUAGUUUAUAAUCAUUAUUGAUAACAGUGAGUGUCAUAAAAACUUAAGCUCAACACAUUAUUUUAUUGAUGAUUCGAUCAGUAAUCUGCUCGAUCUGUAACAAGGGCAAAAGAUGGAGGUCGAACACAUGCGGAAAGCAGCAACGAACAUAUGCAGAAGUAGCAACAGUAGACACACCGCGUCGGCUAGCUAUCCAUGUAGAGCCUGGUGUGAUGAUGCUGACCGAUAACUUAGUGAAUGCUGCAAACACACACAGACAAAAGCUCAACGAUUAGCCUCAGUACUUACUUACUAAUUAACGAUUAAAUGGCUAAUGAGUACUCCCUCUAUACGGAGCGUAGUGAUCUAAACGCUCAUACAUUUCGUUAUGCAGGGAGUAGAACAUAUUCUUUCAAGUUAGGAGUGGAGGAUGUAC